This 97351-nucleotide long non-coding RNA is filed under the name Setaria italica (foxtail millet). Its description in RNAcentral is "long non-coding RNA (SITA_LNC006351)". Lineage: Eukaryota; Viridiplantae; Streptophyta; Magnoliopsida; Poales; Poaceae. The record is from RNAcentral.
UUUUUUUUUGGUUCUCUUACUGGAUAAUAAUAACAGAGUUUGGAUAGACUUGUUCGCAGGCUUUGGGCCUUUUGGUGUCUCAACUUGCAUGGGCCGGGCCUUGCAAAGAAUUUUUGGGCCCACUUCGUCGGCUUGGCUGACCGGUGAUGAAAUUAGUUUUCCUUGAUAGCAUGACUGAGAAAGCAACGAAUACUGCAAGUCAAUUGAUUAACAAAAAUUUUAGAUGCACAAAAUUUUUUCUGAAAUUUUAUAUGAUUCAGUUGAUAUUUGUGUUAAAAAUGUGAUCUGGUUAGAGAAAUUUCUUCAAAGCAAAUAAAUAAAAAUCAUUUUCGCCGCCGCCGUGAAGAAUAUAUAUUCUUCAAAGAAUAUAGCUACUAGUACUCUAUAUUCUAUAAGUUUAGUGGUGGUUAUGCAUGUGCUGCAAAUUGAAGAGUUUGGACUUUCGAAAUGGACAAAGAUGACUGCCAAGAACUUGUGAUUUAAUUACAAGUACUUCAUUAGCUACUAAAAGUUAUCAAUCAGGGGUACCAAAUCAAGGUUACAUUAUAUGACCUGGCCUUUAAUUUGACGUAAUCCAAGUUAGCACCUUUCUGCUGGCUAGGAUCAUGCACAUGGCGGUCACCAUCAAUUGUUUCUAACUAACAAACCCACAUGCUAAUGUAUGAUAAUUUUCAAAUAUUACAAUAAUACAUGGUCAAAAUGAGUCAUCAUAUUCUCUCAAUAUAUAGUAGUAUUAUAUAUGUGCGCUUGAAUUUAAGAAUCUGAUGAAUAAUAAUCAUCACUUAAAUCCAUGUCUCUGCACCAGUCAAACCAGAGUCGCCACGCAUCGUCUGACAAAUUUUGUCGGUGUCUGGAUAAAAUAUAUUGAUCUUGCAAAAAUUACGAUAUCAAUGUGCAUUAAUUUAUGCAUGCUCAAAUCACUGUUAUCGUAAUUAAGCAGGCAGGUCAUUCAGAUUAUAAUAUUUUCUUAUUCUGAUCACCAUCUAUCAUAGCAUAGGUUGUUUACACUACCACAUACAUGUAGCAUAUAUCUUGAAUGUUUUUUUCACUGUUUGAUCCAAAUUGAAUAAUAUUUUGCAUUUGUUUAUGAAAAUAUUAAUCUAAUAAGUUAAACCAAGUGCAUGCACAAUUUUGUUUUAGCCCGGUGCGUGCUUGUGUUUAAUUUGCAGGGUAAUUAAUUAAUAAGCUAGUCGCUGUUAAUUGUAGGAGGCAGGCAGGCAUGUGAUGUGGCUUGUGACGUUGGAUACAGCAAGUUCACUGAACCCUGCCUGCAGGGAUCAAAUCAAUAGAAUGGAAUAUAUAAUGAUAAUGCUGCUUCCUAGGUUCAUGUAGCUACCCUCUCAUCUCCUUGCUAGCUAGGGAACACCAUUUUGGAUGCUGCCUGCGUCGUCACCCAGCGAUUAGAUGGGUGGUGACUGGUGAGAUGCCAACUACAACAAAUUAGAGAGACCUCGAUCGAUCUCCAGGCCGGCUAUAAAUGAUCCUUCUGCUAGCUAGUAGCUCGCGGUUGUGUAUUGUGUGUCUUGUGUGUGUGUGUGUGUGUGUGAGGAAGGAUCGAUCGUCGAUCGGACUCGGAGCUGAUGAGGAGGAAGAAGAUGUACGGCGGCGGCGGUUGCAGUCCGGACGACGACGACAGGAUGGUGUGGAACGACGACGAUAAUAAAAAGCUGGCGACGACGAAGCACAUCAUCAAUGGAGGCGGCGGCGGCGGCGAGGAGGCAGCAGCAGCAGCAAAAGGCGAGAAGCGGAAGCUGCGGCGGUCGGUGUCGAUGACGACGGCGGUGGGUGGGCGUGUGGCGAGCGCGGCGAGGGAGCAGCGGGCGCGCCUCUACAUCAUGCGCCGCUGCGUCUCCAUGCUCGUGCGCUGGAAGGACUGACUGUUUGGGCUGCUGUGGGUGUGGGUGUGUGUAUGGGCCAGGCCCAUCAUGUUUCUUAUGUUUGGGCUGCUGCUGGGUUGCUUUGCUUUUGCUUUUCGAGAGACAGAGAGAGAUGGGCCUCCGCCGUCGCAAUUCUGUCUGUUGUGUUAUGCUUGGGCCGUUCAUUGCGUGCCAUCGGCGGCGGCAUUUGUUUGAUCCGCGUCGUCUUCUCUUCUUCUUCCUCCCCACCACCGUACCCCUAGCAAAUAAACAGCAAAUCAACUCAAUCGACUUGAGGUACAACUCUACAAGUAUGGCGAGCACCAGCAACGCUAACUCAUGUCGACAUGGCUGUGAGAUCUGGCUGCUGCUAACUGCCUAGUGAAGAAGACGGAAGUGGAAUAAUGGAUCCACCCAACCAGGAAGGAGGUUCGUGUCGGUCUUAAAAAAAAUUGAUACCAAACAGAUUUAUGAAUGGAAAGAAAUAAUACUUGGAAGUUCUGGAAAAACAAUGGAUCUCCCUUUGCAACGGGUAGGGCUCCUCUUUUACAGUGGCUCAUGAGCCACUUCACGUUUCGAAAAUAUCCUUCCUCCAACACUACAUUUCUAGUAUAUGACGUACAUAAAGAUCAUUGGAGGUAACGUGUACAAAUUGAAUUCCAUCUUCUACCGUGUCGUUGGAUCGAUCAUUACUUAUGAAUUAACGAUCAGGUUUCAGACAUGGAUCGAAUCGAGGGAAAUGUUUCGUUUGUCGAUCAUCUUAGCGAUAUACUUGACUGACAGAUCAGAUAUGAUGCUGCAUUAUCGAUGGAAUGCAUGUUAGCCGACUGACUCACUACGGGAUACAGUAGAUUCGUCAGGCACUCAGCAAAGCUCAAAAAGUACUUGGUAAAAGAUUUUGCCGACUGUAACACUUGACAAACAUCACACGACAUCUAUUUUAACGACAAAGAGUUUUUUGCCGAGUGUUUUUCUUCGAGCAUUCGGCAAAGUGUUUACAGAGUGCUAAAUCGACUCUCGCUUGUGUUUUCUCCCUCUUUUUUUUUUACCUGUGUUUCACCAAUCUCUCUUUCCCCCCUAAAAAAAUCAGUCUCUCUUUCCCCAAAAAACUACUAGUAUUGGAAAUACAUCUUCCUUUUUUUUCAAUAUUUUUUGGUUUGUUCCAAUAAUUCUUUUCAACACUCCUCAGAUUGAGGGCGAAAACGACCAGUACUCUUGACGCUUCCGUUUUUCUUUUGUCGCCUCUCCUCCCACGCGGCGUUCCGGUGAACGCCGACGUCCCCCAGGUCUUCGGUCGCUCCACGCCGGCGAGGCCAAGCCGUGAGCCACAGCCGCCGAUGGUGACCGGCCGGAAUGGAGAGCCAGGGCAUCGAGGGGCGCUGACGAAAACGUUACGAUCUAGAUCGAGGAGCACGCCGGACUCCACAGAUGGAGAUGAUCACCAAUUCCUUCUCUUGAUUUUAUUUCUCAAUUUCUUUGAAAAGAGAGAUAGCAAAAUCCUAAACGAUUUGUUUUCUCCUCCUAAUAAGAAACAUUAAUCACGAGUUCUAUAUGUACGUUCAGCGUAUGCAUGUCAGGCUGUGAUUGGAUGGACGUACUAACACGCUAGCUAUAGCAUUAGCAGGUGUAUACGCGCGAAGAAGAAGAAGAAGCUCAUCAUCACCAGGAAGCCGCAGCGCCGUCGUCGAAGCAGAGUCGUCGUCACGGCGAUGGCGGCGUCGGCCAGCAAUAGUAAGAAGAAGGAGGCCGUGGACGAGACGACGAAGCAGACUGAGAGGGUCGACAGGUGGAGGGGCCUCGCCUACGACGUCUCCGACGACCAGCAGGACAUCACUCGCGGCAAGGGCCUGGUGGACUCGCGCCCAUGGGCGACGGCACCCACGAGGCCGUGCUCUACGAGUACCUCAGCCAGGGUCUCCGUCACCUGGACAACACCAUGGACGGCUACUACAUCGCUCCGGCGUUCAUGGACAAGCUCGUCGUCCACAUCGCCAAGAACUUCAUGUCCCUGCCCAACAUCAAGGUGCCCCCUCAUCCUGGGCAUCUGGGGCGGCAAGGGCCAGUGCGAGUCCUUCCAGUGCGAGCUCGUCUUCGCCAAGAUGGGGAUCAACCCCGUCGUGAUGAGCGCCGGCGAGCUGGAGAGCGGCAACGCCGGCGAGCCCGCCAAGCUCAUCCGCCAGCGCUACCGCGAGGCCGCCGACAUCAUCAAGAAGGGCAAGAUGUGCGUGCUCUUCAUCAACGACCUCGACGCCGGCGCCGGGUGCAUGGGCGGCACCACCCUGUAUACCGUCAACAACCAGAUGGUGAACGCCACCCUGAUGAACAUCGCCGACAACCCCACGAACGUGCAGCUCCCGGGGAUGUACAACAAGGAGGAGAACCCCCGCGUCCCCAUCGUCGUCACCGGCAACGACUUCUCCACGCUGUACGCGCCGCUCAUCCGCGACGGCCGCAUGGACAAGUUCCACUGGGCUCCCACCCGUGUGGACAGGAUCGGUGUCUGCAGGGGCAUCUUCCGCGCCGACGGCGUCUCCGACGAGGCCGUCGUGAAGCUCGUCGUCGACGCCUUCCCGGGGCAGUCCAUCGACUUUUUCGGCGCGCUGCGAGCCCGGGUGUACGACGACGAGGUGCGCCGGGUGGGUCGCCGAGACCGGCAUCGAGAACAUCGGCCGGAAGCUCGUCAACUCCAGGGACGGCCCGCCGACGUUCGACCAGCCCAAGAUGACGAUCGAGAAGCUGCUCGAGUACGGCCACAUGCUGGUGGCGGAGCAGGAGAACGUCAAGCGCGUGCAGCUGGCCGACAAGUACCUCAGCGAGGCGGCGCUCGGCGAUGCCAACCACGACGACGACGCCAUCGCCGCCGCCCGCAACUUGUACUACGGCAAGGCGGCGCAGCAGGUGGGCUUGCCCGUGCCCGAGGGGUGCACCGACCCAAAGGCCGGCAACUUCGACCCAACAGCCAGAAGCGACGACGGCAGCUGCGUCUACAACUGACGCAUGCAUGAUGCCUCUGCCCACACUCCUCUUUUAUCUUUUUGCAAAUUAAGUGUAAACUGCCUUCAAUUCAUGUUUGAAGUUGACAAGAAACAAGAAACAAGUUUGUAAUAGGAUACAAAAUUUGUGGUGCAAUUUAGCUAGGAUACAAAAUUUGGAUGUCUCAUCCAUCCUGCAGGAGGAGGAGCCAGGGACCAUGGUCACACCCAACAAAAGAAAAAUGUUUGCUACCUAUUGUUAGCCCAUGGUCAGUAGAUGAUAGGAGCUAAAUCCAACCGCCCAAACCGCAUACAGCCACCACGCUAAGAUGACAGGAUCUCGUCCUCGCUCGCCAUGUUUCGUUUUCAAUCUCGCAGUUGCAAUGGACUCGACGUCUGCGCUCGGCGCCACAGACUCUAGCUCUGCGACUGCGGCGGCAUCACGCCGACGAUGGCAAAUGGUCGCGGCCGUGAUGGAGGACAACAUCAACAACUCAAACCAAAUGUAAGCGAACUAUUUCCGAUUUCUAAUUUAUUGUCUCAUACUGAGAGAGAGAGAUUGAGAUGAAGGUCACGACAAAUUCGAUUAUUGAUGGUUUCAACUUAGAGCAAAAUGCCAAAUUCUUGAAUCCGUAAAUAUUGUCUGUUCUAACUUUCUUGGAAAAGUAAUAACAUGGCAAGUAUGAUCAAAUUUAUAAAAUAAAGUACUAACAUUUAUGAUACAAGUAUAUUAGGUUCUUCAUUAAAUAUAUUUUCAUAGUAUAUCUACUCGAUGCCACAAUUAUUUGUAAUCCUUUGUAUAAUUUUGGGUCAAACAUUAAAUAAUUUGACUCUCCAAGAAAUUUAAAAUGACUUAAAAUCUGGAACUAAAAGGAUAUAUACAAAUAAAGUACCAGUGAAUCACAAAUAAAUUAGAAACUCCCAGAAAACCUGCAUCCAGUGGCCUAUCAGUGUCAUGCAACACAAACCAAGAGAUGGUCUCUUACUCUCUUAGGCCCCCUUUGGUAGGGCUUCGGCUGCGGCUUCUCCACCGAGAGAAGCCGAAGCCCUACUAAAUGAUCUCCACCAAAACGGCUUCGGGGAAGAAGCCCCUCCGAACCCGCUCUGUGGAGCCAUUUGACGGAGAAGAAGCCCAAAAAACCGGCUCCCCGCGGCUUCUUCCCGUCGUUCCCACCCUUGCCCUCGGGGAGCUCGCGGGUGGAGGUGAAGGGUGCGGUGGAGGCGGUCUGGCGGCGCAGUGGAGUCGGAGGAGCGAGGUGGAGGCAGAACGGCGUGGUGGAGGUGGCCUGGCAGCGCGACGCGACACUGGAGGCGGAGCGGCGUGGGGACGGAGGCGCGGCGCGGUGGAGGGCAGGGACGGUGACGCUAGGGGCCGACGGUGGAGCGGAGGCGCUGGGGCGGCCGGCGGUGGAGCGGAGGCGCUGGGGCAGCCGGCGGUGGAGUGGAGGCGAGCGGAGGCGUCGGGACGGGCGGAGGCGAGCGGAGGCGCUGAGGCGAGCGGAUAAGGCAGGCGUCGACUUGGCGAGUAGAUAAGGUUGGCGGAGGCGGAUAAGAAUUAAAGGAAAGAGAAAAAAAAGGAGAAAAAAGAAAAAGGAAAAAAAUAAGGAAGGGUAUUAUGGACAUUUCAUAUUUUUAUCCAUGUUACUCAUCUAGGAGAAGUCGUUUUGCCAAACGUUUCUCCAUCCAGACUAGGUAAAGUUAAAAAAACUGUUUCAUCGAAGAAGCCACAACCACAGCUGUUUUAGCCACAGCUGCAGCCCUGCCAAACGAGCUCUUAGUGUUGCCACUGCAAGCAAGCCAUCUGCCAAACCCCAUCCUCAGCGUGUGGCCUCCGAGAGAUGUGGGAGCUGAUCCACAACCACAGGCUCUUCGCUGACCUCCGAUCCGAUCCCGACAACAGGCCAUGGCGGCAGCCGCAGCCGCAGCGGCAGACACACGGCCACCACACGUGCUCCUUUAUUUGGCUCUCGGUCUCAGUACUUUGAGAACGAAGAGCAGCUAGCGGCGGCGGCGCAUCAGUGACAGAUCACUCGUGCUUGCCCUUCCUAGCAAGGUCGCCCAAGGAGGAAGAAGAAGAAGCAGCGCCGCGCCGCAGAGAUGGCGGCCGCCUCCUCCUCCACCGUCGUAGCUCCGGUGAGUUCAUUCUCUUCCAUCAUCAUCUCAUGCAUCGAUCAUACGAGAGCCGCCUGACGAUUAGAGUGCAAUCCUUCAUACAGGCCUCCACCCCGGCCAGCUUCCUCGGGAAGAAGCUCAGGCCGACGCAAGCGACGACGGCGGCGGCCGUGAACUACUACCAUGUCAAGAGCUCCAGCGGCGCCAACAGGUUCAAGGUCAUGGCCGCCCCGACCCCCAUCCCGCUAACCACCAUCGCCGAGCUGCGGCAGCACCACUCGCAGCUCGUCCGCCUCGGCCUCGCCUCCCACCCUUCCCACGCGCGCCGCCUCCUCUCCUUCCUCGCCCGCGACCCCGACUCCCACUUCCCCUACGCCGCCCGCCUCCUGGCGCACCACCCGGACCCGCACCCGGCGCUCUUCAACCCGCUCCUCUCCGCCCUCCCGCCGCGCCACGCCGCGCGGCUCCUGGCACUCAUGCUCUCCCUGCCCCUGCCCCCCGACCACUUCACCUUCCCGCGCAUCCUCCCCGGCGCCGCGCCGCUCCUCCUCGUCGCCCAGCUCCACGCGCUGCUCGUCAAGCUCGGCUUCCACUCCCACUCGCAGUCGCUCAACGCACUGCUCGCCGCGUACCUCGCCAAUGCGCGCCCCGACCUCGCCUCCCGUGUCUUCCGCGGCGGGGGUGCCCUAGACGUCGUGUCGUGGACCACCAUGGUCGGCGGGCUCUGCAAGCUGGGGCUGGUCGACGGCGCGCGGGAGGUGUUCGACGGGAUGCCGGAGCGGAACCUGAUAUCGUGGAACGCGAUGAUGUCCGGGUACGUGAAGGCCGGGCGGUUCCUGGACGCGCUGGAGGUGUUCGACGAGAUGCGGGCGCGCGGCGUGGAGGGGAACGGGUUCGUCGCGGCGACGGCGGCGGUGGCGUGCACGGGCGCCGGCGCGCUGGCGCGCGGGAGGGAGGUGCACCGCUGGGUGGCGCGGAGCGGGAUCCGGAUGGAUGACAAGCUGGCGACCGCGAUGGUCGACAUGUACUGCAAGUGCGGGUGCGUCGAGGAGGCGCGGCGCGUGUUCGAGGCCCUGCCGGCGAAGGGGCUCACGACGUGGAACUGCAUGAUCGGCGGGCUCGCUGUGCACGGGCGAGGCGAGGACGCUGUCGAGGUGUUCGCCCGGAUGGAGAGGAAGGGCGUGGCGCCAGACGACGUCACGCUGGUGAACGUGCUCACGGCCUGCGCGCACGCGGGGAUGGUCCGCGAGGGUCGCCGCUACUUGGACCACAUUGUUCGAAGAUACGGCGUCGAGCUGAAGAUGGAGCACUACGGCUGCCUGGUUGACUUGUAUGGAAGAGCAGGGCAACUGGACGAAGCCAAGAAGGUGAUCGACGACAUGCCGAUGGAGCCGGACGUCGGCGUCCUCGGCGCGCUGUUUGGUGCGUGCAAGCUCCACGGCGAUGUCGACUUGGGCGAGGCGAUCGGGUGGCGCGUCAUCGAGCUGGAUCCCCAGAACAGCGGCCGCUACGUGCUGCUGGCGAACCUCCUCGCCACCGCCGGCCGGUGGGAGGACGUGGCCAGGGUCCGGCGGCUGAUGGACGAGCGGAAUGUGAGCAAGGAGGCCGGGCGGUCCGUGAUCGAGGUCGACGGCGAGGUCUGCGAGUUCCAGUGCGGGAGCCUGAGCCAUCACCAGGCAGAGGAGGUGUACGCCAUGGCCAGGGACAUGAUGAGGAGGAUCGGGGCAGAGGGCUACUUGCCCGACACGAGGGACGUGCUGCACGACGUUGCGUAGGGGAGGAGAGCUGGAGCAGGGGCACCGGAUGUCCCAAAAAAACUAUUCUCUCUCCUCAAAGUGUCUUCCAGCAAAAUUGACACAAACAAAAAGUAUCCACCAACAAACAGCCAAGAUGACGCUGGAGAAGCUGCUCGAGUACGGCCACAUGCUGGUGGCGGAGCAGGAGAACGUCAAGCGUGUGCAGCUUGCCGACAAGUACCUCAGCAAGCAACCAGGCAGCUCCGGCCCAGGUAAGCGUGUUCUUUUCUUCCCUCCUAAUUCUUGCACUUCACCAGGUAGACAUGCAUGGACACCGGCGCGUUGCAUUGAAGCCGUCCACCAGCGGCACGUCGUAGAAGCGCCGACCUCCACCACGGUCGCACCGGAGCACGCCGCCGCAGUCGCGCACCCGUGGUGAUCAGUGCAUUCUGAGCUCAGCCUUCAGAGUAAAGGAGGAUGCGGUGUUCUUGAAGAGGCAAGCUGAUCCAAAUGAGCAAUCAUAGGGUAACUAAGAAGAGGUAUAUAUAUCUAACAGGGAUGACAAGCUGGAGGAGGGAAGAUCUCUGCUUUAGCAACCAUCCUCGGGCGGAGCCUGGAUUUAGGUCAGGGGAGCAAUGCACAAAGAAAAGUAGAACGGAUAGCUAUGUGAUUAUGGAUUACUUGCGACGGUGUCAAUUUGGAGCGUGGCCGCGGUAGCGUCGCGCAGUGUUUCAACUCUCAUAUCCGGUCUUCCAGUAGCCAGUCCGACAGUACCAGCGCCACGCAGUUGCGGUGUCCGGCGAACUGGUGAAGGAGAAGAUCGAAAUACCGAAAAUGAAUAGUUGAACGGACAGAGGCACGACGCUUGAUGUUUAGUAUUCCAAACAAUAAUGAAGGGAGAAGGCGAGCAACGACUAGAUAGGCUUAAAUGGGCUGCUUCUUAUUGGGACUAAAAACAAUUAACGUUUGGAAUGAAUAGGAGGAGGCGAGAAGCUGAACACAGCUGAUACAUACAUGUAUAUUUAGAGUGGCGUGUUUGGUUGCCUGCUUCUCCCGUAGCCAGGCUCUGUAAAUGCAACUGACUGCAUGCUCCUUUGGUUUACCGUUGGGCAAUAAUGUGGACGAACAAGGCGGCUGAUGAUGUCGUCGCCGCUGCACAGCAGCAGUUGGUGACGACGAUCCUGUUGCAGCUCCAGCUGGUUUACGACGACGCACCCGGAGCGCGGAGGCGGCGGCGACGACGGAGGGAUCAAAGCGGAGGAGCAGCGAGGGCUCCGGCGGCGGUUGUAGUGUAGGAGUAGGGCGUGACGGCGGCGAGGUUUAAGAACUUGAUACUUGGGAUGAAAUGUUUAAGAAUAACAUGCAUGCACCAGGUUUUAUAUCGAUCUAACAUAAUGGAUAUAUAGAAGGGUGUACCAUCACUUUUUUGUAUGUACAUUUGUUUCCAGCUCGUCAACUCCGGGGAUGGCCCGCCGCCGACGUUCCAGCAGCCCAGGAUGCAUGACGCUGCUCAAGUACGGCCACAUGCAUGCUGGUGGCGGAGCAGGAGAACGUCUAGCGCGUGCAUGCACCAAUGAGCAGCCAAGUACGUCAUCACCGCCGGUGGCAACUUGUACUACGGCAAGGCGGCGCAGCAGAGGGGUGCACCGCACCGACCCAAAGGCCGGCAACUUCGACGACCCAACAGACAGCCAGAAGCGAUAGAUCACUCAGCUCGUGACGCUCCUUUGUCGGUCACGUCGCCACAUCCUCCGGCUUCCUGGCUUCGGGCGUCUGAGCUCCCUUGUGGUUACUUUCGAUCAGCUCCGGCUUGGCUUCAUUUGACGUCUCCGUCUCUGCGUCGUUGAUGGUGACUGUGCUGUGCGUGAACUGGCUUCGGCCUCAAGCUUUCUCAGGCCUUCGGCUGCACAGUCAUGUAAAUAUGCGACCUACCUUCUCCUUAGGCGCGGUUGCGAGGUUGGACGGAGCCCUUCUCCUUAGGCGCGCCCGAAGCUCCGUUCUUCCAAAACCCAAGUUGGCUCCUGCAGACAAUUCAAUUCCGUUUUGGCGAUCCCCAACAAUGCAUGGAUCGGCAGUCAUUUUCUUAAGGAAUCAUGCAUUAUGGACGACAGUGCAACUGACGGAAUCGGUGUAGCUCUCAGGUCGUCCGGGAGCAGACGACAAAAACCACCAGUCCCGUACGUGCUCGAUCGAUCAAACUUGCAUUAGCGAGCCGAAUGAAAAAUGAUCGAUCGAGUAGAGAGCAGUUGACGGGUGAACACGGGAAAGAAGGAAGCUAUCAGAUAACCAAGUACUUCAAAAAAAAAAACCCAUCAGAUAACCAUUCCUGAGAUUUCAGGAAACCUGAUGUCACUACACUGACCUUCGUCGUCAGCAGCACAUCGGACUCUCCGCGCCGGAAUCUUUCUCCUCUUCUGGUACGAAGCACCGAAAGAAACUAGAGAUCAAAGACAAGGAAGCAGGCAUGAGAUUAUUAUGGGGAAUAAUAAAAAGGAGAAAAACUUUGUUCUGGAACCGAUUGACCGAAUAAAUCUUUUUAACUCGAGUAACCGGAGUGGGACGAGGGGUUCACCUGUGCUUCCGGCAAGAGGUUGCGCAGCCCGAACAGGCAAGAAGGAGGCGGAGGUGGAGGGGACAGCGGCGGCCAUGGCGAUGGCGGCGCGCCGGCGCGGGAACACAAGAGGUGGUGGUUGGUGAUUUUUUGCAGAUUUUCCUUUUUCUUUUAUGGUUCUUUUACUGGAUUAUAGUUGGCCAGCCGGGCCACCCGGCACGGCACUGGCACGGGCACUAUCUGGCACGGCACUAUAUGGCACGGCACUAUCUGGCACGAGUACUUAACCGUGCCGUGCCGUGUAGUGCCGCCGUGCCUAACUGUCGGCACAGGCACGGCACUAACAGGCAGUUAGCGUGCCGUGCUGUGCCACAGGGCACGGCGGCACUGCAGUGCCCGUGCCGGCCUUGGCACUAAGUGUGCCUACCACAAGUCCACAAUACCACUCUUUUUACACAGAAUUACAAGCACAAUCCAAAACUAUUAAGAUUCACAAGUAGUGGAGAACUUAUCUUGUUGUAUUCACAAAUUUGUAACAAAGUCACAAGUCACAACCCAGUCACACAGUCAUAGAGAUAACAAAAUAACAUUUUAUUGGGAGCUUUAGUGCAAUGGCUGCCUCAUUAAAAACCUAUCUAGGUAAAACUCACCCUUGUGAGAAACCCUAGACAGGAAAAAAGAGUACAGCCCAACUCCAAUUAUAAAGUUCAUCACAGUCCAUGAGUCCAGUACUUAAUAUUACAGUCCCAUUACAUAAAUGAUAACUAAUCAAGAUAAAGUUCUUCAAAAGCUUCUUCAAGUUCCUUGUCCUCCACCAUGUGUUGCAGCCUUGCUUCUACAGCCUCCCAGUCUUUGAUGCAGGUGAGCAUCUCCACCAUGUCAGGCUUUAGCUUCCUCCGCCGCUCCUCGAUGAUCCUGCCAGUCAUACUAAAAGUGGAUUCUGAAGAUAUGGUUGAAACAGGAACUGUUAAUAUAUCCUUAGCCAUGGUUGACAACACUGGAUAUGUGAGUUUGUGUUGAUGCCACCAGUUCAAGAUGUUAAAAUCAUCAUCUAAAUGAUUCACUGUGUCACAGUCCAAGUAAGAAACAAGUUCAGAAACAUUACCACCUGAAGAACUGGCAGCAUGCAAAAGGGCAGUUGCAGAUGUAUCUCUAGCCAUGCUUAGAGUAGCAACUAGAGAAUGCAUGCCACCAGCAGAACCAACAUCAUCAUCAUCAUAAAUUUCAUCCCAAGCAGACCUUUUCUUACCAGAUAGGUUAGGAGGUACAAUCCUCCUCAACCUAACACCUCCAUAUUUCUCCUCAUACUUGUUGUAGACAUCAGUAAGUCGAGCUCUAGUGCUAACCUGGUAAGCACUGUAAUCUGUACUGGUAAGGGUACCCAACCUCCUGAGCACUCUAUUGAAACCUUUCAUUUUAGCUCUAGGGUCCAGGAUGAAUGCAAAAGAAUAAAGCAAAGGUAUGUCCCUCCAGUAUUUGUUAUACUUGUCUAUCAUAGGUUGAACCACAUGUCUGAUGUGAGUAUCAUUAGCAUAAUUCUUUAAGUGCAUAGCAAUCUUAACAAGAUAAUGAAUCAUAAGUGGAGAUGUAGGAUAGUACACACCAGACAAUGUAACUGUAGCAUCAUAAAAAAGUUCAAGAAAUCUUAGCACUUUUUCUGCCAUAGCCCAAUUAUCAUCAGAUAAAAGUAACUGAUCACCUUCAACCCUAGGAUAUUGAGCAACUAUGAAAGUUGUGAAUGGGACCUUAUGAGGAAACAAAUGCUUAAGCAUUAGAUAUGUAGAAUUCCACCUAACUUCCAUGUCUAGCUGAAACUUUCUAGGCCUAACACCAGUGGCAAUGCAAUAACUUUUAUAUGCAGCAAUUCUCUGAUUAGAUGAGUUUAAGAAAGAUAUUGCAAUUCUAAACUUCUCAAUCAAUGGCUUAAGAGCAGUUAGAGCCUCCUUAACAAUCAGAUUGAUAAUAUGGCAUGCACAACGCUGAUGCAAGAACAAAGAAUUAAUUGAAUGUGCAUUGUCAUCCCUAUCAUCAUCCACAACUUCAAUACCAAGAUAUUUAGAAAGAACAGGUCUAAGCUUUUGCAUGGCUGAAACAUUAGAUGAUGCAUUGUCCAAAGUAACAGCAAAAACUUUUUCAGUCAAACAAUAGUCAUCAAGCACAGAUGCAACACGAUCAGCAAUAUUUUGACCAUUGUGUGAACAAUCAAUCAGCCUAAGACCAAGCACUCUCUUCUCUAGUUGCCAAUCAGAGUUUAUGUAGUGAGCAACAACACUGAGGUAGUCCUCUUUGGCAUUACCAGACCAAAUAUCAGAGGUUAGACACACACAAUUAACACCAGCAAAUUUCACAAUCUCAACAAGCUUAGCCUUGCAAUCAUUGAAGUAUUUUAGCAAGUCUCUAGUGGUGGUUUGCCUAGAUACUGCAACAAAUUUAGGAUUAUGAGCAGUUCUAAUGUAAUCUUCAAAUGCAUAAGAUUCACCCAAAGAGACAGGAACAUCAAGCCUAGCAAGCAGUCUAACAAGUUGAGUACGGGCAACUAUAGGACAGUACUCCCAAUUACGAAUACUACCAUCAGGAUUAAAAGAGAUUUGUGACUGAGACAUGUGAGUUUUCUCACGCCUUCUAGGGCAUCUAUCCCUAUGGCGGGUGAGGUGACCAGUGCCACCACUAGAGCGCCCAGAGUACUCUUUAGAGCAAUGGAUGCAUUUAGCUCCAUACCUUACCUUCUUACCGUUCACCAUUUUGAAUAUCUUCUUGAAAUCAAGCCACACGGCCGAGGUAGAGGGGCGUGAGCGCUUACCGUUGUUCUCUUCCCCGUCCCCGUCCACUGCUUGGUCAUCGCAUGGCUCAAGGAUUAUGGGAGGUUGAGCCACACGGCCGAAGAGCUCGGCGGCAUCCUCGCGCAUGUCAUCCUCGUCAUCAUCUCCGGCCAACCCGCAAAGCCGUCUCUCUUGGUUUGACCCACCCUGAACCGUCUCGUCGUCGUCGGAUCCGGCCAUCGUCACACGCCCGCGCCCCGGUUCCUCAACGGCUACACAAAAAGAAGAGUUAGGAUUAGCUGGUUAGGGAUAAGGGGUCGAUUGAGCAAGGGUUAGGGUUAGGGUUUCCUACCUUGAUAGCCGGAGCACCGGAGUCGCCGGCGACGUUGACGAAGCACAGAUCCAGCGAGACCGACUACGGAUCCGGCGAGUUCUAAUGCGGAUCCGGCAAGAUCGACGCGGGGCCAAGACCUGGCGAGGCCGACACGGAGAUGACGAGAAGGACGACGCGAAGCGAGAAUGCGAGAUCAAGAAUAGCCAUAGGUGAUAGGAGUAUACAUGGCCGUGCCGUGUGCAAGUGCCGGCGGAGGCCGGAGGCCACCGGAGGGGGAGGAGAAGGGCAGAAAGGAGGGGAUCCGGGGAGGGAGGCAGAGAGAGAGAGAGCCGGAGAGUCGGAGAGAGAGAGGAGAGCGAGCGAAGAGAGAGAGAGAGGAGCGGCGCAAAUGACGGAAUGAGCUAGGGUUACCGUCGCGCGCCGUCGGCCUCCCUUAUAUACGCGCCCCCGCCAACGGUCGGAUCCAACGGUCGGAUGGAGCGGGGGCGGCGGAUCCGACGGCUGAUAGCCGUUUGGCCGUGCCUUAAGCGGGCCGGCCCAUUAAGCGUGCCGUGCCCGUGCCGGCACUACGGGCCGAAUUGGCGGCCCAGACACGGCACUAACGCCGUGCCGGGCCUGGCACUGGCACGAUGGUUCACGGGCCGGGCCGUUUUCGGGCCGUGCUUUUUCGUGUCGUGCUCGGGCUGGCCCGUAGUGUUAGUGCCAAAUGGAAAUCUAUAUACUGGAUAAUGAUAACAGAGUUUGGAUAGACUUGUUCGCAGGCUUUGGGCCUUUUGGGGGGCUUCCUUCAUGCUGUCUCGACAUACAUGGGCCUUGCAAAGAAUUUUGGGCCAACUUCGUUGGCUUGGUUGACCGGUGAUGAAAUUAGUUUUCCUUGAUAGCAUGACUGAGAAAGCAACGAAUACUGCAAGUCAAUUGAUUAUUGAUUAACGGACAAUGUAAUAAAAAAUCAGUUAUUUUCUCAAAUUUUAGAUGCUUCAGUUGAGAUUUGUGUGUUAAAACUGUCUGGUUAGCGAAAUCUCUUCAAAGAAAAAUAAAGAAAUCAUUUUCGCCGACGUGAAGGAAAUACCAUAGAUUUGUGUGUUAAAACUGUCUGGUCAUGCAGCGGACGGUGGGACCUUUGCAACCAAUCACGCCCUACACCUACUGUUUCUGCUCUGCUAUUUAUCUACUGUCUUGAUGGUUACUUAUUUUGUUUAAGGUAAGGCAAAAUGCCUAUGAUGACAAACUUAUUUGCCCAAUUAAAACUAUAUGGGUAGCAUCAGAUGACCUUGAGCUUGUGAGGGACCAUGACAUUGAUGUUGUUGUUCUUGUUGCCAACUAGUAGUGCAUGUUCCUUACUUAUGCUUGUGCUGUUCCUUAGCUAUUGUCCAUUCUGCCUAUGCUGUUAUUUCUGGUGACAUUGCUAUUGUUUCUGUUGCCAUUCUGCUACUGUUAUUGGUCUUAUUUUCCUGUUCUGUCACUGAUGCUCCAACCUCAAGAUCAAGUGGAGUUGAAAAUUACAUCUGAGGCUAUUUUUUUUAUAACUUACUAUAUCAGACUUGCUAGUUUACAGACAUAUACCUAUGCAUAUGGAGUUACCUAUCUUGGUUACCCAAGCAAUUUGAUGUUGUUGCCACCUAUCCCUUGGUACUGCUUGUCCAAGCUUCUGUUGUUUCUCAGAUGCUGUCCUGGGAUGGAUGCUCAAAGGUUGCUAUUUCUGUUGGCAGUCCUAGGAUGGUUUCUGUUGCCUCUGUUGCUAACUGGGUAACCUGUCAUGGAGAUGGUCAUAUUGUUUUUGUUGUCGACCUCUUUGGUACUGCUUGAUCUUGGUUGUUUCUGGUUGUGCUGUUGUCAUACUUGUAAUUCUGUUGUUUCUCAGAUGCUGUCCUGGGAUGGAUGCUCAAAGGUUGCUAUUCCUGUUGGCAGUCCUAGGAUGGUUUCUGUUGCCUCUGUUGCAAACUGGGUAACCUGUCAUGGAGAUGGUCAUAUUGUUUUUGUUGUCGACCUCUUUGGUACUGCUUGAUCUUGGUUGUUUCUGGUUGUGCUGUUGUCAUACUUGUAAUUCUGUUGCUUUUCUGUUGCCACUGUCUUACUAUUUGUGGUCUCCAAUUCAUCUAGUUGUCAUACUGUCAUUCUGUUCCAUGCUUUGUUUUCUCAUUCAUCUGUUGCUGCAAUUGAAUCAAGUUUCAAUUUGCUCCUCUUUGGUACUGCUUCAUCUUGGUUUUUUCUGGUUGUGCUGUUGUCUUACUAUUUGUGGUCUGCAAUUCAUCUAGUGUCAUUGAUGCUCCAAGCUCAAGGUUAAGACAACAUGCAAAUAACAUCUGAGGCCAAUAAUUUAAUUUCCACUUUUUGUUUUCUCAUUCAUUUGUUGCUGCAAUUGAAUCAAGUUUCAUUUUGUUCCUCUUUGGUACUGCUUGAUCUUGGUUUUUUCUGGUUCUGCUGUUGUCUUACUAUUUGUGGUCUGCAAUUAAUCUAGUGUCAUUGAUGCUCCAAGCUCAAGGUUAAGAGAAGAUGCAAAUAACAUCUGAGGCCAAUAGUUUAAUUUCCACUUUUUGUUUUCUCAUUCAUCUGUUGCUGCAAUUGAAUCAAGUUUCAUUUUGUUCCUAAGGCACAAUGGCUUGGUACGUUGUGUACCGUGGUAGGAAACCUGGAGUUUAUGCAACUUGGGUAACCUGUCAUCAGCAGGUCACCGGUUAUCCAAACUGUUGCUAUAAGAGUUUUAGUUCGAAAGAGGAGGCAAUUGCAUCUUUUCUAGAGUGCACUGGUGACGGAGAUGUCGAUAUCAAAGAAGCGACCGACGGUUCAAAAAACACGGCAACUGAAGUUAGUUGGGUCCAUAUCGUAGCCGGGCUACAAUUUAUAAUUAUUAUUGUACUCCUACUACUAGUCUAUUAUCUUUGGAAGUAGUCAAGCACGAGAUUAGUCUUUGUAAUAUUAAAACAUCUCAUGUUCAUCUCAUUGUUGGUAACCUCACCAAUAUGGUGCUAGGGUGCUCCGACCUCAUCCUGUUCUCUGUACCAAACACAAGCUAGUGACUCCUGUCGUACACGAGAGCGAUACAACCAGAACAACCAAACACAACCUCGCAUGAUUCAGGACGACAGCAAAAUGCAACCAAACAAACCUCCCUGUAUCACUCUAUUCCGUCUCCCACGAUCCAGAACAACCGGUCCAUUCUGGACGGUCCGGACCGGAGCAACCAAUCACGCCCUUACUGGAUAAUGAUAACAGAGUUUGGAUGGACUUGUUCGCAGGCUUUGGGCCGUUUGGGGGGCUUCCUUCAUGCUGUCUCGACUUACAUGGGCCUUGCAAAGAAUUUUGGGCCAACUUCGUUGGCUUGGCUGACCGGUGAUGAAAUUAGUUUUCCUUGAUAGCAUGACUGAGAAAGCAACGAAUACUGCAAGUCAAUUGAUUAUUGAUUAACGGACAAUGUAAUAAAAAAUCAGUUAUUUUCUCAAAUUUUAGAUGCUUCAGUUGAGAUUUGUGUGUUAAAACUGUCUGGUUAGCGAAAUUUCUUCAAAGAAAAAUAAAGAAAUGAAGGAAAUAACAUAGAUUUGCCUCAAUAUAGGUAAGUUUCUUUACAAGAAUAUAACUACUACUCUCUAAGUGUAGUGGUGGUUAUGCAUGUGCUGCAAAUUGAAGAGUUUGGACUUUCGAAAUGGACAAGCUGACUGCCAAGAACUGUGAUUUAAUUACAAGUACUUAAUUAGCUACUAAAAGUUAUCAAUCAGGGGUACCAAAUCAAGGUUACAUUAUAUGACCUGGCCUUUUGACGUAAUCCAAGUUAGCACCUUUCUGCUGGCUAGGAUCAUGCACAUGGCGGUCACCAUUGUUUCCGACUAACAAACCCACAUGCCAAUGUAUGAUAACACGAUCGGAAUUUCCAAAUAAUACAAUACGUACAUGGUCAAAUGAGUCAUCAUAUUCUCUCAAUAUAGUAGUAUUAUAUAUUCGCUUGAAUUUAAGUAUCUGAUGAGUAGUAAUCCUCAAUUAAAUCCAUGUCUGCACCAGUCAAACCAGACGCCACGCAUCGUUCUGACAAAUUUUGUCGGUGUCUGAAUAAAAUAUAUUGAUCUUGAAAAAAAUUAGAUUUCAAUUCAUCAUCGAUCAAUGUGCAUUUAUGGAUGCUCAAAUCACACUGUUAUCGUAAUCAAGCAGGCAGCUCAUUCAGAUUAUAAUAUUUUCUUGCGAAAAAUACUAUUAACAUAUCUUGAAUGUUUUUUCACUGUUUGAUUCAAUUGAAUAUUUUGCAUUUGUUUAUGAAAAUAUUAAUACAAUAAGUUAAGUUAAACCGUACGUGCUUGUGUUUAAUUUGCAGGGUAAUUAAUUAAGCUAGUCGCUGUUGUAGGAGGCAGGCAGGCAUGUGGCUUGUGAUGUGCGAUACAACAAGGCGCAGUUGGGCGCACAUCACACGAUGAAUUCAAAAAAAAAAAAAGAAGAACAUGCAUACACACAUCUAAACCUUACAUGGAUGCCUGCAGGUUCACUGAACCCUGCAGGGAUCAAAUUAAUAGAAUGGAAUAUGUAAUGAUAAUGCUGCUUCCUAGGUUCAUGCAGCUACCCUCUCAUCUCCUAGCAAAGCAGAUCGAGCUAGGGAACACCAUUUGCAAAAGAAAAAAAAUGUCCAUUUUGUAAUCUUCAUCUAUAAGCCAAAGUCUAGCUUCCAAUGCAACCAGCAACUAAUAAGAAGCCAUUCCCUUUUCAACUCCAAACUAAUAAAACUGAGCAUUAAUUCCGGCCCUGCUAGUUUAGAGCAGCUUGUUGAAGUCAGUAAAUAAUUUUUAAGAAAUAUGAAAAAGUUUUUGUUGCACAUGUAUGAUUAGGCUCCUUGAACUUUGCUACUAAUAGCAUAUACGAAGAUUAUGUACACUGUUAAUUACCAGUGAUAAUUUUUAACUAGCCGGUUAAUUUACAGACAUGAAAGGAAAAUGAAGGUGGAAGUGAACUAAAGCAUAUGCAUGCACCCUUGAGCAGCCAUGUGCUCCCACAGUAAUUAACAGACGCUGAGGCAGCGAUUAAUUAGAUGCUGCCGGCGUCACCCAGCGAUUAGAUGGGUGGUGACCGGUGAGAUGCCAACUACAACAAAUUAGAGAGAGCUCUCCAGGCCGGCUAUAAGUAGACAGCUGCUGCUGCUGAUGGAAGCCGUAAGGCGCCGUAGCCAAAAAUAUAAGCAAGUCCCCUGCCUCUCGAUCCUUCUGCUAGCUAGCUAGCUCGCGGUUGUGUGUUGUGUCUUGUGUGUGUGAGGAAGGAUCGAUCGAUCGUCGGGCUCGGAGCUGAGGAAGAAGAAGAAGAUGUACGGCGGCGGCGGUUGCAGUCCGGACGACGACAGGAUGGUGUGGAACGACAAUAAUAAAAAGCUGGCGACGAAGCACAUCAAUGGAGGCGGCGGCGAGGAGGCAACAGCAAAAGGCGAGAAGCGGAAGCUGCGGCGGUCGGUGUCGAUGACGACGGUGGGUGGGCGUCUGGCGAGCGCGGCGAAGGAGCAGCGGGCGCGCCUCUACAUCAUGCGCCGCUGCGUCUCCAUGCUCGUGCGCUGGAAGGACUGACUGUUUGGGCUGCUGUGGGUGUGGGUGUGUGUAUGGGCCAGGCCCAUCAUGUUUGGGCUGCUGCUGGGUUGCUUUGCUUUUGCUUUUCGAGAGAGAGAGAUCUGAGAUGGGCCUCCGUUGUCGCAAUUCUGUCUGUUGUAUUAUGCUUGGGCCGUUCAUUGCGUACGUAGGUGCGUUGGCCGUCUGAAUUAAUCAUCUCAAUCGGCUAUUCUCUGUGCGAUCCAAUCGGGGUUUUAAUUUCUUGGUUUACAGCAACGUAACCUACCCAUAUAUAGCUAGCUACCUAGGUGCAACGACGGAAGUGGAAUAAUGGAUCCACCGUACAAACAGAUUUGUGAAUGGAAAGAGAUAACACUUGGAAGUUGUGGAAAAAUAAUGGGUUACAGUGACCCGUGAGCCACUUUACAUUCCGAAAAUGUGCUUUCUCAAACGCUACAUUCCUAGUAUAUGCUGUACAUAAAGGUCACUGGAGGGUAAUGUGUACAAAUUGAAUUCCUCCGCGUAGUGACGUUUCUCACACCUCCAUCCCUCUAACCUUGGGACUUCGCCUUCAUGCCAGAUCAACUUGUUAGCUUCGUAUCAUCACCCUCAGCCCGAGAUAAAUGCCCAACCUCGUGGCGCCCGUUAGCUCCCCUAUAAAAGGUGGGGUGCGGGUCACUCAGGGCUACCCUCGCAUCUUGCUGUGAGUUUGCGCGCUGUUUGCUGGUGCUUUGAGAUUCGUGCUUUCCUCAGUUGUUUUUGUCCGUCUUCAUAGCUUCGAAGGUAUUGUUCUUAUGCAUAUUUUUCAUUCUUGUUUAGCUCUAUUGUUUUGCUUUGAUUUAUUGUUUAUGUGUUAUUCAGCUGACUCGAAUUAUGCAAACCGUGAGAUUGAUGACUCCUGAAGAAUUAGCAUUGCAUGGUCACGCUCCCGAAGGACAAGAGCCUCGCGAGGGUUCUGAUCAUCUGGAGGAAAUCAUGCCAUGUGUCCACAUGCUGGCCAUUGAUGUCUAUGGAAAUUACGCGGUCCAGAAGGUUAAGUUUCUCCAACUCAAUCCAAUAUAUUUGCGGCAUGGUUUCUAUUUAACUAGAAUUUGCAUUGUGAAGCAUGUACAAGAAUAUAAUAAAUUGAGCAUCAAGUCCCGUAUUAAUUAAUCCAUUAUUUGUUUCACCAUCAGGUUCUUGAGUAUGGACCGGAAUCUUACAAGAGGAAGCUCAUCGGCUAUCUUAUUGAGCAUGUGUUACCUACCCCUAAGCUUUCAUAUGUAUGGUUGCCGGGUCACACAGAAGGUAAACCAAUAUUUCAUAUUCGAAAAUGCAUGUGUGUGUGUGUGUGUCUUGUUCUGUUCCUGUGUCAGAGAGUGUUUUCCUACUGCAACAACCUGGAGAUCUACGACACGUUGGCGGCAGAGAUCAUCGAGUCUGUUAACAAGCUGUCUCGAGAGAAAUUUGCAAACUACGUGGUGCAGUACCUGCUGGAGCACGGCGGCCAAGCUAAGCGGUCCAUGAUGGUGAGCAAUUUUGCCGGGUACGUCGUGAGCAUGAGCUACAACAAAUUUGCCUCCAAUGUGAUCGAGGCAUGCCUGACCUUCGGGAGCCAGGAGGACCGGCAGCUCAUCACCAACGAGAUCAUCACCAGGAAGAUGGUGUCCGUUGCGGAGGAGCAGCAGGUGGGCGUGCUAGCUGGUGGAUGUGGCCAGAAGCAACGUGGCCUAUCUAGUCUGAUGAGGUUUAAGUAUGGCGAGCACGUCAUUGCCGCCAUCGAGAGCUUCCUCAGCGCCAAGGGUAAGACGCAUUCCCUGCCAAGCUAGAUGUUCCUCAGCACCAGCAACGCUAACUCAUGACAUGGCUCCUCCUCCACUCCCGCCCCAGUGAGAUCUGGCUGCUGCUAACUGCCUAGCGAAGAAGACGAAGAGGAGGGAGACUGCUGCAUCAUCCAUCUUGUACCGUGUCGUUGGAUCGAUCACUACUUAUGAAUUAACGAUCAGGUUUCAGGACUUGGAUCGAAUCGAUGGAAUGUUUCCUUCGUCGAUCAUCCCAACAGCAUACUGUGACUGCUGUCAGAUCAGAUGCUGCAUCAUCGAUGGAAUGUUAGCUGACUGACUGACAUGCAGUGACCGUUGUGGUAAACUAGUUGUUAUAUAUGUCAUUACAUGAUCGAUUAGGUUCAGAUGCUACACGUAUAUAGUCUAUAACUCUGAACAAAAAGCUUAAAGCACGAACAGAAGAUACAUAGAGCACAAGGGAACAUGCAUGGAUGAGUGUACUAGCAGAUGAUGAACUAUUUAUUUCCUGGAUGUGGGCGGCGGGCAGAAGGUGAUGAGGUAUCGGCUGGCCUUGCAGCGGUUGAGGGAGGUGGCGUCGUCGUAGGCGUAGCUGUAGGCCUUGGGACAGACGGCCUUGAAGACGUGGGCGAAGAUGGUGGGGCGGCACCUCUCCGGCGACGCGUAGUCCCCCGUGCAGCAGUACCUGUCGCCUCCCAUGGCCCUGCACGCGCUCCGGCACCCGGCCACCUUCCCCUCCCUGUCCCUCACCUCCAGCGCCGACGGGCAGCAGACGUUCAUGUCCGCCUGGCACCCGGCCACGCCGCACCCAGCGCCGCCGCCCACCGGGGACAUGGACACCGGCGCGUUGAAACCGUCCACCAGCGACACGUCGUAGAAGUGCAGCGCCGACCUGGGGGUGCCCAGCGUCAUCUCCACCACGGUCGCCGGCGUGGCGCCGGGGCGGCCGUCGCACCGGAGCACGCCGCCGCAGUCGCCCGUGGCGCAGCUGCCCCGCCCGCGGUCGUCGAAGGAGCAGCCGCGGCGAGGCCACACGCGACCGGACCAGCCCAGCGGCACGUCGAAGGCGGUCUCGUCGCCCGGGGCCAGGUGGAAGCCGCCCGACUGCGGUGUCGGGUGCCCGGCGGUGCCCAGCAGGCCAGGCCAUAUCGACUCCGCGCAGUUGUUCACCAAGAUCAGCUGGAUGCCGCCGCCACCACCACCACCACUCGCGCUAGUCACUAGUAACGCCGCCAUGGACAGGAAAAUGCUGAGGAGCUGGAGCUUAGCCAUGGUGCUCUCCUGAUCUGUCAGCUAUAGCUGCUGCUAAUCAUAUCGAGUCUGCGGUGCUUAUAUGCAUCUGCAAGGUGCAAGAUGCUACUCUACGAAGAGGAUUGUUAUUCAUCGCUACACACAGAAAAGAUACAAAAGAUGCAAAGCAUUGCGCCGGCCAGGAGCGAGCUAUUACUUAAGUAGUGAUCUUAUCAUCAGCUUUGGCAACUAAAAAGUUUUGAUUCUGGCAAUGCAACAAGCAGUGUAGUGGCUCCCAUGAUUCUGUCGAGCCCCGACUCGAUCGUAUCGAUCGUGCAGUUAAAGAUAGAUGCCAGAAUAUUACACAAGACAGAAUUGUGGUUUCCUGCUUGCAUUAGUUGUACUUGCCUCGCUCUAAAGUUUUUCAGGUAAAAUCUGAUGAAUUAGUUUAUACAGGAUUUUUUUUCCCACCAUGACGCCAAUGUAGACUAUAUAGCAGUCCAUGUAGGACAGAAGUCAGUAGCAGCUACCAUACUACCAACAAUGAAGAACUACUCAGCUUCUUCAGUCAGUCAGUGAUGAACUUCCUAUACAUGCAACCGACAUAUACAUUAUACCUGCUGACAUAAAGGUCAGAGAAAGCAAAUUAAAGGAGAGGAACUGCUGGCAUAAAGUGGUGUGUUGCCCUCCAACUUAGGACGUCCGGAAGGGAUUGCAAUGCAAUCUCAGGAUCUAUUCCUUGCUUUGGACUGGGGUUAGCUUCUACCUCGCGUAUGCAUAUAUAGUAUUUGGAUAACCAAAAGAAUGAGCCCAGCAGCAAGUUGAUGCACGGAUCGGACACUUUCCUUCCUACAAGGAAUAUCUGCCUGCUCCUCCAUCUCUUUUGCUUUUCCAUCGCCAUGCUUUUGUCGAGGCAAUCUUGUGAAAAGGGCAAGUGUGUUGCUUACACAUCUGAUGAAAUCAUCAUGCAUGUUUGCUACUGUUAUGAACCUUGCUUGAAGGGCCAAAUUCCAGCUUGACCGGCCCGCUGACAAAUUGGGCCUCUCAAUUCUAGAGUACUUUUGGCCCAAAGUAUAACCUAUAGUACUUUGCUCACUACUAAAUAGUGACUAGUAUUCUCAUGAAAGGAAAUCAACAAAGUAAGGUGGCCAACGUAAAUUACACAAGAGAUUUAUAUAUAAUGAAAUGAUCCACACAUAGUUCCUUGUACAAAAGAUUAAGAAAAAAAGAAGGCUGAAAACUAAACAGCACGCACAACACAAAUACAUGUGCGUGUGCUUGCAGUUGCAUUGUAGUGAUAAGCAACCAAUGCAAGGAGAUUGCAAUGAACGAAUGCAAUAGCUAAUACUAUAUAGUACAGUAGUAGUAGUACACACAGGUAGCUAGUUAAUGUGCAGGUAAUCAAUAAGUUUGUGGGAUUAGCUAGUUAAUUACUGGUAGUAAAUUAAGUAAAGGAGCAGUAAAAUUAAGAGUAAUGUGUGUGAGAUGUACGCAUGUCUUGAUGAUGCAUCUCGUGUGUGUACUUGAUUUUAAUUUGGUGCGUCAAUUAUUACCACCAUCGUCGUCCUGUGUAGUAGCAGUGCUGCCUUCUUGGGGUGGUGGUGUUGACGAUCCUCCGCCGAACAAGCGACGACGGCUAACCGCCGACCUGUUGAUGGCCGUAUUGUGUGUCACUGAAACUGGGCUACACUGCUGCUCGAAAUCCAAGGAGCAGGAUGCGUAGAUUGCCUGCAUCAUCCUCAAGCACUCAUCGGCGUCUUUCUCGUCCUGCAUUGCAUGCAUGCUAGUAUUAUAUUGAAGAAACAAAAAUGCAGUACUGAUCUACUGUACAUAGUUGAACGGAGGUAGGUGCUGAAGAAUGAUCGAUGGUUUACCGUUGGGCAAUGUGGACGAACAAGGCGGCUGAUGAUGUCGCCGUGCAGCAGUUGGUGACGAUCCUGCUCCAGCUGGUUUACGCACCGAAGCGCGGAGGCGGCGAUGACGGAGGGAUCGAAGCGGAGGAGCAACGAGGGCUCUGCGAGCGAGCGGAUGAGGAGGCGAGUUGCGCAGCGAGCGGUGGUGGCCGUAGUAAUAAUGAGCUGGAGGAAGGAGUAGGGCGUGACGCAGGCGAGGCGCCAUUGGAGCGCCUUGAGCAGCGCGAGCUCCAUGUCCCGCACCGUCGCCGCCCGGAACCAGUGCCCAAGCACCUCCUCCAUCUGCAAAUAAUCAUUUAUUCAGAAAAAAAAUGUCAUGCAUACAAGCAAGCAAGCAUGGGCAUGUGAAUGCAUGCAAUGCGGUCAUGUACGUAAUAGUACCUGGAGAUCGUGGAGCGAUGGGAUAUUGACUUCGUCCAGCUUGCACGCGAUGGACAAGCAGGCCACGCUCACCAGUUCAACCAUCCACGCCUCCUCCCACUUCUGCUUCAUCAAUUCAUUCAGUCGUUCGUUGCAUUGCAUCAAGAUCGAAGAAGAGGAGGAGGAAUGAAUGAAAUGAACUCGUCAUCCGGCAAGCUAAGCUAGCUGCAGAUGAUUACUUACCAGAUGGCAGUUGAUGGAGAGGAAUCUGUCCAGAUAGUUGACUGCGUUGAACGCCGUGGCCGCCGCCAGCCCCAACCGACCAAAUGCCUUAGCAAAUUGAAUUGCAUUCGUCAGAAAUUUGAAGCAAUAAUAGAUGGAGAUAGAUAACGUGUAAUUGAAAAAGAUCAAUUUAAAGAUAAUUACACAUUAUUACAUAGAUGAUGUAGUGCACUCCUCUUGAGCGAGCGGCGGCCACACCUGCUGCACCCUGCUGCCGCCGCAGAUGCUCCAGGUAGCCUCUGCUCGGCGCGUAGCAUCCCUGCCUGCCCACCAUGUGCUCCAACAACGCAAGAACCUCCUCCUGUUCUGCUGCACCUAAUUCCUCCUCGUCUCCUCCGACGACUGACGCCGCCGCCGCCGCCACCGGCCCGCCACCAUUACCAUCAGCUGGAGGAGGCGUGGAGACAAGGAGAGGGUCCUCGUCGCAGUAGAGAAGAUCACUAGCGUCGUCGUGGAGCAGCAUGCUCCCCUCCUCGUCGUCUUCCAUCCCUACCGGCCCUACAUAUGGUAUGGCUCUCCCCGGCCGAAUCGAAUCAUCCAUCAAUCGAUCGACGAUCCGGCCCCCUGUAUAUACAUGGCAAGAACGGAACGGAUCGGAGGAGUUACCCUGCUCGUGCGUACGUCGUGGAUGGUGGAUUGGUGGUUGGUGCCUUAAAGCCCGGGAGAGCAGCCUCAUGACCAUCCAUGACCGCCGUGUAGGCUAUAGCUGCAUGCAUGGCCAUGGCCGGCCGCCCGCGCGCACUCAAUGCAUCAUGCAAUCCGUCCUGUACGUACUGCAUACUCCUAGCUGGUGUAUAUAGCAGGAUCGACGCGCAUCCACGUACGUACAUCCACUUGCUCUGCCAUCACGUACGUGCAUGCAUACCAAGAAUCAUGCACUAUUGUGCAAUCAGCCAGGAAAUACUUAAUGCGCCCGGCCAUUCAAUGCCAUCCAUCCAUCUACCUGGAAGAACCAAGCUGCUGCUGUCGUUUAAUGCUUGCAUGCAUUCUGUUCCUUCUGACCGCCGCCGGAAAAGGAAAUAUCACCGACGUACUGCCAUGGCAGGCAGUCAUUCAGUGUCAGUACGCCAGUCUAACUCAUAUCAGCUUGCUGACCAGACCAACAACGCCCAUCCAUCCAUUUACACCGUACUUAGCUUUUACCAUUACAAUCCCUCUAACGUGCAUGUACUCAUGUAGUACAUACUAGAACAAGCCAUAUAUCAUCGAUAUAAAAUAAUCACUGGGAUUCAAAAAUAACGACGUCUGCCUAAAAACAACAAUAAUGUCGUCUACUUCAUAUAUUAUAUAUAUGUAACCUAAAAUUUACUUUUGGCAGUGUUGUCACAGCUUAUUAUUGUUCAACCCUCCGGACCUUUUUUUUUCAUCUUUUCCCUCCCCCAACCCCUAGGACGCAGGACGGGCGCUUUGUGUAUGUGUUGGCUGCAACGAGUGGGGAUGUACGGCACGCGAUGUGCGAGGGAUCACAGGGAGAGGUCUCGUUACAUAUGCAGGUGUUUGGUUCCAUGGACUAAAGUUUAAUCCCUAUCAUAUUAAAUAUUUAGAUACUAAUUAGGAGAACUAUAUAUGAUCUAAUUAUAAAACCAAUUGCACAGAUGAAGGUGAAUUCGCGAAACGAAUCUAUUAAAUCUAAUUAGUCCAUGAUUUGGCUGCAACGAGUGGUGAUGUAAGGCACGCGAUGUGCGAGGGAUCACCAGGAGAGGUCUCAUUCCAUAUGCAAAGCUGAUUAACUAAGGUCAAAGGGGUCAGUAUGGAAUUAUGGAAUGAGAGCUUGGAAAUCUUGGUUUCACUCCUCGCUAAUGCACUUCCACGGCUUGCCAGAGGUACACCCCUAUUUAGUCAGUCGCCGUGAUGUUGCUUGGGGACACCACUACGUGCGAGUGCGCUACAACUCUAUCUAAGGAUGCGUGAAGUUGGAAAAUUGCAUGCAGGGUUAGGGAUUUGAGAAAGGAAAAUUGAUUUUGGGAUAAUCAAAUAGGGAGAUGUGAGAGCCUGAACCUGAGUGGGAUGCGAUGCGAGCCAUGAUGAAAGAAGUUGUUGUGUCCACAGUUGGCACUUUUGGUGGAACGAAUUAGGACUUAGCAUGGAUAAGGCUGGUUGUCCAAGAUGCAUGUAGCUUGUUUUAUAUCAGGGAAACAAGAAUAGCUGAAUAUCUUCCAAUACAUUAGUAUACACAUGUAUAUAGCACAUACAUAAUUGAUUCUUACUGGAAAAAUCUUGGAUAUUCCCGAGAACACAGAGGCAUCAACGUGCCUCCGCCCCUGCCGUAUCCUCUCUCUUUUGAGGAGAGUGAGAGGGAUAAAAACACUACUAGGAAAAAUGCGAUUAGUACCGGUUAGGAAACCCCUUUAGUACCGGUUUCGCAACCAUAGUUCGGUACUAAAUGUUGGAGGUAUGCCCUAGAGGCAAUCAUAGAGAUGAUGAUAUUCCAUUUGUAUCCAUGAUUUGUAUAUUGUGUUCAUUGAAUAUCCAUUAAAGGCUACUUGAAUUGAUUUGCAAUUAUGUGAAUUGUAUGUGAAACUCUUUACUUGUAUGGUUAUUCUAAAGUUGUCCCUGGUCGGAGUUCAUGUGAGGACACACAUGAAUAUUAGACUAGCACAUGUAUUAGUUGAUGACUAUGUUUCACAAGUCAUGGACAUGGAGAUGUUGAACUAAUAAUGUGGACACAUGUGGAGACAUGUGUUAGGACUGACCCAACACGAGAAGUAGUUCUCUCUUUAAACAACAUAUACGCUUUGUCCUUAGACCUGAGAUUGUCGCAUGUAUUCUAGAUGUGGAUUGACCUACUUAGGGGCUAUCAAACGCUACACCGUAACAGGGUAGUUAUAAAGGUAGCUUUCGGGUUUGUCAAGAAGCAUGCUAUGAGACAUGGUCAAUCAAGAUGGGAUUUGCCCCUCUCUGAUUGAGAGUGAUAUCUCUGGGCCCCUCGAGUGAUCGGAUCCGAAAAUGCAUGGCCAUGCUACGUACGGUUAAGAGUUAACCUACAAAGGGAUUCCGAAUCACAGGAUCGAGAAAGAGCGGUCGGCUUGAAGCUAGACCAAAUAUCGUGAGGCAAAGGGAAUAGCAUGUAUAUUAUGUUGUGAUGGUUCGUCUGAUAUGAUCUUCGUGUGCGUAUAGGAGUUGGCACGUCUUGCUAGAGGCCGCUACCGACUAUUGGACCGAGUAGGAGUACUCGGGCCAUGUCUAUACGUAUCCGAACCCAUAGGGUCGCACACUUAAGGGGCUGGAAGCCCAAUUCGGAUCUGAUCCGAGUUGGAUUAGGUUUAGGAGUACUAAUGGGCCUCGGAUCCAGAGGCCCGUCAGGAACCCCUAUAAAUAGAGGGGUGGGGGCGCCCUAGGGUUUACACCUUUUGGCUGAACACACUUGCCGCGCCUCCCACGCCCUCGCCUGUUGCAACUCGCGGAUCUAGCAGUCCGGCUUGCGACGCUUCCUCCCUGCACGUGUGGAUACCUUGGAGGUGUUGCGCCUGCAGCACUUGGACGAGCCAUCGACGAGCCGCCGACGAGCCACGACGAGCCGACGACGAGCCGCGGCACCGGAGGCGAUCUUGCUGUGCACGUGGACGAGCUGCUGAGGAGCUGCUGGACGUGAUCGACUACGUACAACUACGUUGAUCGACUACGUACGACUACGUGAUCGUCUUCACUGCACCGACGCAUAUCUACAUCUUCCGCACCAGUAGUGCGUCGAGUGGUAAUCCCGUGAUCCUCAUACAGCAGUUCUUCCUGGUUAUACGCGGUAGAAAUUUUGAUUUGCGCUAGCGUAGCCUACCUCGUAUCCCAACACUAAAGGGGGACCUUUAGUAACCGGUACUAAAGGAAUAUUAAAAAAUAAAAAAAAUUGAAAUCCCCACUGAGGCCUCGCCGGCCCUGCCCUCCCCGGUCCCCGCCCCGCCGCCGGCCCUCGCCGCCCCCCAGCCACCUGCCCGCCGCCGCUCCGCGCCCGCCCACCGCUCCGCUCCCACCUGCCCGCCAUCACUCUGCGCCCGCCCGCCGCUCUGCUUCCGCCCGCCCGCCACCACUCCCGCCAUCGCCGCCACGCCCCGAUGGCCGCCGCCGCCGCGCCUCGCCCCGCCACCGCUCCUCACCUUAGGCACGAGGUGAGGGGCGAGCGGAGGGAGGAGGAGAGGGGAGGCCGGGGAGGGAGGGGGCCGGUGGAGGGAGGAGGAGGGGCUCCUGGAGGGAGGGAGCUGAGGGAGGAUGAGGGAGGCGGAGGGAGAGGAUAAGGUGCUAAGGCGUGCGGGAGAGGAUAAGGUGAGGGAGCUAGCGUGCGGCAGAGGAUAAGGUGAGGGAGGCGGAGGGAGGGAGAGGAGGCGUGGAUGGUUUUAGUACCGGGUGGGAAGCCCACACGGUACUAAAGGGUAAAGGGGGGGUCAAGGGGGGCUCCUCGGGGACUAUCCGUUAGGCUCGGUACUAAUGCUCAUAUUAGUACCGAAUCAAAAUGCAACCGGUAUUGAGUCUCGGGAUGAAUGCUCAUUUUUCUAGCAGUGAAAGGACUGAGAAAAGAUAAUUGGGAAAGAUGAUUAGUUGGAGCUGUAAUGUUUGGCCUUAGAAGAUUAAGGAAAAAAAAAGAGAUUGGGAAAGGAGGACAGGUGGAAAAUCGUAGGCAAGAGAAAGAAAUGGACAGAGGUACAUGGGCUGCAGAUUAGCAAAGUGUGCGCUGUCCUUUGUUGCACAGGUUCUCCUCAGAGGCCCAACGCUAGAGAGGCCAAUAUCUAGGCCUGCGGAUCAAAUUCCCCAACGGGCCUCAGCGAAUAAAGCUGGGCUCGGUAAUUGGGCCUCCUCUUGGUCCAGCAACGCUUCCGUAUCUCACUCAACAGAUCGAAUCGUAGCCGCAAUCUCCCGAUCCAACGGUCAGAAAUACCCCAGGCCGGGACGGUAAGUGAAAUACCGUUCACCCCGAGCCUCUCUGGCGCGCGCCACGGUGCUCGCCGCGCCGUCGCGCUCGGCAUCGCCGGCGCCCGCGACGCAGCAGCACCCUCCCCUAGUGUCAUCUCAGCAGCCUUCGGCCCCGCCUGCUCCCCUUGCCGCGCUCCUCCACUCGCCUCCACUUGCGGCGGCCGAUGUCUUCCCGCGCCGCCCGGGGCGACACCGCGCAGCCCCGUCGCGCUGCGCGGCUGCCUGCUGGUGUGUGGCAGGUGGCGAGCAGUUGGGCAACCGAUCAUCGCAUCGCCGGCCGACUGGCGUGCUUGGUCUGGAUCUGCGUCUUCUUCCUCUGUUUCCUUCCUUCCUUCUUCUAACGGCACCCUGCCUGUACUGUGCGCAGGUCGAAAUCAGUGCUCGCGUUGCGCUGCAUGCUGGGUGUUUGUCAGAAUGCCUGCCUGGCGUCCUCCCUUUUCAGCAGCAGCACUAGCUAGCUGGGGCUGAGAGAAGCAAGGGCACCCGAUGGCCUGCCGUCCCAGACCAUGCAUUUUCAUCUCCUCCAAUCGGUACAUUCUCGUCCUCACACCAAAAUUGAUGGAUGGAUUUGAUGAUCUCGAAUAAUUUCAUUUGGCUGUCACAUCCAUCUCGUUCUAGUGCCUUCCAGUGUGCAGCAGCAUCAACCUUAGCUAGAUCAGUAAUUUACGGAUGCUUUUGCAUUCAGGACAAAACUACAGUUGCAUUGUGCCCACAAAGCCUGCCAUAACUUGCUUGUUCAGUUAACAACCACAAACACAUAUCAAAUUUUGUGAAUCACAUAGUGUGAAUGUUCCAAGGAAACAAACACUGCCACCAAUAAUGUUCUUGCCUGCUUCUUGAAAACAUAUAUAGUUAAUAGCCAGUGCUGCCCCCAAAAUUGUGUGGCUGCGAGUUGUAAUUCUGAAAAUGAGCUCAUGGAGCUCUUCUUCCGAUAUAUCUUUCCAUGUUGGACUGUUGGUAAUGGGCUUGGUCAUUAGACGACCUUGAUAACCAACUGGUUUCAAUUGUAGCAUAAAAUUUACUGCCCUCCCUUCCCUUUUCUGAAACUGGAGGUGAUGUUUAGUUAUAUGCCACAUGAUUCAUCUGUGGAGCCUAUUCCUUUAUAUCUGAACCUGAAACACCAAUAUCCACCUGGUUGGCUGGUUUCAUUUAUCUUUGACCUCUAGAUUUUGUUGGUUCUCACUGGGUUUGAAGCACGCUGUUGUUUCGUUAUAUAGUUUGGUUUCAGAAAUCUUCUGAAUUCAGUAACAAGCAGAGUUCACAUAGGCGUUGAUAUGAUAGACGACAUUAUGUUAUACUCUUUUGUACAUCAUACCAAAUCAUUAAUGUAGCUUAUAUAUGUUGAGUUAUGUAAGUUAGCAAAUAAGUAAGAGUAUAGAGACUUGAAUGUAAAAUUGUUUAUAAAAGGGGGAAGAGGGGCACCAGCUCUGGAAGCUCUGAGAAAUUCCCCCAUUUGCUUCUCUUCUAUCUCAUCUCCAAAUCCCCAUUGAAUCUCUCUAAAUCCAACAAUAUAUAUCUUUACAUUGACAAAAACUUUUCAUGCCCAGCUAUCACUUGGCCAGAUCUGGUAUCUUAGUACAAAGGGUAGAACAUAGAUCGGAUAUAAUAAAAAUGGCAAGCUUGAAAGUUGUAAAGCAGCUGCCACCGUCGAUCCUCGCCGUCGGGUCCAAGUUGCAUUGGUGGCACCCGGGACGGUGCAACCUUGGGUACGGUAGACUUGCAAUUCGCUGCUUUACCUGGAAGAUAUGUAGCAGGCUAUUAGUGUCGUAUAUUGCAGUACCAUACUGUAUAAUAUAGAAAAUUGAAGAAAUUAAAAGAGAAGACCAAGUUGCAUUAUGUGUAUUCACCUCCUCCUAUGCCGGCCGCCUAGCUAUAGCAAGAGGGUGUGUGUGUCCUGGUUUUCUACUUGAAGAAGGCGCCGGUCUUCAUGGCGUCCUCGUUGGCCUCACCAAGAGCCGCCUCGCUGAGGUACUUGUCAGCAAGCUGCACACGCUUGACGUUCUCCUGCUCCUCCACCAGCAUGUGGCCGUACUCCAAGAGCUUCUCGAUCGUCAUCUUGGGCUGGUCGAACGUCGGCGGGCCGUCCUUGGAGUUGACGAGCUUCUUGCCGAUGUUCUCGAUGCCGGUCUCGGCGACCCACUUGCGGACCUCGUCAUCGUACACCCGGGCACGCAGGGCGCCAAAGAAGUCGAUGGACUGGCCGGGGAAGGUGUCGACGAGCUUGACGACGUCGGCUUCAGGGACGCCGUCGGUGCGGAAGAUGCCCUUGCAGACACCGAUCCGGUCCUCACGGGUGGGAGCCCAGUAGAACUUCUCCAUACGGCCGUCACGGAUGAGCGGCGCGUACAGGGUGGAGAAGUCGUUGCCGGUGACGACGAUGGGGACACGGGGGUUCUCCUCCUUGUUGUACAUGCCGGGGAGCUGCACGUUGGUGGGGUUGUCGGCGAUGUUCAUCAGGGUGGCGUUCACCAUCUGGUUGUUGACGGUAUACUGGGUGGUCCCGCCCAUGCGACCGGCACCGGCGUCGAGAUCGUUGAUGAAGAGGCAGCACAUCUUGCCCUUCUUGAUGAUGUCGGCGGCCUCACGGUACCGCUGCCUGAUGAGCUUGGCGGGCUCUCCGGCGUUGCCGCUCUCCAGCUCUCCGGCGCUCAUCAUGAUGGGGCUGCGUGUGUGUGGGGAAGAUGGUCAUUUAUCUUAUCUGCUGUAUAUAUGAAAUCAAACCAAAAUUAAAGAUUGUUGCUUACGUGAUGCCCAUCUUGGCGAAGACAAGCUCACACUGGAAGGAUUUCCCUUGACCCUUGCCUCCCCAGAUACCCAGGAUGAGGGGCACCUUGAUGUUUGGCAGGGUCAUGAAGUUCUUGGAGAGGUGGACGACGAGCUUGUCCAUGAAGGCCGGGGCGAUGUAGAAGCCAUCCUUCAUGUUGUCCCACCCGGUGUAGUCCCUCAAGCCCUGGCUGAGGUACUCGUAGGAGCUGAGCACGGCCUCGUGGGUGCCGUCUCCCAUGGGUGCCUGGAAGAGGGAGUCGACGAAACCCUUGCCCCUGGUGAUGUCCUGCUGGUCGUCGGAGAUGUCGUUGACGAGGCCCCUCCACCUGUCUUUGUCGGUCUGCUUGGUCUCGUCGACAUCCUUGGCGGCCAUGACCUUGAACCUGUUGGCGCUGGAGCUCUUGACAUGGUAGUUCACGGCCGCGGUCGCUUGCGUCCUGAGCUUCUUCCCGAGGAAGCUGGCCGGGGUGGAGGCCUGUAUGUACGUUGUCAAGGAUGCACUUUAAUCGUCAGGCGGCUCUCGCAUAUACGAUCGAUGCAUGAGAUGAUGGAAGAGAACUCACCGGAGCUCCGACGGUGGAGGAGAAGGCGGCCGCCAUCUCUGCGCUGCUUCUUCUUCCUCCUUGGGCGACCUUGCUAGGAAGGGCACGAGUGAUCUAUCACUGAUGGCCGCCGCUGCUGCUCUUCUCAAAGUACUGAGGCCGAGCCUUGCAAGGCAUUAAAUAAAGGAGCACGUGUGGUGGCCGUGUGUCUGCCGCUGCGGCUGCCAUGGCCUGUGGUCGGGAUCGGAGGUCAGGGAAGAGCCGCAAGCCGCGUGGUUGUGGAUCAGCUCCCACAUCUCUCGGAGGCCACACGCUGAGGAUGGGGUUUGGCAGACGUGGCGACAUCCCGGCGGGCCAAUGGGAUGGCUUGCUUGCACUGGCAACACUAAGAGAGUAAGAGACCAUCUCUUGGCUUGUGUUGCAUGACACUGAUAGGCCCCCGGGCCACAGGAAGGCUGCUCCGCCUGCAGGAUGGAUGAGGCAUCCAAAUUUUGUAUCCGCAUGCAGGUUUUCGGGAGUUUCUAAUUUAUUUGUGAUUCACUGGUACUCCCUUAGUUUCAAAUUUUAAGUCAUCCUAAAUUUCUUGGAGAGUCAAGCUAUUUUAUAUUUGAUCAAAAUUAUAUAGAUGAUUACAAAUAUUUGUGGCAUCGAAUAGAUAUACUAUGAAAAUAUAUUUAAUGAAAAAUCUAAUAGUACUUAUUUGGUAUCAUACUUUAUUUAUAAAUUUGAUCGUUUAUACUUUCAAGAAAGUUGGAAUAGAAAAUAUUUACGGAUUCAAGAAUUUAGCAUUUUGCCCUAAUUUUUCACGCAAGCAUGCGCUAGCUAGUACGACUAUAGUAAUUAUUAUGCAACUACAAUAAAUAAAAGCGAAUAGUUUAUGAAAGUGGUCAAUGUAUCUUGAUCAUUUAAAUUUCACUGCGCGAUCCUUCACCAUAUUGAAAUCAUCAAUAAUCGAAUUUGUCGUGACCUUCAUAGCAAUCUCUUUCUCAAUAUGAGACAAGAAAUUAGAAAUCGGAAAUAGUUUAGGAGACAUGGAUUUGCCUACAUUUGGUUUGAGUCGGAGGAGGAACAUCAAGAGCAGAAUGCGCGGUUGAUGUUGCCCUCCAUCGCGGCCGCGACCACUUGCCAUCGUUGGCGUGAUGCCGCAGUCGCAGAGCUAGAGUCCGUGGCGCUGAGCGUGGAUGUCGAGUCCACUGCAACUGCGAGAUUGAAAACGAAACAUAGCGAGGACGAGAUCUUGUCAUCUUAGCGAGCGGCUGCAGGUGGCUGUAUGCGUUGGGCAGUUGGAUUUAGCUCCUAUGAUCUACUGACCAUUGGCUAACAAAGGGUAGCAAACAUUUUUUUUUUGGUUGGGUGUGACCAUGGUCCCUGCCCAGUUCCGGGCCACAGGAAGGCUCCUCCGCCUGCAGGAUGGAUGAGACAUCCAAAUUUUGUAUCCUAGCUAAAGUGCACCACAAAUAUUAAUAUUAAUAUUCUCGUAUAUAUGCCUAUUACAAACUUGUUUCUUGUUAACGCCAAACAUGAAUUGAAGGCAGUUUACAAUUAAUUUGCAAAAAGAUAAAAGAGGACUGGGCAGAGCAUCAUCAGUUGUAGACGCAGCUGCCGUCGUCGCUUCUGGCUGUUGGGUCGAAGUUGCCGGCCUUUGGGUCGGUGCACCCCUCGGGCACGGGCACGCCCACCUGCUGCGCCGCCUUGCCGUAGUACAAGUUGCCGGCGGUGAUGGCUUCGUCGUGGUUGGCGUCGCCGAGCGCCGCCUCGCUGAGGUACUUGUCGGCCAGCUGGACGCGCUUGACGUUCUCCUGCUCCGCCACCAGCAUGUGGCCGUACUCGAGCAGCUUCUCCAGCGUCAUCUUGGGCUGCUGGAACGUCGGCGGGCCCUCCCUGGAGUUGACGAGCUUCCGGCCGAUGUUCUCGAUGCCGGUCUCGGCGACCCACCGGCGCACCUCGUCGUCGUACACCCGGGCUCGCAGCGCGCCGAAGAAGUCGAUGGACUGCCCCGGGAAGGUGUCGACGAGCUUCACGACGGCCUCGUCGGGGACGCCGUCGGUGCGGAAGAUGCCCUUGCAGACUCCUAUCCUAUCCUCGCGGGUGGGCGCCCAGUAGAACUUGUCCAUGCGGCCGUCGCGGAUGAGCGGCGCGUACAGCGUGGAGAAGUCGUUGCCGGUGACGACGAUGGGGACACGGGGGUUCUCCUCCUUGUUGUACAUGCCGGGGAGCUGCACGUUGGUGGGGUUGUCGGCGAUGUUCAUCAGGGUGGCGUUCACCAUCUGGUUGUUCACCGUGUACUGCGUGGUGCCGCCCAUGCGCCCGGCGCCGGCGUCGAGGUCGUUGAUGAAGAGCACGCACAUCCUGCCCUUGCUGAUGAUGUCGGCGGCCUCGCGGUAGCGCUGGCGGAUGAGCUUGGCGGGCUCGCCGGCGUUGCCGCUCUCCAGCUCGCCGGCGCUCAUCAUGACGGGGUUGAUGCCCAUCUUGGCGAAGACGAGCUCGCACUGGAAGGACUUACCCUGGCCCUUGCCCCCCCAGAUGCCCAGGAUGAGGGGCACCUUGAUGUUGGGCAGGGACAUGAAGUUCUUGGCGAUGUGGACCACCAGCUUGUCCAUGAACGCCGGAGCGAUGUAGUAGCCGUCCAUCAUGUUGUCCAGGUUGUACUGACGGAGACCCUGGCUGAGGUACUCGUAGGAGCUGAGCACGGCCUCGUGGGUGCCGUCGCCCAUGGGCGCCUGGAACAGGGAGUCCACCAGGCCCUUGCCGCGAGUGAUGUCCUGCUGGUCGUCGGAGAUGUCGUGGGCGAGGCCCCUCCACCUGUCGCUCUUGGUCUGCUUGGUCUCGUCCACGGCCUCCUUCUUACUAUUGCUGGCCGACGCCGCCAUCGCCAUGACGACGACUCUGCUUCGACGGUGCUGCUUCCUGGUGGUGAUGAGCUUCUUCUUCUUCUUCCCAACGCCGAGGAAGCUGCUCGGCGUCGAGGCCAAAUUUAAAGCAGCAGCAGCAGCAGCAGCAGCCAUCUCGAUCGAUCGAUCUCAAGAUUAUUGGACGUACAAAUUGAAUGGGAUUGAAGAUGAUGACGAUGAGUUGUAGUAUAUAUAGCAGGGUAAAGAUAUGUAGCUGCUAAAUGGAUGAGCAGGCAGUAGCUAGUGUGGUCUGGAUGCUUCCCGAUUGCUCACUGGAUCUCCAGAACGUUAACGAACAAGUGUGCAGUGGUGGCCUGGUGGGUACGUGAGGCUGAUGAGUGGCCAGCAUGUUAGUACGUCCAUCCAAACACUGCUAUCCCAGCCUGACAUGCGUACGCUGUCGAUCGGAUGGGCCGCGUGGGCCCCCACCCUGGAUUUAGCAUUUGAGUACCGCUCUAUCCAUCCAUCCUGUUUUAGCACAGCUUUUUUAAGUGUUUAUAAAUUCUUACUAUAUAUCUUGUAUGUCUAAGAAAAAAAAUAAAACAAACUACAAUUUAAAAUGGAGGGAAUAUUUAGAAAAAAAAUAGGCCAUGUUUGGACCGCAUAUACCGGCUCCAGGGAUCGCCAAAAUGAUUGAGCAAGAACCGAGGUUUUACUGAACCCUUGCAUUAACCCUCAAUCUAUGAGCUUAGUGCGCUAAGGUCGUUGGGUUGGGGAAAAAACUCAUCUUUAGUCGUACUUGCAUUGGAUGGUUCUUAGCGAUUUCAAGAUUAGCCGCUAGACGAUCGCAUAACCUUUGAUCUAACGGAUGACCACCGGGAGCCUUGUUUCUACUCUUCUGUCACGUUUUAGAUACUUGAGUCUCGAGGCUUUUGUCAAGAGAGAACGAAUUGAAGGAUCCAUACAGCUUUUACAAAGCAUGAGAAUCGAAAUUGGCGAUCAUCUCCACGUAAGGGGAGAAGACGACAGGGUAUGCAUGGCGAGCUCAGCAGCUGGCUGCAACGAGCUCUCUGCCGCAGCACGCAGCAGCUGGCGUGCUCCUCGAUCUAGAUAGAUUGUAACGUUUUCGUCAGCGCCCCUCGAUGCCGCCCUGGCUCUCCAUCGGAGUUCCUUUCUCCACUUCCGGUCACAUCAAUCUCCAUCGGCGGCUGUGGCUCACGGCUUCGCCGGAGGUGCCGGAGAGUCCAUUUGUCCAGGCCUCGCCGGCGUGGAGCGAGCGAGCGACCGACGACCUGGGGACGUCGGCGUUCACCCGGAACGCCGCGUGGGAGAGGAGAGGCGACAAAGAAAAAAAAAAAGAAGGGAAGCGUCAAGAGUACUGGUCGUUUUCGCCCUCUAUCUGAGGAGUGUUGAAAAGAAUUAUUGGAAUGGAACAAACCAAAAAAUAUUGAAAAAAGGAAGAUGCAUUUCCAAUACUAGUCGUUUUUUUGGGAAAGAGAGACCUUUUUUUUGAGGGGGGAAAAGAGAGACUGAUGCUCUGAGGAAUUGAGGAAACACAGGUACCAAAAAAAGAAGAGGGAGAAAACACAAGCCGGGCCUUAACGGGCGGCCAGGCUAUGGCCCGCUAAGGCACGGCCCGUUAAGGCCCGCUCGGGGUCCCCAUCCCACCACGCGCCCCUCCCAAGCCCAUGGGUCGUGGCUGGACUUAUGGGGGGAUCAUUCAUGGGGCAGCAGCUUCUCAUUUCUAGGACUCUGUUUCUGAUAUUGUUCCCGCUGCAUCUGCUCAUCCCCAUGGUGAAUGUUGCUGUUGAUCUGUAGAUUGGAUUUGUUGGUCGGUAGUUUGAUUAGAUUUGUGCUGAAUCAUAAUCUCUGCCUGUGAUAUUUUUCUUCAUUGUGGAUGUGUGCCGAGUAUUAUCCCCUUUGUUCAUUCUGUUGGCUUGCUUUCAUUGAUCUUAAGAUAACUGGUGUCAUAAAUUCACACUAGCUGAUGCACUUGCAGAUAGCUAUGUAAAUAUGAAAAAGAAGUAUUUUUUUAUCCUUUUGUUUUUUUUGCAUCAUAUCUGUUUAAAGGUACAGCAUUAGGAUUUUUUUUUGUUUUUGGGGAAUCAUAUCUGCUUAAAUGGUAUAGAAAAUGCUGAGCGUACUGUCAAAUAGAUUUUCCAGCAGUUUGCUUUCAGUUGUUUGCCGCGCAUUCAUUGGGGAAGCACGCGCCAGGCAUCACCAGGCUCCUCGUGCCCCUGCUCUGCUCCAAGGACUCGGUGCUUCGACGCGCUGCUUUCCCUGUCCGGCGGGCGGGAACGUUGGGAGAUGAACGAUGGAGGAUGGAGCUGACCCUCCUGUACACGGUGCCGGUGGGGAGCAGGUCCACGGGCGGCGCCAUUACAGCAGGUGCAGGCUAAGGGUAAUGAGCAGAUCGAGGCGAUGGAGGAGGACCCGCACGAGGUGCAGCUUCUUCGCCUCCUGCGCCAGGUCAGCGCCCAAGCAGCCGCUGAGGGACAGGCCGAGGCUUAGCUCGAUCUCAUCCGACUAAACGGUGGCUGCACUCCCACAGUCCCACUGGUGCUCCUCCCUUCUGUCCGAACCCGCCGAGGAAAUCCCUCGAUGCCAUGGGUCCCGGCUGGACGACUACUCCUCCCACAGAUUGACUGAGGAAGAAGAGCUUCUCAGUGUCCAAAAAUUCAGUUACACUGGAAACAGCAACCAAUUACGUUCUUCCGGCUCAGCCAAGCCCCAAUCUCUUGCUUCUGUGCGCCCCUGCUAAAUAUUCCAGAAACCAAUCUGGUUAGUUGUUUUUUCACAUUUUCAGUGCAUGCCGGUGCUGCUGUGUGCGGCAUGGAGUUGUCGUGGGAGUGCACGGUGGCUUAGCUGGUGCGCCGGUGUGCGGGCACGAACACAACGGUGAAGAUGGCAGAGCCAUCUCAAAGCUCCUGAGCACCUGCACGCGUCGCUGAGCAGGACAUGCUGCGACGGUGGGCGAGCGCUGCUAACGCCCUGGGGAAGAGCAGUGGGUGCAGAGAGAGGGAGCGAGGGAGAGGGGUUCUUGUAUAUGUUUGCUAACGUGGCACCGUUUACGGUGCCCGCCUAAGUGGCAUUCACGUGUCAUUCAUCCCAAAUGGUGUUGCAAGGUUGAACCUAUUGUGGGAGGCUUUUGGUUUCCCUUGACCAAGUAUCACCAGUGAUAUCACUGCGUUCUGGUUAUGUAUGAAACACUUGUCCUUUUAAAACCUUUCUGAAUUUAGAAACGAAUUUGAAACAUUACCCUCAUUUCCAUGUUUUUCUAUCUUUUGUCCCUGUAAAAUCAAACUAAAUUUGAAUUAUUAUGUUCAGAACUACAAGCUGAUUUACUUGUCCCAUUUGCUAAUAACAGGGCCUUGUGAUUUCUAAUGAACAUUGCAGAGCAUGUUAUAAAGCGUAUGCAUGAACACCAAGGGGAUGAAACCAUUGGUAUAUUUCUCAUAACCUUUUGAACUUAUCAUUUAGCAUAUUUGUGUUCUAGUGUGACGUUUCAGCCACGAGACAUGAGAAAUGUUAGCUAUGGAUUUUGGUUAUUCAUCAUGGGUUCACAGAUUUGUUUUUCUCUAAAAGAAUUGGGAAGUAGCUUUCUUUCUGGGUAUAUGUGGGGAAAAUGCAUAUGCAAUCUUUUAUUUAUUGAGGUGACUGUAAAAUUCUUGUCUGACUGAAUAUGCGAUUUCAACCUACAUGCUAUACUUAGGGAAAUUUGUGAAUCUCCUAAUGUCUGCUGCAUGGCAUGAAUGCAUAUUUUACUGGUCCAUAAUGUGAAGUUCUGUAUAUAAACUUCUCGUGUUGACCCUUUAGAACAUGCUAACUGGAGAGUUUUCUAGAGUAGUUAAACAAGAGAUUUAGUUAAAUCUGCACACAUAGGUGGGGCCUGGCAUACCCUAAGAAUCGGCCUAGCCGGCCAGCCCAUUAGUAAAAAAAAAGCACCGCAGUCAGCAGUCCCCACGUUGGUCUUCCUCGAGUCGCGACUCGCGAAGCUCCCAUCCUCCGAGUCCAAGAUGGUGGACUGUGUCGAGCGCGGGGCGGGCGAUUAGUUGCCCGGCCGCCGGCGGGGGAUGGCCGGACGGCCAGAUCGCCGACUCCUCUAGUCCUCCCUCCAGCCUCUGCGCUUCUUUCACAGUGGAGCUAGCGGCGAGGCGCCCGACCGACACCCUUCUUCCCAAAUCCCGGCAGCCCUGCCUCGAUUUGGCCUCCUCCGAUCAUUUGAUAAUCAAUUUGAUGAAAUUAAUAUGGAGUUGCUUUCUUGUAUGGUUGCCUUCAAUCCUGCUAAUUCAUUUGCUUCAUUUGAUGCACAAAAGAUACACAGACUUGCUAUAUUUUUAUCCACAAGACAUCACAAGCACGGAUUUGCUAAAACUUGAAUUCCAGCUCGAUAUUAUAUUGAUGAUGUGAGAUAGGAUGAUAGUUUCAAAGGCCUACAAGAUCUUGUUAAGUGAGACUCAGUUAAGCUUGUUGAAACAAACAGGCAUAAUAUUUAUGACUUGGUUUACUUGCUUCUCAAAUUGGUAUUGGUUCUUCCUGUGGCGACAGCUAGUGUUGAAAGGGAUUUUUGUGCAAUGACUUUGAUCAAGAGUAAGCUAAGAAAUAAGAUGGGUGAUAGUCUUUUGGAUGAUUGUCUUAUCACAUUCAUUGAGAAAGAUAUUUUCUUUGAAGUGGAUGAAGAAGAUAUAAUUAAGACUUCAUAUCCAUUAGAAAUCGUAGGCUGGAGAAGAAGUAAUAUUUUAAUUUUCUUUGAACGUUAGGUCUGUAAGCUUCUUUUAAACUAUCUACAUUAUAAUUUAUGGACCUUUUAAUUUAACCGUUGAAUUCAUGAUAUUAUGAGAUUUUUUUAUCUAUGUUAUUAUUGUUUACCGAUUUAUUACCAAAUUAUUAGUUUGAUCUUACAAUAUUGUAUUUUGGAUGAUUGGCUCGGCAUACUCUAAGUUUAAAUCCUAGCUCCGCCACUGUUUGCACAUUAAUGUGGCUUAUAUGUGUGGAGUCACUUAACCUAUGCACUUGGACCUCCACUCCCUUAGGUUUUAUGAACCUAAUUUGACAGCCUGCUCGUCUUUUAUUUUCUACCAAUCAGCUAGGAACGAACAUGGUGAUGUUUGCAUCUCUGCCAUCAAUGGCUUACAUGUCAUUAUGUAUCACAUUAGCAAGUCUUGUUUUGUUAUUGGCUGGGAUGACGGGGACUCUAGCUGGAAUUGAAUCAAAGUGGUAGAUCACAGGGUAUUCAUUGCCAUGUAUUUCUGCAGUUGCAUGGACUUGCAUCAAACGGACCUUCCUACUUAUGUGAUUGUCCUAUAUGAUCUCCUUUGAUUUCAUUUGCACACUGUAAUCACAUUAGCUAGAACACUCGCUUUUUGCUUCAAAUUUGAAAUUCAUAUCAUGAUGGACUAGAACGCUGAAUUUCUUGAUUGCUGAGUUACUAAUCACAUUGUGGCGCUGCCAAAGAAGCUGGACUCUUCAUUGUUGUUGCCUUGUGGGCUGCCGUGUGCAAAGAACAAGAGCGCACGGUAUUAUAAUAGCAGAGCUGAACACAGACAAGCGACAAGGAGCGGAGCAGAGCAGAGCACAGCCAAGCACAAGCAGUAGAGUAGAGCAGAGCAACCGGGAGAGGAGAGGGCACAUAUGCAGAGUAGAGCAGAGCCAAGCGCAAGCAUUCAUGCACUCAAGCAUGCAGCAGAGGUGUAGCAAGGCAAGCACAAGCAGCAGAGCAGAGGGAAGGGAAGGCUGGGAGAUGAAUAGGCGAAUAGUUACCUGGACAGAGCAGAGGGAAUGGAGAUGAUGCAGAUGCUUCCGGAGACUGGAGAUUUGGAGAGGAACAAGGCCACGUUGUGAACAAGGUCUCCUUUCUCUUCUCUAUUUCCCGUGCAAUACUCGUGCAUAGUGGCUGCCUCAUCCUCCAGGACGCCCACUUCAACCUGAGGCGGGUGCCACAGAUAUCCUGGCUAGGCGACGGCUAUCCCCAGCACGCCCCAGCGCCUUACGAACUAUGAUCCUAAUACUAUAAAUUGUCACGUACUCACCUUGUAAUCUUGUUUCAAGCAUGCUCUAUAUGUCAACCUGUAAGGUUAACUUCGUUUUUCCUUUUCUGGGUAGGGAAGUGGAUAUUGCUGUUAUUUAUGUUAUGUUGAUAUUGGUUUCCACAUGGCAUUCAUCCCAAAUGUGUUGCAAGGUUGAACCUAUCAUCGGAGGAAUUUUUUUCCCUUGACCUUUAUAUCACUACGCUCUGGUUAUGUAUGAAACGCUUGUCUUCUUAAAAACCUUAAUUUAGAAACGAAUUUGAAAUAUUAUCUUCGUUUACAUCCUGUAUAUGUGUUCUCUACCUUUUGUCCUAUAUUACCUUUUGUCCUAUAUGAUCUGCUUUGAUUUCAUUUGUGCAUAGUUUUUUCAAUUCAGACCUGGUGAUUUCUGAGGUUGAUGUGUCACACCCGAUUUUAAGAGUGCAUUAAAUACAUGUGCGCCAGGAUCAAGUUACACACAUGUACGACAUAAGCAAAUAUCAAAGACAGUGCCAUAACGAAAUAAAGAGAGUAUUAAUCAUUAUUACAUGAUCGAAAGUCUCAAAUAAACCACAAAGUCUAUUUAUUAUGCAGCGGAACUCCUAAGAUAGCAACGUCUCCAUAGGCAGCUGACUGAAGAACUGUACGCCUAGAACUCCUCAAAAUCGUGCAGGUACUCCUCCAAAUUAGCUUGGUCUGAAUAGCGGUUUUGCAAGGGUGAGUACAUUUAUGGUUGAUACUCAACAAGUCGUGGGAAACAGUGUAGUGUAAAGCAAAUCAAGGUAUGGCUAAGGCUUAAACAGCAUCAGCUUUUAAUUUAGUUGGUAAAAUUUUAUUAGCAAUUAACUAGAUGUAAGUUUAUACCACCCAAAAUUAAACAAGAACAUGAAUAAAAUAAUAACAUAACCAUAAAUGAAAUGACAACAAUUUAAAUCCAUCUUUCGAUAACAUUAUCAUGUGAGCAAUUUUUUCCCCUUGACCUUUAUAUCACUACACUCUAGUUAUGUAUGAAACACUUGUCUUCUUAAAAAUCUUAAUUUAGAAACGAAUUUGAAGCAUUAUCUUCAUUUACAUCCUGUAUAUGUGUUUUCUACCUUUUGUCCUAUAUGAUCUGCUUUGAUUUAAUUUGUGCAUAGUUUUUUCAAUUCAGACCAAUUUCUGAGGUUCAUGUUGUGCUGAUAAGCAGCCUACUAUUCAAUAACACUUUCAUGUGGCAUGUUCAUGUUAGCUAGCUAGAAACACUGUGCUUUUAGCUUCAAAAUUCAAAUUCAUGAUAUUAUGGACAUUGACAAUGAAUUUCUUGAUUGCUGAGCUAUGUACACUGUAAUCAAAUUGUGGGGCUGAUAAAAUAAGUAGCGUUGAGACACAUAACAAUUAAGAUUGAAUCUUAAGCUUCACACAGAAUCUGGACUAGUCAUCCUCAUUCUUGUCAUGUUGGAAAUGUCUUUGAUACAUUUCAAUCACAGGCAAUUGAAUUCGUACUGGGGAGGAUGGCAAUGGUGCGUGAAGAGAGAUCAAUGUGGCAAAUCUCACACUGUUCAUUACCAGGUAUCUCCGAUUUCUGGUUAUUUUAAAUUUACCUUGACAUGUGACUUAUUGAGGUAGUGUAUUUCAUCUAAUGGUAGUUCUGAAUUUAUGGUAACCUUGGAUGGGGUUUGUCACUUUAUCCACGCACGGACUUACAAAGGACAGCAAAUGACUAUUUUUAGAGGGCUCCUGUCUAACCAUGGACUAUACUUUAUGUACCCUUUUUUGACAUGGUAAUUUGAGGUUAAUGGAAAAGUAGCAUAUUUUCCCUGUAGUUACCUUGGGUUUACUUUCGCAUUGUCUUUUUACAGAGUUUGCAACCAGUGUUUCAUUAUCAGAUGAACGCAAGCAGAGGGUAUCACUCGUGGAGAGCCUUGGCGUUGCAGAGCAGUCCCACUCCAACUUGUAGAUAGUAUAUAUUCCCUCUGUUCUAAAAUGUAAGGUAUUUUGAUUUUUUUAGAUAUAUAGAUUCUACUAUGCUAACCUGAUAACCCCAUAAUCCAUCCUGAGGAAAAACCAGGCUAAGAAUAAGUGCUUUCAUGACAUUUAAAUGUCCUGGAAAGUCUUGUUUUGUUUAUAUGCUUAAGCAAAGUAGCUCUGGAGGGCAUGAAAGAAAAGCAUCGUGUUGAUGAGUAUUGCCGGAUGUUUAACUAUUAGUAUGGUAUAUUUAACUGAACAAGGCCUAGGACAGCACAAGGAUGGCCUUUAGGACAGCAUUGCUUUCUCGGCCUAAUUGGCGCCUUACAUUUGGCGACCAUACACGGCCCGUUAAGGAAAUUUAUGCCCAAGUUUGCCGAAGCAUUUAAGGCACAAAUGUUUUUGACUUCUGAUGGCCUGUUUUUGACCUCCCAUGGCCCAGUAGCGACCCUAGUUUUUAUCAGCAAUGACCAAAUGUUAGCCCAGUUUUGCCCCAUCUUAGGGUCUAAUCAUGGACCAAUAAAACAUGUGCUAGACUUCAUGGCCACCGGAUGCGUGUUCGGCCACGUAAUCGUGUGCUAUAGCUCACGGGAGGCUGAAAAUGGCCUGAAGGGGCACAGUGGAUGAAAACGUUAGGGACGCUCGGAACACAAGAAAAUGACCACCAGAUACAUGUUUGGCCAUUGUAACUGUGCGCUAUAGUUGAUAGGUCGAAAGCAGCUUGAAGAGGCAUCAGUGAUGGAAACAUGGGGGAUGGUCGGAACACUUGAAAAUGGCACUGGAUAAGUGUGCUUAUUCCUUGCGGGAUGCUGAAAAUGGCUUGGAAGGGUCAUCUAGGAUGGAAACUAGGUGGACAAUAAGUGAAAAUGGGCAGCGGACACGUGUUCGGUCAUGUAACCGUGUGCUAUAGUCCACUAGAGGUCGGAAAACUGCCCUAGGGACUCUAGAGAUGAAAAUGUGAGGAACAGCUGAAAGGUUACGUGUUUGGCCAUGACAGCCCUAUUAGGAAGCGAUAGAAGUGGAAAGAUAGCUGGUUUCAUAUUGGCAUCCCAUCUCUGAACUUUUGCUUCCCCCUUCCCUCCGUAAUCCCGGGGCAUCGAAUUAAAAAGUAUACAAAUCACUUUCAGAUGUAAUUGAGGGUAAAGAGGGGAGGUUUCACGAGACUCUACAAUGUUCAAAUCAUUCGUUCGUUAGGAUGCCUCAGCUUCAUACAUUGUUGCACUUCCACUUGACACCUAUUUAAACGGUUCGUCUCGCUGCUACAAGGUAUCAUCAGAUAUAGAAGAAUCAGAGACCGGGGGUAAUAGCAAAAAAGGAAUAUAACUCGUCUGAGGAAGUGGGCGCAGGGGCAGUGGGGUAAGGUAAUUGAAGUAACUAGCCAGUUUCUUCCCGAAACUUUCCAAGAAAAAUUCCGAAUUGGAUCCAAAAUUGACGGAUUAAUCAACCAAAAUAACCGUGAGCAGCCACAAUGUUAUAAAUGUUAUAAGUCCCUUCUUCUUGACCAAAUUUGUAACUCUUAUUAGCAGACUCAUUUUUAGUGAUUUCCCUGAUCAAACUAGAGGUUACCAAGGAACCGUGUGCUAUAGCCCACAGAUGCCUGGAAACAGCUAGGAAGGGCUUCGGGGAUGGAAACAACGUGGACGGUCGGAACACGUGAGAAUGACCACGGGAUACAUGUUUGGCCCUGUAACAGUGUGCUAUAGGAAGCCGGAAAUGGCUAGGAGGGUCACCAGGGAUGAAGAUGCAGGGAUGGAUGGAACAUGUGAAAAUGACCACUGGCAGGUCUAGAGAGAUAUCUCAUCAAAUUGGUGAGUUAUAUCCGGUUUAAACGAGGAUAAAAAUGGGUGUAUUUUCCACUCAUCAUAUUGUCUUUUCGUAGCUGUACCGCCUUUCGUGUGUUGUAUUGUUCCCCAAACACUAAGUCUCCGAGGCUUGAGAAAAUAAGGAAAGUGAUAGCAGCCCAAAAAUUGACCAAGUUUCUUUCCCCCUCUGGCUUUCUACUAGGAUUCAGAAUCCUCUUUUCCAUGAAAAUCUUAAUUAUCUCCCAUACUCCAAAACUCACAAAAACAUCAAGAGUCCGCUGAGAAUAAAUUUAAGUAAAAAACAUGCACACAUAGAUCCACAUCCAAUGGCAAGGAAAGGGGCGUCAGACAAAGCCCAAUGGCAACUGCUGACAUGCGAUUAAAUUCAGAUCCACAUCCGGCCAUUCAAUAAUACGGUUGGAGUUGUGGCACAGAUAUAUUAUUGCAUGAUCAUCAAGAUAAGAUCGUACAGUGACUGAGUGAGACAAUAAAUAGCCAAGUAAACUAUUUUAUCCUGCUGCAAGCUGCAUUCAUAAGUUUAUUUCACCUUUGAUCACAAUACUCUUCACACACGUACGUCUCAGGGAGAUCUCACUUCCGCUGUCGUCGGUACUGCCAAAGACAUAAGCUCACAUCUGCUAUUGCGGAGCAGGCCAAUUUGCUGCGGAACUUCGGCGACGACCUGAAGGACAUGAACUCGGUGCUGGAGUCCAUCUCAGCAGCGCUCUAGGACGCUGACACCGGUAGAAAAAUGACCUUCCAUCGUCAACAAAAAUCCCGGUAGCUUUUUUACUCGGUACUAAAGAGGUUUUAAUCUCGUGCAAACACCUUCAGUCCAGAUUGUUGUUACCACGCAACCCGGACUAAAGCGUCCCCCGCGAGUUAGUAUAUAAGGAUUGCAUCCUUUACUCAGUCAGAUAUAAUAUGUAGGUGAGAUGGUAAGGAAGCUAUGCGUGAGGCUUAAGGUUGUGGGUUCGAAUCCAAGUGGGUGCAGCUGUGGCUUAAGCGGCUGAGGCACGCCGCCAUAGACAUCUCAGAUUUGCUCGAAGACUACCAAGACACUAGUGAACCCUUAACAGUAAAGGUGAGUACUUAUGAAUGUCAGCAUCCAUGUUGUCCAUGCUUCCAAUGUAAUAACAAGAUGGACUACUCUUCCUAGCGGACUCUUCACAACCACUCGUAAAGCUAUGCGUUUCUCAAUGCAAUUUCGUAGAAGCCAAUCGAUCCAACCAAGUGACUAAAUCAUUCGUCCUUUCCAAUGAUGUGCAUCAGGUUUUCUAUAUGAAGGGCAUGUCUAGCAAACCUAAGAUUUCAGAAGAAAAAGAAAAAUCAUUGGAACCAAAGAGCCACAUAGUUCUUCUAGGAAAAAAAUCAUGGGAGUCGAGAACAUAUCAAACCAAUCAGGGGAUUAUGGUCAGCUUAAUGGCAUGCCUCCAUUCGAUGUCGAAGUUCACCCAAGCAUCAUGUUAGCCAAACAUCAAAUGUUCGUGCGUUGUUACGGUAAAGAUCAAUUGUGUUUUUUAAACUCUUGGAAUUUUUUUAUCUAAGUUUUUAUUUACACUUAUUGGAUGUCUACACAUUUGCUAGAAAACUAAAAUAAUUUGGACUUAAUUAUUUCUUUCGACUGAAGUACUCACUAAAUUUCUACCUUUUUAUUUAAGCAAGAGAGUUGCUAAAAAAAUGGAUACGUAACCAUGUUGUAUCAUACAAAGUAACCACGUUUCACAUAUAGUCCGGCUUAGCAAACACCAUUGUUUUCUGAACAUAGCGUACAUGAGUUAACAGACAUGGAUUUAUUUCUAUUGCAAGUAGCAUAGCGUACAACCUGCCUGCACCGAUGCAGCUCAAUAUGCGAUAAUUUUUAUCUUCCCAUGUAAUUUUUCUACUCUAGUACAUAUUGAACUCCACAUUAAUGUCAUGUUCUUUCGCGCCCCAGAAGGUUCCUAAAGUUGGGAAACUUAAUAGAUAGCCAGAAUUUUUUUUAAAGAUAUUUAUAUGGAUACUUGUAUGUUCUUUCCAAACUAACAAUAUUGUUUACCAAUAUCAGAAGGAAUAUGGUUAGGAGCCAUUGCCGCAUAUGGCAGGUGAUGGUAGAUGGCGUAUGGGGUUUCGUUAAUUUAAUGGUAUAAUAAGCUGAAAUACAUUUUCUAUUUGCAAAUGAAUCAUAGCUGAAAUUGGUGGGAUUGUUUUUUCGCCGGUUUAGCAUCCUGUGCACCAGUUCAACCGGAGGGAAGCUGUUUUUUUUCUUUGGUUUUCCACCGGUUCACCGAGACCGAUGACAAUUUUAUGGCAGAAUCAUUACUUGUUUUACUAUUAGGUGAAGAUUUUAGCUUUUAGGUAUCUCACAUUAAACGCAACUUCAACAAUCUAUUUCUAGUGUAUAAUGUAGGAGACCCCGUAAAGCGUCUACACACACAUAUAUGUUGACUAUGAAUGUAAGUUUGUUGGUUUUAUGUAUGUUCGUUUGGAGUUUAUAUAAAUUUUACAUUUUAUAGUUUUGUGUAUAUGACGAAGAUCCAUGACUUGCAUUAAUUUAGCCUUUCUUCCAACAACUCUUAUGCAUGCUGUUUCUAGGCGAGCGUACUGGUUGCAAUUUUGGUCCCCGAUAUAGUGUGAGGACUUAAGGGACACGUGCAGGUCGUAACCUUAGAUAUUUUUGCUGAGAAUGGAUGAAAAAGCAAUAAUAUACUUUGCUUCUGAUUUUCUCCAUGUCAUUUGCUUACUCUUAUCCCUUUUAUUUAUCAUUAUAAGAUGAAAAUAUUGUAAAAACUUGGCUACGUGCGGUCGCAGAAGCUAGAGACUAAAGUGUCCCCCACGAGUUACUAUAUAAAAGGAUUGCAUCCUCUACUCAGUCAUAUGUACUGUGUAGGUGAGAUGGUAAGGAAGCUAUGUGUGAGGCUUGAGGUUGUAGGUUCGAAUCCCACGCACCGCGUGCGCAUGCGCAUAUUUUGCGUGAAAAAUCGCAUGACUUGUGGUCGGCCAAGGAGAAGUGCGUGCGGCCGAGGCACGCCGCCAUAGACAUCUCGGAUUUGCUCCAAGACUACCAAGACACUAGCGAACCCUUAACGGCAAAGUUGAGUACUUACGCGUGUUAGCAUCUAUGUUGUCCAUGCUUCCAAUGCAAUAACAAGAAGGGCUACUCAUCCUAGCGGAUUCUUCACAACCACUCGUAAAGCUAUGCGUUUCUCAAUGCAAUUUCGUAGAUGUCAAUCGAUCCAACCAAGCGACUGAAUCAUUCGUCCUUGCUAAUGAUGUGCAUCAGGUUUUCUAUAUGAAGAACAUGUCUAGCAAAUCCAAGAUUUCAGAAGAAAAAUAAAAAUCAUGAGAACCAAAGCACCACGUAGUUCUUCCAGGUAAAAAAAACAAUCAUCCACUGGGAUGACACACAGUAGCGAUCCAAAACGUCCAUAUUAAGACUUUUUGAUAGCAGAAAAAACAUGAAAAUGUCUAAUAUUUGUAGUAUUAAAAGGAAAAAUAAUAUAUUCACUUGACCUUUUUUUCGUAGCAACGCACCGGUGCGUAGUUAGACUUAGGCCACGUUUGGAUACUCCCUACUAAAGUUUAGCACCUGUCACAUGGGAUGUUUGGAUACUAAUUAGGAGUAUUAAACAUAGGCUAAUUAUAAAACUAAUUGAACAGAUGGAGUCUAAUUUGCGAGACGAAUCUAUUAAGCCUAACUAGUCCAUGAUUUGACAAUGUGGUGCUACAGUAACCAUUUGCUAAUGGUGGAUUAAUUAGGCUUAAUAGAUUCGUCUCGCGAAUUAACAUAGGGUUCUGCAAUUAAUUUUAUAAUUAGCUCAUGUCUAGUCCUUCUAAUUAGCAUCCGAACAUCUGAUAUGAUACUGCUAAAGUUUAUCACCUAGUAUCCAAAUACCCCCUUAAUGCACGAUGCCUGUGCAUCCACUGGGCCUACCCUCGUGGAUCACACGCUCGUGGAUCACGCGCACCAUGACAUGGCUCAUUAGCUAGUCGUGCUAAUCCUUACCACCAAAUUAAAAACUAGCAUGUGUUGUGUGUUUGUGACCCUAAACGACUACCACCUUCCCGAGUCCACCGGAGUUGCCAGUUCACCACUAAGCUGACUCUCCGAGCUUCAUGUCACUGUCACCGCUCCAAAGACCUAGAUCGGUUCGCUGUGCACCCCGCUUCGUCCUGAGCUAAAUCCCAUCACGAAAGGUGACCGGAUGCUCGUUUUCGAGCGAAUUCUAGCGAGAUUGCCACCACCUUUCCCCUUCCAGCCGAUCGCAGCUGUCUGAUCACAAACCGACAGCCCAGAUCGGAUUUGACCAGGUCAAUACCGGUCAAGCUGAGAUGCAUGCUGCUUUUGCAAGAAGGCCCCUAUUUUUCUCUCUUUUUGCACUUGAGGUCCUACGCAGUUCAAAAGUAAUUAGAUCUAGAUCCUUUUUCUUCUGUUUUAGCCCUGUUCUUUUAUAAAAUCCCACCCGCCAUCCUGUUUGGUAUUUUGACAUGUUAGACCUUCUAUUUAUAUGUUUAAUUAGGUUUUAGCCCUUGGUUUCUUUAAGUUUAGCUCUUGGAAGUUUAGUUUUCUCGCAGUUAAGCCCCUGAACCUUGUUUAGUUCAUAUCUUUAGCGUUUUAAAUUCGUUUUAAGAGAUUCUUACGCCCAUAAGUUCGUGUUGAUGCAUAGAUUAGUUGACUUAUACGGACCUUGCUGAUUCAGCUCCUUCAUUGUGCUUCAGAUCUCGCUAGUGAAGAAUAAUGGAUGGGCUUUGGUUGAGCUUGUAGAUCGACCUGCAGUUGCAGUGAAUGUGCUGAGGACUGGCGGUACCAAUAAUGGGAGGCCGCUGCUCUGCUUGCUACCAAGGCCUGCGACGCUUGGACGCCAUUCAGAGUGCAUAAUUUCCAAGGAUCUCAAGGGCUCCACACCACGUUCCAAGUGUUUUUUCUUUGCCGAGUGUUUUUAGCUCGGCAUUUGGCAAAUAGCUUGUUUGCCGAGUGUCCGAAAAAAACACUUGGCAAAGAGAAAACACUCGGCAAAUUUGAUGUUUCCCGUAGUGAUGUACUAUUCAAACUUGAACUGGGAUGCAGGCUUCAGUACCAAAGAGAGCUCUGGGCGCGGGUGAGCAGUGAGCUGGCCAGGCAGGGAGCGCCGCGAGCUCACCACGGUGGCAUGGCGCGGCUGGAGCUCCAAAGCGACAGCAACAAAGAGAGAAAUGCUAAGAGUAAGAACGACACACGAGGUCACUUCACAUAGAUAAUAGCAGUACGAACCAUACAAUAUCCUCUCUCAGUUUCACUCCGCCACCAUGCAUGCCGAUUUCAUAUUAUUAAUAUUAUUUUUUGGAUGGUUGUUGAAACUAUAUAUAUAGUUAGUCCAAUCUCACGUUUCCGAUUAUAAAAAUCAACGUAAAGAGAUCGGAAGGGAGAGCCGGCAUAAUGAAGCCGACGCGUGUAAUAAGCACCAGAGCCGGCAUUUAUACAAACUGGUACGAAUAGUAAAAAACUAGAAUUUAUAAAUAAAAAAAUGAUUUGCACAUCUAUGCAAUAAUUAGGGGUUAGUGGCAGGUCUAGAGAGAUAUCUCAUCAUUAUAUCCGGUUUAACGAGGAUAAAAAAGAGUGUAUUUUCCACUCAUCAUGUUGUCUUUUCGCAGCGGUACCACUUUUCAUGUGUUGUAUCGGUCCCCUAAUACGGAGUCUCCGAGGUCCGAGAAAAUAAGGAAAGUGAUAGUAGCCCAGAAAUCGGCCAAGUUUCUUUCCCCUUUGGCUUUCCUACUAGGAUUCAAAAUCCUCUUUCGCAUGACAAUCUUAAUUAUCUCCCAUACUCCAAAACUCACAAAAACAUCAAGAGUCCGCUGAGAAUAAAUUUAAGUAAAAAACAUGCACACACAGAUAAUAAUAAUAAUCAUGUUUCCAUAAAAUUGCUAAGGCCAGAGAUAAUACAUAAACAUAGUAGACUGUUCAUGACACAUAUCACGGUGGACAGUGUUUGUGUCCUUAUUACAAGCAACGAGAGAUGCUCGUCACCACACACGCGCGCGCGCAGAUGCACGACAUACAUAUAGUAGAGACCAACAGAUGGUCGUCCCAUAUGGUGAACAAUUUAUUGGAGAUAAAUAUUAACGUAACUUGGCCAUAGCUUGAAGCAUAGCAACAUAUGCCUAUGAGUGGCAUUCAUGCUAUCAUUUUAGGCUUGUCCAGCUCCUUCCAUCUUAGCAAGCACUUCCAUUUCUACCAUCUUAGCAGCAACUGUCAAAUUGAGAUACGGAAAUCCCAUUAGCGCAUGAGUUAAUUUUGCAGUGGAAAUAGAGUACAAGAUGUCUUCAUGAUGUAAGUAAUAUGCCUGAAGUUGUGAGAUGGGAAGUGAAGUCAACAAAUUACAUUAAUGGAAAUGCAUGGAAGGCCACACAUACGUAUUAGUCCAUGAUAUGCUACAAAGCUUGUAUGUACAUAUAGCAAAUUAAAUGCAUUAAUUGAAUAGAGUGUGUUUAGUGAAUUUACCAGAAUCGUCCAGAAAACAUGGGAAACAGCAAGUGUUCUUGCAGACUGCGUCGGAGGCACCCGCACGAAUACAAAGCUGACAACAUAGUUUUGCCUGGGCGGAUGCGCAGCAGCCGCACUCCGCCGCGGUGGGGUUAACAUUGAGGCUCAAGAUGACCAGGCACAUGAUCACCAUCAAAGUGGUAGUCCUCUUUCCCUCCAUUGCCUCCUCUUAGCUUGCUGCUACCUUCCUUGGUUACCUAGCUAAGUUUAUUGGUUUUGUGUUGAGAGGUGUGAUUCUUGAAUGGACGUUGCCGGCGGCAAUUUAUAGGCAGCUGAGCUAUGUGAUGAUAUGGACUAGGUGCAAAUGGGUGGUUAAUGGCAAGGAAAGGGGCGUCAGACAAAGCCCAAUGGCAACUGCUGACAUGCGAUUAAAUUCAGAUCCACAUCCGGCCAUUCAAUAAUACGGUUGGAGUUGUGGCACAGAUAUAUUAUUGCAUGAUCAUCAAGAUAAGAUCGUACAGUGACUGAGUGAGACAAUAAAUAGCCAAGUAAACUAUUUUAUCCUGCUGCAAGCAGCGCUGCAUUCAUAAGUUUAUUUCACCUUUGAUCACAAUACUCUUCACACACGUACGUCUCAGGGAGAUCUUACUUCCGCUGGACUGCUCACUUCCGCUGUCAUCAGUACUGCCAAAGACACAAGCUCACAUCUGCUAUUGCGGAGCAGGCCAAUUUGCUGCGGAACUUCGGUGACGACCUGAAGGACAUGAAUUCGGUGCUGGAGUCCAUCUCAGUAGCACUCCAGGACGCUGACACUGGUAGAAAAACGACCUUCCAUCGUCAACAAAAAUCCCGGUAGCUUUUUUACUCAGUACUAAAGAGGUUUUAAUCUCGUGCAAACACCUUUAGUCCGGAUUGCUGUUACCUGUUACCACGCAACCCGGACUAAAGCGUACCCCACGAGUUACUAUAUAAGGAUUGCAUCCUUUACUUAGUCAGAUAUAAUGUGUAGGUGAGAUGAUAAGGAAGUUAUGCGUGAGGCUUAAGGUUGUGGGUUCGAAUCCAAGGAGAAGUGGGUGCAGCUGUGGCUUAAGCGGCUGAGGCACGCCGCCAUAGACAUCUCAAAUUUGCUCGAAGACUACCAAGACACUAGUGAACCCUUAACAGUAAAGGUGAGUACUUAUGAAUGUCAGCAUCCAUGUUGUCCAUGCUUCCAAUGUAAUAACAAGAUGGACUACUCUUCCUAGCGGACUCUUCACAACCACUCGUAAAGCUAUAUGUUUCUCAAUGCAAUUUCGUAGAAGCCAAUCGAUCCAACCAAGUGACUAAAUCAUUCAUCCUUUCCAAUGAUGUGCAUCAGGUUUUCUACAUGAAGGGCAUGUCUAGCAAACCCAAGAUUUCAGAAGAAAAAGAAAAAUCAUUGGAACCAAAGAGCCACAUAGUUCUUCCAGGAAAAAAAUCAUGGGAGUCGAGAACAAAUCAAACCAAUCAGAGGAUUAUGGUCAGCUUAAUGGCAUGCCUCCAUUCGAUGUCGAAGUUCACCCAAGCAUCAUGUUAGCCAAACAUCAAAUGUUCGUGCGUUGUUACGGUAAAGAUCAAUUGUGUUUUUUAAACUCAUGGAAUUUUUUUUCUAAGUUUUUAUUACACUUAUUGGAUGUCUACACAUUUGCUAGAAAACCAAAAUAAUUUGGACUUAAUUAUUUCUUUCAACUGAAGUACUCACUAAAUUUCUACCUUUUUAUUUAAGCAAGAGAGUUGCUAAAAAAAAUGGAUACAUAACCAUGUUGUAUCGUACAAAGCAACCACAUUUCACAUAUAGUCCGGCUUACCAAACACCAUUUUUUACUGAACAUAGCGUACAUGAGUUAAGAGACAUGGAUUUAUUUCUAUUGCAAGUAGCAUAGCGUACAACCUGCCUGCACCGAUGCAGCUCAAUAUGCGAUAAUUUUUAUCUUCCCAUGUAAUUUUUCUACUCUAGUACAUAUUGAACUCCACAUUAAUGUCAUGUUCUUUGGCGCCCCAGACGGUUCCUAAAGUUUGGAAACAAAAUAGAUAGCCAGAAAUUUUUUUUAAAAUAUUUAUAUGGAUAUUUGUAUGUUCUUUGCAAACUAACAAUAUUGUUUACCAAUAUCAAAAGGAAUAUGGCUAGGAGCCAUUGCCGCAUAUGGCAGGUGAUGGUAGAUGGCGUAUGGGAUUUCGUUAAUUUAAUGGUAUAAUAAGCUGAAAUACAUUUUCUAUUUGCAAAUGAAUCAUAGCUGAAAGUGGUGAGAUUGUUUUUUCGCCGGUUUAGCAUCCUGUGCACCGGUUCAACUGGAGGGAAGCGGUUCACCGAGACGGAUGGCAAUUUUACGGCAGAAUCAUUACUUGUUUUAUUAUUAGGUGAAGAUUUUAGCUUUUAGGUAUCUCACAUUAACAAUCUGUUUCUAGUGUAUAAUGUAGGAGACCCGUAAAGAGUCUACACACACAUAUAUAUGUUGACUAUGAAUGUAAGUUUGUUGGUUUUAUGUAUGUUCAUUUGGAGUUUAUAUAAAUUUUACAUUUUAUAGUUUUGUGUAUAUGACGAAGAUCCAUGACUUGCAUUAAUUUAACCUUUCUUCCAACAACUCUUAUGCAUGCUGUUUCUAGGGGAGCGCACUGGUUGCAAUUUUGGUCCCCGAUAUAGCAUGAGGACUUAAGGGAGACGUGCACGUCGUAACCUUAGAUAUUUUUGCAAGAAGCAAAUUAUACUUUGCUUUUGAUUUUCUCCAUGCCAUUUGCUGACUCUUAUCCCUUUUAUUUAUCAUUAUAAGAUGAAAAUAUUGUAAAAACUUGGUUACGUGCGGUCGCAGAAGCUAGAGACUAUUUCUUUUUUUAAAAAUACACAAGAGGGAGAAACUUGGUAACAGCUAGACAGUGAAGAUCGCAUUUCAUAAGAAAGAUGGUGCACGUUCUUGUUUGGCUGUUAACGAAAUGACUUCGUUUCACCACACCACCAGAGAGCCCCAUUGCACUUGCAGCAAAAGCGUGGAGCCGCUUUCAACCAGCGUGCAAUAAUGCAGUCCCGCGUGUCUUGGUCUUACAAGAUAUUUGGUUCUUUAGUCCGGACUAAAAUUCAUGUCGCAUAGAAUAUUCAGAUGUUAAAUAGGAGGACUAAACAUGAGCUAAUUAUAAAAAUAAUUACACAAAUGGAGGCUAAUUCCCGAGACAAAUCUAUUAAGUCUAAUUAAUCCAUCAUUAGCACAUGUUUACCGUAGCACCGUAUUGUCAAAUCAUGGACUAAUUAGGCUUAAUAAAUUCGUCUCGCAAGUUAGUCUCCAUCUAUACAAUUUGUUUUAUAAUUAGUCAAUGUUUAAUACUCUAUCUAAACAUUCAAUGUGACUGAAAUUUUAGGAGGUCCUAAAGAACCAAACACCCCUUAGUCUCCGCCUGAACUAUAGCAGGUGCUGGCAGCGGUAGCAGGGUCGUCCAUUAUAUCUAUGGAUGGAAAUGAUCUGAUUCGGAUGGAAUCGAAUUCGAAUAGCACUUUUUACCACAUACUAAUCUGAAUUGGAUGUUCUCGAAUGUGAAUGCAAAACGGAUAGUUCAAAUUUGAAUACUUUGCGGAUUUUUGCAUAAUAUUAAUCGAAGAGAAUUUGUUAAAUUUAGCCGGACAUAAAUUUUUCUAAAUUCAAAUACUUUGCAGAUUUUCGAAUGCAAAUUUUUUCAUACGAUCUCGGUUGAAUACAAACUUUAUAUCAAAGUUGUAUAUUUAGAUUAUAUAUAAAACUUUGUAGUUGACCUCCUUUUCAUUUAAAAUUUUUUAAUAGCUCAAAACAUUAUUCUAAGCUUUCUAAUUUCAAAAUCUUGAAUUUUAAAUUUUUCAAACGACCUCGGAUGCAAACUAGCUCUAUAUCAAAGUGGUAGUGCUUAAUGAGAUAUAAAAUUUUGUAGUUGACAAGUUUUUCAGUUGAAAAUAUUUAGUUAUCACAAACAUACAAGUUCUUCAUUUGAUGUCGAGGAUUGGAAGUGUUGAGUUUGAAGAAUAUAUUCUUUGAUUACAAACUUUUCCAUAUGAUCUUGGAUGAAUACGAACUUUAUUUCAAAGUUGCAAAUUUAGAUUAGACCAAAAACAGUAUAGUUUACAAUUUUUUCAUUCAAAAUUAUUUAGUAGCUCAAAAUGUUAUUCUAAACUCUCUAAUUUUGAAAUCUUGAAUUUUAAAAUUUUCAAAUGACCUCGGAUGCAAACAAGCUCUAUAUCGAAGUGGUAGUUCUUAAUGAGAUAUAAAAUUUUGUAGUUCCAUCUGAGAUCAUUUAACAGUCACAAAUAUACAAGUUUUUCAUAUGAUGCUAAGGAUCAGAAAGAUUAAGUUUGAAGGCUGUAUUUUUUUAAUACAAAUUUUUGCAUACGAUCUCGGAUGAAUACAAAUUUUAUAUCAAAAUUGUAGAGCUCGAUGAGAAUUUAAACUUUGUAGUUGAUAUAUUUUUCAUUCGAGAAUGUUUAGUGGUCCAAACAUGUAUUAUAAGUUCAGAGAAGAAACACACAAUCGGCCACGUCAUCAAUUGACAACUUCCAAAUUGAGCAUUCCUAUUGGUUCACACCUUUCCCUUUCAACUCGUCAAGCUUAUCUCCUCCCACUCCUCCAUCGUUCACUCCCCCUUCCCCUUCCUCUCUCCCUCCCUCCCUCCGCUCCAGCAGUGGCAGCCCGACCUGCCUCCUAGGACGGUGGUGUGCGGGGCUCGGGCAUCCCUGGCCUCUAGUGGCGUGGCAGGGCGGCCUCCAGCAGCGAUGGCGGAACUCGGCCUCCGGUGGCGCACAGGCAGCGCAGCCUACCUGGUCAAAGGCGGCGCAACAGGGCGACCUCCCCAGCCUCCGGUGGCGCGCAGGGCCUCCAUGACCUCCCCGGCCUCCCUUGCCAGAGGUGGUGCGCGGGGCUGCGCCGACCUCCCCAACCAGAGGUGGCAAGGCCCCAGCUUACGGCGGCGCGUGGCUCCCCAGCUAGGGUGUGGUGGGGCGGCGGCAAGUCAGGCGUGGCCACGUGGGGGUGGGGGGAGGGGGUUGGGCUGGGCGGAUUCAGAUAGUAUCCAUUUAACCAUCCGAAAUGUGGAUAUCCGUUUAACAAUCCGUUUAGCAAAACCGAAUUUGGAUACUUCCACUUAAGUAUCCAACUAGGAUUCGAAUGCGGAUGGUCCUACCAUAUUGUUAUUUCAGCGGAUACGAAUAUGGGAUAAUUCGAAUAACGACUUACCCAUCCCUGAUUAUAUCCGUGUAAAUAAAUAAUUGCGGCAGCAGGUUCCCGUCGCCACGCCCCCGUCAAACCAAACAAUUGCUUGCGCGACACCGUGUUACUAGAUCUUGUACAGUACUCCCUCCGUUGCAGUACUCCCUAAUGAAAGUUGAGAAUCGAUCGACAACCACGGCUAGUUGCUAUGCACUCGAUCAGAUGGUCCAGGCGCCCGCUGGUAAUCAGGUCGUGGUUCACGCGCAUCAGGCCAGCUAUGACGUUGCCAGCAGUGCUCAGUACACAAAUCUAGCUAUCAGUCGGAUCCAAUUGGGCAGGCAUUUGCACUGUGGUUGUGUUUGAACCUGGAGAUGUCGUUGUCAUUAUCAGGCACCAUACAUCCUCUCUCAGAGGGUGUUUCACCCCCUAAACUUUAGCCCCUCUCACAUCGAAUGUUUUAGAUACUAAUUAGGAAUAUUAAACAUAGAAUAUUUACUAAACCCAUUACAUGGAUGGAGGGUAAACGACGAGACAAAUCUAUUAAAUCUAAUUAGUCCAUGAUUUGACAAUGUGCUGCUAUAGUAACUAUUUGCUAAUGAUGGAUUAAUUAGACUUAAUAGAUUUUUCUUGCCGUUUAGCCUCCGUCUGUGCAAUUAGUUUUAUAAUUAAUUCAUAUUUAGUCCUCCUAAUUAGUCUCCGAAUAUUUGAUGUGACACCGACUAAACUUUAGAUAGCACACCAGGGACCGACACCAUGCAUGCUGAUUUCAUAUCAUAAUUAAGGAAAGUGAUAUCAUAAUUAAGGAAAGUGGUAGCAUCCAAGAAAUCGAUCAUGUUUCUUCCCCCUUUGGCUUUCCUACUAGGAUUUGGAUAGCGGGCCUUCCUACUAGGAUUUGGAAUCCGCUAUCGCAUGACUAUCUUAAUUAUGUCCCAUAGUCCAAAACUCACAAAACAUCAAAAAUCCACCGAGAAUAAAUUAAGUAAAAAACAUGCGCACACAGAUAAUAAUAAUAAUCAUGUUUCAAUAAAAUUGCUAAGAUUAGAGAUAGUACAUAAACAUAUUAGAUUGUUCGUGACACAUAUCAUGGUGGAUAGUGUCUGUGUCCUUAUUACAAGCAGCGAUAGAUGCUUGUCACCACACACACGCACGCACAGAUGCACGACAUACAUAUAGUUGAGACCAACGGAUGGAUGUCCCAUAGGGUGAAUAAUUUAUUGGAGAUAAAUAUUAACAUAACUUGGCCAUAGCUUGAAGCAUAGCAACAUAUGCUUAUGAAUGGCAUUCAUGCGGGUAGCAAUGCUAUCAUAUGCUUUUAGGCUUGUCCUUAGCUUCUUCCAUCUUAUAGCAAACACUGCCAUUUCUUCCAUUUUAGCAGCAACUGUCAAAUUAAUUGAGAUAUGGAAAUCCCAUUAGCGCAUGAGUUAAUUUUGCAGUGGAAAUAGAGUAGAAGAUGUCUUCAUAAUGUAAGUAAUAUGACUCUGACAUAGGGAGUGAAGUCAACAAAUUACAUUAACGGAAAUGCAUGGAAGGCCACGCAUAUGUAUUAGUCCGAUAUGCUACAAAGCUUGUAUGUACAUAUAAUAAAUUAAAUGCAUUGAAUAGAGUGAUUUUAGUGAAUUUACCUAAAUCGGAUUAAAAAACAUGGGAAACAACAAGUGUUCUUGUAGGGCUUUGUUUAGUUCCCAAAUUGGGAGUAGCAAAGUUUGCAUUUUACCAUAAAUGCGCAACUGUAGCAUGUAGCAUUUCGUUUGUAUUUGUGAAUUAUUAUCCAAACAUUGACUAAUUAGGCUCAAAAGAUUCAUCUCGCAAAGUACAACAAAACUGUGCAAUUAGUUUUUGAUUUCGUCUACAUUUAGUACUCCGUGCAUGUACCGCAAGUUUGAUGUGAUGGGAAAUCUUGCUUUUCAAUAGUGACAAAGUUGGGAUUUCGGGGGGAAGGCCUGUGUCGGAGCCACAUGCAAGAAUGGCUGACAUUGAGGCUCAGACAAAGCCCAAUGGCAACUGCUGACAUGCGAUUAAAUUUAGAUAUCCACAUCCAGCCAUUCACAUUUAUGAGAUAUGGACACGGUGCAAAUGGGUGGGGUCCUGAUAUGGAGGUGCGAAUGGCUGUCUACUUGUAUAGUGUAGCUCCAAUGUACGUAUAUGUAUCUUAUGCAUGUAUACAGUUGCACAAACUCUGAACCAACUCUUCAUAACAGGUCUUUGUUACCAAGUAACUUUACUUUUGCACGUUUCAGCCGAGAGGUAGAAGAGAAUAUUUUUGCAUUUUCCAUGUGCGUCAGUGGUAGAGAACUAGGAAUUAGUUCCGGAUGGUAGGGCACAAAUCUUCCAAACAACUAUCCGAAAUUAAGCAAUCGAGAUAAAGGGUGCCAUCUAUUCUCUCCGAAAAACACAGGUACCAAAAAGAAGAAGAGAAGAGGGAGGGCCUCCCGUUAAGGCCCGCUCGGGGUCUCCAUCCCACCACGCGCCCUCCCAACCCAAAGCCCAUCGUUUUCCCUCCGUCCCUCCCCUCUCCAUUGCCGCCGCUGCUCCCCUCAUCCGAGCUCGAUACGGGUGGUCGGCGGCCCCUCCUCUCCGCUCCCGCCCCCGGCCUCCCUUUGACCGCCGGGCGCCGGCAUCACUGCCGCGGCCAACCCCAGGGCGCAGCGCGUGCCUCUAUUUCUCUCCCCCGUUCAAGGGCCCUUUGAUGGCGACGAGCACCCACCCACCAGGUAUGCCCUCCCCUUCUCUUCCUAACCCUAAUAUAUUCGGAUCUCACCCAGUCACAAUAUAUUACCUAAUAGCUUCGAUUUUGUUUGCAAAAAUCAUCACGUGCGCACCCAUGUCCGCUAGAUUCUUGCGCCUGAUCCUGUGCUGCUAUGGUUUGGGCGGGGUAGACUAGUUGAUUCGUGCACUUUUGGGUGCUUGUAGUGCUAGGUUUUGGAGGGGGAUAGCCCAGUUGAUUCCUCCGUUUUGGGUGCUCAUGGUGAUAGGAUUUGGAUGGGGAUAGCCCCAAUGAUUCGUGCGCCUUUGGGUGCUGGGGAUAGUUUUGGGUGCCUGGAUAGUCCAGUUUCAAUGUCAGUAUAUGCGUAUUUUGGGGAGAAUUUUGUUUUGGGUGGUUCUGGUGCUAGAGUUUCUGAUGCUUAGUAGCCCAGUUUCAAUCAAAUUCCCCCAUGGGUCGUGCACUACGGGAAACAAGAAAAUUGCCGAGUGUAUUUUUUUUGCCGAGUGUUUUUUUUCCGAGCACUCAGCAAACAAGCUUCGCCGAGCGCCAAGUCAAAAACCCUCGGCAAAAAAAAAACACUCGGCAAAUCGGGGCUUUGCCGAGUGUCAAAUAAAAACACUCAGCAAAGAAGGGGGUUUGCCGAGUGUUAAAAAAAACACUCGGCAAACAGGAGGGUUUGCCUAGUGUUUUUUUGACACUCGGCAAAAAAAUAAUUGUUUUUCCUCUUUUCACCUUGAAAUUUUUUCUACUCCCCACAUACAACACGUGGUACUCCAUGUUAAAAUUUGGUAUAUUUUUGGAUUUAUUUGCUAUAUUUAUUUAAUUAAUUGCAUUUCAAGGAAAUUUUUGGUAUAAGUCAAAUUUGAACUGCAAGUGAUUCAAAUUGUGGAACAAAAUGAGUAGAAAAAUGAUAUUCAUGUUAUUUGGCUCAAUUUGAGAUCUGACCCAUGAAAUGAAAAGAAGUUUCGAACAUCUUGUUCAGGAAACACGACAAUGAACAUGUGGCGGUAGUAUUUUUAAAUUGUAAAAAAACAAGCAAAGUCUGAAAAUCAUGAGAUUUGUAGUUAUGUGAUGAUAUAAUACGUGGAAGCUGUGGAAAAAAAUUGGAAAGGUUUUGCACAUUUCAUCAUGUACGAUGAUUACAAACCGAAGCAUAUCAGAAGAAGAAUAGUAACUUUGAGAAGGAUUCGAUAAAAUUUAGAGUCGAAGUGACGGUCGAGUUCGGUUUGACUACAAAACUUUUUGUAUAGUCAGUAGAGAACAUAUCUUAUUUCGUGUGAAAAUUUGGUAUUUUUUGAAACUGUUGGAUAUUUUUAAUUUUUUUUUUAAAAAACUUGCCGAGUGUUUUCUCGGCACUCGGCAAAGACUUUGCCGAGUGCCCGACACAAAACACUCGGCAACUCAGUGUUUGCCGACUGAAAAAUUGCCGUGUGCCGUUUGCCGAGUGUUACACUCGGCAAACGGUUCGCCGAGGGUUUUUUGCCCUUCGCCGAGUGCCCCUAGCACUCGGCAAUUUCACUAUCUCCCGUAGUGGUGGCUGGACUUAUGGGGGGAUCAUUGAUGGGGGACUAGUUGGAUACUUUUUGGCUGUUUUGGGAGUCCUUGGCAGCGGCUUCUCAGGGCGUACGUAGCCCAUUGUAGAUUCCAGCCGAGAAGAUUAAGGAAUUGUGACUGCAACCAUGUUACUUUUCUAGGACUCUGUUUCUGAUAUUGUUCCCGCUGCAUCUUUUCAUCCCCAUGGUGAAUGUUGCUGUUGAUCUGUAGAUUGGAUUUGUUCCUCGGUAGCUUUAUUAGAUUUGUGCUGAAUGAUAAUCUCUGCCUGUGAUAUUUUUCUUCAUUGCGGAUGUGUGCCGAGUAUAUCCCCUUUGUUCAUUCUGUUGGCUUUUUUUAUUGUCUCUGUACUCGGCUGUUCAGCUUGUGCAGCUAAUGAUCUAAUGUAUUUUGUGGUAACUAUGUAUUUUUCGGAUGUGUGCCGAGUAUUAUCCCCUUUGUUUAUUCUGUUGGCUUGCUUUCAUUGAUCUUAAGAUAACUGGUGCUAUAAAUUCACACUAGCUGAUGCACUUGCAAAUAGCUAUGUAAAUAUGAAAAGAAGUAUUUUUUUAUCCUUUUGUUUGUUUGGCAUCAUAUCUGUUUAAAUGGCAUAGCAAUAAGAAUUUUUUGUUUUUGGGGAAUCAUAUCUGCUUAAAUGGUAUAGAAAAUGCUGAGUGCACUGUCAAAUAGAUUUUCCAGCAGUCUGCUUUCAGUUGUUUUUGCAAAUCCUCACAGGCCAGUGAACUGACUUUGUUUUUACCACCCCAUGCCAUCUAAAUGACUAAAUCAGUCAGCCUAAUACUAUAUAUGGUCAUGCUAUGAUCUUAUUUCUUGAAGCUCUAUAGGUCAACCCAUAAGGGUAACUUAGUUUUUCCUAUUCUGGCUGGGGAAGUGGAUACGAUGGCUAUCCUUGGUAGAGUUAAAUACAUUGGCGGCUCUUAGCGCGCCAAUGUGGCACCACAAUAUCGAACAUAUGUAGAAACCCCCUUGUUUUUUCUCAUAUCCCUCUCUCUCAGCGUCCUCUUCUCUUCUUCUCCUCUGUCUCCUCCCCUCCCAUCGCGUGCUUUAUUGCGCCGCCGCCAUCCGCCUCCAUGUAUGAACACGUCGUUUGUCAUGAAGAAGCAGUUGAUGAGGCAAUCAAGCAUGUGGUGCACAAGGUUCUUCUGCUGGCCAAGUCCGAGUCGAACAGCCGCGCAUUCAUUGGGGAAGCACGCGCCAGGCAUCACCAGGCUCCUCGUGCCCCUACUCUGCUCCAAGGACUCGGUGCUUCGACGCGCUGCUUUCCCUGUCCGGCGAGCGGGGAUCGUUGGGAGAUGAUCGAUGGAGGAUGGAGCUGAUCCUCCUGUACACGGUGCCGGUGGGGAGCAGGGAGCUGCGGAGCAGGUCCACGGGCGGCGCCAUUACAGCAGGUGCAGGCUAAGGGUAAUGAGCAGAUCGAGGCGAUGGAGGAGGACCCGCACGAGGUGCAGCUUCUUCGCCUCCUGCGCAAGGUCAGCGCCCAAGCAGCCGCUGAGGGACAGGCCGAGGCUUAGCUCGAUCUCAUCCGACUAAAUGGUGGCUGCACUCCCACAGUCCCACUGGUGCUCCUCCCUUCUGUCCGAACCUGCCGAGGAAAUCCCUCGAUGCCAUGGGUCCCGGCUGGACGACUACUCCUCCCACAGAUUGACUGAGGAAGAAGAGCUUCUCAGUGUCCAAAAAUUCAGUUACACUGGAAACAGCAACCAAUUACGUCCUUCCGGCUCAGCCAAGCCCCAAUCUCCUUGCUUCUGUGCGCCCCUGCUAAAUAUUCCAGAAACCAAUCUGGUUAGUUGUUUUUUCACAUUUUCAGUGCAUGCCGGUGCUGCUGUGUGCGGCAUGCAUGGAGUUGUCGUGGGAGUGCACGGUGGCUUAGCUGGUGCGCCAGUGCGCGGGCACGAACACAACGGUGAAGAUGGCAGGGCCAUCUCAAAGCUCCUGAGCACCUGCACGCGUCGCUGAGCAGGACAUGCUGCGACGGUGGGCGAGCGCUGCUAACGCCCUGGGGAAGAGCAGUGGGUGCAGAGAGAGGGAGCGAGGGAGAGGGGUUCUUGUAUAUGUUUGCUAGCGUGGCACCGUUUACGGUGCCCGCCUAAGUGGCAUUCACGUGUCAUUCAUCCCAAAUGGUGUUGCAAGGUUGAACCUAUUGUGGGAGGCUUUUGGUUUCCCUUGACCAAGUAUCACCAGUGAUAUCACUGCGUUCUGGUUAUGUACGAAACACUUGUCCUUUUAAAACCUUUCUGAAUUUAGAAACGAAUUUGAAACAUUACCCUCAUUUCCAUGUUUUUCUAUCUUUUGUCCCUGUAAAAUCAAACUAAAUUUGAAUUAUUAUGUUCAGAACUACAAGCUGAUUUACUUGUCCCAUUUGCUAAUAACAGGGCCUUGUGAUUUCUAAUGAACAUUGCAGAGCAUGUUAUAAAGCGUAUGCAUGAACACCAAGGGGAUGAAACCAUUGGUAUAUUUCUCAUAACCUUUUGAACUUAUCAUUUAGCAUAUUUGUGUUCUAGUGUGACGUUUCAGCCACGAGACAUGAGAAAUGUUAGCUAUGGAUUUUGGUUAUUCAUCAUGGGUUCACAGAUUUGUUUUUCUCUAAAAGAAUUGGGAAGUAGCUUUCUUUCUGGGUAUAUGUGGGGAAAUGCAUAUGCAAUCUUUUAUUUAUUGAGGUGACUGUAAAAUUCUUGUCUGACUGAAUAUGCGAUUUCAACCUACAUGCUAUACUUAGGGAAAUUUGUGAAUCUCCUAAUGUCUGCUGCAUGGCAUGAAUGCAUAUUUUACUGGUCCAUAAUGUGAAGUUCUGUAUAUAAACUUCUCGUGUUGACCCUUUAGAACAUGCUAACUGGAGAGUUUUCUAGAGUAGUUAAACAAGAGAUUUAGUUAAAUCUGCACACAUAGGUGGGGCCUGGCAUACCCUAAGAAUCGGCCUAGCCGGCCAGCCCAUUAGUAAAAAAAAAAGCACCGCAGUCAGCAGUCCCCACGUUGGUCUUCCUCGAGUCGCGACUCGCGAAGAUCCCAUCCUCCGAGUCCAAGAUGGUGGACUGUGUCGAGCGCGGGGCGGGCGAUUAGUUGCCCGGCCGCCGGCGGGGGAUGGCCGGACGGCCAGAUCGCCGACUCCUCUAGUCCUCCCUCCAGCCUCUGCGCUUCUUUCACAGUGGAGCUAGCGGCGAGGCGCCCGACCGACACCCUUCUUCCCAAAUCCCGGCAGCCCUGCCUCGAUUUGGCCUCCUCCGAUCAUUUGAUAAUCAAUUUGAUGAAAUUAAUAUGGAGUUGCUUUCUUGUAUGGUUGCCUUCAAUCCUGCUAAUUCAUUUGCUUCAUUUGAUGCACAAAAGAUACACAGACUUGCUAUAUUUUUAUCCACAAGACAUCACAAGCACGGAUUUGCUAAAACUUGAAUUCCAGCUCGAUAUUAUAUUGAUGAUGUGAGAUAGGAUGAUAGUUUCAAAGGCCUACAAGAUCUUGUUAACUGAGACUCAGUUAAGCUUGUUGAAACAAACAGGCAUAAUAUUUAUGACUUGGUUUACUUGCUUCUCAAAUUGGUAUUGGUUCUUCCUGUGGCGACAGCUAGUGUUGAAAGGGAUUUUUGUGCAAUGACUUUGAUCAAGAGUAAGCUAAGAAAUAAGAUGGGUGAUAGUCUUUUGGAUGAUUGUCUUAUCACAUUCAUUGAGAAAGAUAUUUUCUUUGAAGUGGAUGAAGAAGAUAUAAUUAAGACUUCAUAUCCAUUAGAAAUCAUAGGCUGGAGAAGAAGUAAUAUUUUAAUUUUCUUUGAACGUUAGGUCUGUAAGCUUCUUUUAAACUAUCUACAUUAUAAUUUAUGGACCUUUUAAUUUAACCGUUGAAUUCAUGAUAUUAUGAGAUUUUUUUAUCUAUGUUAUUAUUGUUUACCGAUUUAUUACCAAAUUAUUAGUUUGAUCUUACAAUAUUGUAUUUUGGAUGAUUGGCUCGGCAUACUCUAAGUUUAAAUCCUAGCUCCGCCACUGUUUGCACAUUAAUGUGGCUUAUAUGUGUGGAGUCACUUAACCUAUGCACUUGGACCUCCACUCCCUUAGGUUUUAUGAACCUAAUUUGACAGCCUGCUCGUCUUUUAUUUUCUACCAAUCAGCUAGGAACGAACAUGGUGAUGUUUGCAUCUCUUGCAUCAAUGGCUUACAUGUCAUUAUGUAUCACAUUAGCAAGUCUUGUUUUGUUAUUGGCUGGGAUGACGGGGACUCUAGCUGGAAUUGAAUCAAAGUGGUAGAUCACAGGGUAUUCAUUGCCAUGUAUUUCUGCAGUUGCAUGGACUUGCAUCAAACGGACCUUCCUACUUAUGUGAUUGUCCUAUAUGAUCUCCUUUGAUUUCAUUUGCACACUGUAAUCACAUUAGCUAGAACACUCGCUUUUUGCUUCAAAUUUGAAAUUCAUAUCAUGAUGGACUAGAACGCUGAAUUUCUUGAUUGCUGAGUUACUAAUCACAUUGUGGCGCUGCCAAAGAAGCUGGACUCUUCAUUGUUGUUGCCUUGUGGGCUGCCGUGUGCAAAGAACAAGAGCGCACGGUAUUAUAAUAGCAGAGCUGAACACAGACAAGCGACAAGGAGCGGAGCAGAGCAGAGCACAGCCAAGCACAAGCAGUAGAGUAGAGCAGAGCAACCGGGAGAGGAGAGGGCACAUAUGCAGAGUAGAGCAGAGCCAAGCGCAAGCAUUCAUGCACUCAAGCAUGCAGCAGAGGUGUAGCAAGGCAAGCACAAGCAGCAGAGCAGAGGGAAGGGAAGGCUGGGAGAUGAAUAGGCGAAUAGUUACCUGGACAGAGCAGAGGGAAUGGAGAUGAUGCAGAUGCUUCCGGAGACUGGAGAUUUGGAGAGGAACAAGGCCACGUUGUGAACAAGGUCUCCUUUCUCUUCUCUAUUUCCCGCGCAAGUACUUGUGCAUAGUGGCUGCCUCAUCCUCCAGGACGCCCACUUCAACCUGAGGCGGGUGCCACAGACAUCCUGGCUAUGCGACGGCUACCCCCAGCACACCCCCAGCGCCUAUGAACCAUGAUCCUAAUACUAUAAAUUGUCAACCUUGUAAUCUUAUUUCAAGCAUGCUUUCUAUGUCAACCUGUAAGGUUAAUUUCGUUUUUCCUUUUCUGGGUAGGGGAGUGGAUAUUGCUGUUAUUUAUAUUAUGUUGAUAUUGGUUUCCACAUGUCAUUCACCCCAAAUGUGUUGCAAGGUUGAACCUAUCAUCGGAGGAAUUUUUUUCCCUUUACCUUUAUAUCACUACGCUCUGGUUAUGUAUGAAACACUUGUCUUCUUAAAAACCUUAAUUUAGAAACAAAUUUGAAACACUAUCUUCAUUUACAUCCUGUAUGUGUUUUCUACCUUUUGUCCUAUAUGAUCUGCUUUGAUUUGAUUUGUGCAUAGUUUUUUCAAUUCAGACCUGGUGAUCUCUGAGGUUCAUGUUGUGCUGAUAAGCAGCCUACUAUUCAGUAACACUUUCAUGUGGCAUGUUCAUGUUAGCUAGCUAGAAACACUGCUUUUAGCUUCAAAAUUCAAAUUCAUGACAUGAUGGACAUUGACAAUGAAUUUCUUGAUUGCCGAGCUAUGUACACUGUAAUUCAGACCUGGUGCUUUUAGUUUUUUUCUUGAUUGCCGAGCUAGAAACACUGUGCUUUUAGUUUUUUCAAUUCAGACCUGGUGAUUUCGGUUUUUUCAAUUCAGACCUGGUGAUUUCUGAGGUUCACGUGUCACACCGAUUUUAAGAACAAAAUCGAGUGCAUUAAAUAUACAUGUACGCUAGGAUCAGGUUACACACAUGUACGACAUAAGCGAAUAUCAAAGACAAUGCCAUAACGAAAUAAAGAGAGUAUUAAUCAUUAUUACAUGACCGAAAGUCUCAAAUAAACCACAAAAUCUAUUUAUUACAUAGCGGAACUCCUAAGAUAGCAACGUCUCCACAGGCAGCUGACUGAAGAACUGUAUGCCUAGAACUCUUCAAAAUCGUGCAGGUACUCCUCCAGAUUAGCUUGGUAUGAACAACGGUUUUGCAAGGGUGAGUACACUUAUGGUUGGUACUUAAUAAGUCGUGGGAAACAAUGUAGUGUAAGGCAAAUCAAGGUAUGGCUAAGGCUUAAACAGCAUCAGCUUUUAAUUUAGUUGGUCAAAUUUUAUUAGCAAUUAAUUAGACGUAAAUUUAUACCACCCGAAAUUAAACAAGAACAUGAAUAAAAUAAUAACAUAACCAUAAAUGAAAUGACAACAAUUUAAAUCCAUCUUUUCAUAGCAUUAUCAUGUGAGGGUCCAGUCCGCUCUUAACCGUGAGCACCGCUGAUCGAUCAGUUUUACACUCUGCAGAGGUUGUACAUCUUUACCCACAAGUCGCGUAAAAGUUCAAAAGAAUUUUGGACCCAACCAUGCGGUGUUUGCAAGGCACCAUACCACACUUCCAAGGUGUGAUUGCAUAUGAACGCUACGAGGCCUUUACAAAGAUUCAUUAGUAAGUGGUAACCCGCUAAAGUUUCGGUAUUUGGCGUGCACAACCUAUCACAGGCCGCUAAUGCAACGACUCAGUCCCCCCUCUUGCCUCAUCACGAGUAAGAUUACCCCAGACUAAGGUUUCUAAUUAUUCAGCCAAGAUCAGAACCAUUUAGUCUUGUGGUAGCACUGUUUUCUUGGGUGGUUCUCCAUGUUCCGAUUAAACAUAAUGGUCUUGUAUUAAUGGAAGGUAUAACAUAAAUAAUACCAAAUUAAUAAUAAUUCAGAUUAAAUCACCAUAACCAUAUUUGAGCACUAAGCAUGAGCUACCCAACAUAAAUUUAACCCGGUUGGUCAAGGCAAGGUAGAUAAAGUCUAGGAAAUUCUUAAUUGGGACCCAUCAAGUUUAAAUUAUACUUUGCAUGGUAUUGUUGCAUAGAACAUGAAAGUAAAUGUGAAUAGGACUGAAAAGGAGUGAUUAGGGACACGACUUGCCUUUUUAACCUUGUUCUUGCUGUUCGUACUCCUCGAAAACUUUGAUCUUCAAAUCCCUCGAACUGCUGACCGUCUACACGCGUCACACGACCACAUACAAGCAAACAAAUAUAAUACAUAAGAAAACAGUACACCAAUCAUAAUUAAAUAGAAGAAACAAAUUUGAAAAGCUAUUCUACGCAUUAAAACGAAAACACGGAUACAAGGAACGUUAAAAACGGAGCUACAGUGCAAAAACUACGCUUAAAACAAGAUGCAGGGGUAUAACUACGAGAAACCAAACUUCCAGGGAUUUAAUUUUAAAUAAUUUUGAACUGCAGAAGGGGCAGCAGGGAAAAACGUAGAAAAUGCAGGGGCUUAAGCGCAAAAGCAUGGCUGCUGACUCAGCUGACUUGAUGUGGAUCGUCGGAUGGCGAUCCGGCGGCCGGCAGCUGCUGCGCUGACGUCAGCGACGGCGAGCGCCGGCGAAAAACGGCAGUUCGCCGGAAUCGCCCGGGAACGCGCGACUGGGUGCAGAUUUGAGCGAGGAUUAGACUAGCAGAUAGAAACGAGCGCAGUGAACUCAUUUGGGAUGCCUACGGCGAGGACUUGGCGACGGCAUCGGCUCCGGCGAGAACUUGCGGCAGGGAAACCAAAUAAAAUAAAAUAACACGGUUCAGAGAAGCGGCGCUGGAGGAACGCGAGCGAUUUUGCGUGCGAGCGGAAGAAAACACUGCGAGGAAGAUGACUGCGGGCCCUGCUUGUCUGCGGCAGGAGGAGAGCUGCGUGCGAGAAGAACCUGGCCACGAUCUGGGCCGUUGCCUUCGAUCUGGGCCGAGGCAAGCUAGCUGGCCCGCUGCUGCGGAAAGGUGCUGGGCCACGGGCGGAGCACAGCGUCGGGCCAGAAAGGAGAUGGCUGCUGCGAGGAAACAAAAGAAAAUGAACUGGGCUGCGACAGAGGAAAACUGGGCGUCGGCCAGAAAGAAGCUGCGUGCAGCUUGCUCUUGUUUCCGAACUAGAAACAGGAACUGACGGAAAGACAGAAAUCAAUUGGAGACUGAAACUGACGCCCCAGACUCUGAACUUCGAAAAAACAGGACAACCAGCCAACUGACAGAAAAAAAAAAAGCUUAACAACCCAAAAGCAGUACACAACCACGAAACCAGGCCACAAGACUGAAAAAGCUUGAUAGGAACAUCUGGCGACUGAACCAAAAAACUACAGAACUGCAACUGAAGAACUAGAGAACAGAUAAAUAACUGAUUGAACUCUGAAACUGAAACACCAAAGAGCAGGAAGCUGACUGACGGAAAAUGCAAAACAGCAACCCAAGGUGAAACACAAAUCCUUCUUCAAGCAUUCAAACAAAGAGAUAUGCAACAGCAUGAAUGCUCAAUAAAAUCCUAUAUUUCAUUAAUUAAUUAGAAAAAAUGCUCAAAUGCCUAGAAAAAUGCAAAAGUGACCUUAUAUACCUUAAACAAGCAAAUUCGUUUCUAGCGAUUUUUGGUAAAAUGCAAAAUUAGAGAUUUUGGGUGUUACAUCAUGUUGUGCUGAUAAGCAGCCUACUAUUCAGUAACACUUUCAUGUGGCAUGUUCAUGUUAGCUAGCUAGAAACACUGUGCUUUUAGCUUCAAAAUUAAAUUCAUGACAUGAUGGACAUUGACAAUGAAUUUCUUGAUUGCCGAGCUAUGUACACUGUAAUCACAUUGUGGGGCUGAUAAAAUAAGCAGCGUUGAGACACAUAACAAUUGAAUCUUAAGCUUCACACAGAAUCUGGACCAGUCAUCCUCAUUCCUGUCAUGCUGGAAAUGUCUUUGAUACAUUUCAAUCACAGGCAAUUGAAUUCGUACUGGGGAGGAUGGCAAUGGUGCGUGAAGAGAGAUCAAUGUGGCAAAUCUCACAUUGUUCAUUACCAGGUAUCUCCGAUUUCUGGUUAUUUUAAAUUUACCUUGACAUGUGACUUAUUGAGGUAUUGUAUUUCAUCUAAUGGUAGUUCUGAAUUUAUGGUAACCUUGGAUGGGGUUUGUCACUUUAUACACGCACGGACUUACAAAGGACAGCAAAUGAGUAUAUUUAGAGGGCUCCUGUCCAACCAUGGACUAUACUUAUGUACCCUUUUUUGACAUGGUAAUUUGAGGUUAAUGGAAAAGUAGCGAUAGUCGCCUCCAGCGAAGCUACCUUCUUCGAAAGCUCCGAGGCUGCUUUCUCGCUCUUAGCAAGCCGAUCCCUCGUAAUCAUCGAAGAGUAAGAGACCUACAGAUUUUAAAAACCAAGUUACCAAAAAUAACGAAGUAAAAGACAACACUCGCAAGACAAACCACCAAACUAUCUCAUAAUUGUACCUUCUUUACGAGGUUCGCCUCCAAGUUAAAGAGCUCUUCCAAGAUCAUUGACUUCACAGCUUGCUGAAAAUCUAUGCGCCAAAGGAUAUAGUCGUAAGCAUAAAAUAAAAAUUGGUAAAAACCAAGGACAGCAAAGCCAUCUACAAGCUGUUCUUACCCUCAUACUUUCGCACCUCAACGGCGAUCGGAACAACCUUCUCUCUAGCCUCGCCCUUAGACGCCACCACAAUCUUCCCGCCACACAAAUCCACAACCUGUCCUUUACCUUUGCCCUCUCCCGAAGUCGUCGUGCCCGCCUUCUCCACCCUUUUUGAACCGCCAACAUCUGCAUAGCGCUCGCAACCUUCACCUUCAGCCCCCCAGACCAAAGACAGGUUGUGAGGAUUAUAAACCCUACCUUCGGCGCAUGUAGCUAGAAUCUCCGUGCGCCCGCUCAAGCCCAGACACUCAUUCAGUCCCUGAAGCCCCGCCGGCAACCUCUCACCUACAUCAUAACAUUCAACUUUUAGCCUCACAUGAUCCUCACAACUAACCUUACCAACGCCCCCCAUAGUUUCUUCCAAGUCCUUCAAAAAUUUUGUUGAGGCCUCACCACAAUCAAAGAACCGUAGCAUCGAUAGAAACACCUCUACAUGCUUACCAGAUCUCACAGCUUCGGCACACCCACCCUUUGGAUCGGAUGAGAACGCAUCCACAAGCUUCGCCUUUUCAGUGGCAAACCCCCUCUCAAGUUUCCCAACAUCAGUCAAGAGAUGUUGCGCGCUCUUAAACUUCGAGCUUAUGGAAGGCACCGUGAUCUUGGUACCAGCUGCCGAAGACGCGUCAACCUUGGCACCCGUAACAGUAACAGGAGCAAAUCGAGGUUUCUUGGCGCCUCUUUUGAUCCGCGCAGCGGGCCCGGUGGAUGAAGGUGCAAGAGCUGGAACCUCCUUAGGAGGGCGCAUAGAGACAGGAACAACAUGUGCCGGAUUGCUCAAGUCGCCAGACGAAGCUGUCGACCACGAUGGCAACAUAGCAGACGAAGCCCCCGCGGUCAUUUCCUUCCUUUUUUGCGCCUCCAAAUUCAAGGUCUUUUGCUUCGCCUUAGCGGUCACUUGCAAUUCAAUAGUGAGCUUCACCACGGGUACGAAGUCAAAUUUUGCCUUUUUCCUCUGCUCAAGACUAGCACCGCGACGGCGCCUCUUGCCCGUAACUUUGGGGUGAGGCAGAACCACAAUAUCAUACAAGUCAAAAAUCUGAGAUGAUGACAUUCCAUUUGUAUCCAUGAUUUAUAUUGUGUUCCUUGAAUAUCCAUUAAAGUCUACUUGAAUUGAUUUGCAAUUAUGUGAAUUGUAUGUGAAACUCUUUCCUUGUAUGGUUAUUCUAAAGUUGUCCCUAGUCGGAGUUCAUGUGAGGACACAUGAAUAUUAGACUAGCACAUGUAUUAGAUGAUGACUAUGUUUCACAAGUCAUGGACAUGAAGAUGUGGAACUAAUAAUGUGGGCACAUGUGGAGACACGUGCUAGGACUGACCCAACACGAGAAGUAGUUCUCUCUUUAUACAACAUAUACGCUUUGUCCUUAGACCUGAGAUUGUCGCAUGUACUCAAGAUGUGGAUUGACUUACUUAGGGGCUAUCAAAUUCUACGCCGUAACAGGGUAGUUAUAAAGGUAGCUUUCGGGUUUGUCAAGAAGCAUGCUAUGAGACAUGGUCAAUCAAGAUGGGAUUUGCCCCUCUCUGAUUGAGAGUGAUAUCUCUGGGCCCCUCGAGUGAUCGGAUCCGAAAAUGCAUGGCCAUGCUACAUACGGUUAAGAGUUAGCCUACAAAGGGAUUCCGAAUCAUAGGAUCGAGAAAGAGCGGUCGGCUUGAAGCUAGACCAAAUAUCGUGAGGCAAAGGGAAUAGCAUGUAUAUAAUGUUGUGAUGGUUCGUCUGAUAUGAUCUUCGUGUGCGUAUAGGAGUUGGCACGUCUUGCUAGAGGUCGCUACCGACUAUUGGGCCGAGUAGGAGUACUCAGGCCAUGUCUAUACGUAUCCGAACCCAUAGGGUCACACACUUAAGGGGCUGGAAGCCCAAUUCGGAUGUGAUCCGAAUUGGAUUAGGUUUAGAAGUACUAAUGGGCCUUGGACCCAGAGGUCCGUUAGGAACCUCUAUAAAUAGAGGGGUGGGGGCGCCCUAGGGUUUACACCUUUUUGGUGAAACACAUCUGCCGCGCCUCCCACGCCCUCGCCUGUUGCAACUCGCGGACCUAGCAGUCCGGCUUGCGACGCUUCCUCCCUGCACGUGUGGAUACCUUGGAAGUGUUGCUCCUGCAGCACUUGGACGAGCCGCCAAUGAGCCACGACGAGCCACGAUGAGCCGACGAUGAGCCGCGGCACGAGGGGGAUCUUGCUGCACGUGGACGAGCUGCUGAGGAGCUGCUGGACGUCGAUGUGUUCGACUACGUACGACUACGCUGAUCGACUUCGCUGCAUCAACGCGAAUCUACAUCUUCCGCAUCAUUGCAUCGAGUGGUAAUCCCGUGAUCCUGAUACGGCAGUUUUCCUAGUUUACGCGGUAGAAAAUUUUAUUUUGCGCUAGUGUAGCCUACCUCAUAUCCCAACAACGUGUGCUAUAGGUCACGCAAGCCUGAAAAUGGCCACACCGGACACCGGGUACGAAAACAUGGGGGAUGGACCGAACAUUUGAAAAUGGCCUCCAUAUGUGUUUUCGGCUAUGAAAACGUGUGUUAUAGGUCACGGAAGCUUGAAAACGGCCGCACCAGCCACUAGGGACGAAAACGUGGGGGAUGGACCGAAGACAUAAAAAAUAGCCUCCAGACGCGUGUUCGGCCAUGAAAACGUGUGGUAUAGGUCCUGGAAGGCCAAAAACAGCUACACCGGCCACCUGGGAUGAAAAAGUUUGUGUAAGACCGAACACUUGAAAAUAGCCUCUGGACGCGUGUUCGGCUAUGAAAAGGUGUGUUAUAGGUCACACGAGCCCCAAAACAACCACAGCGAACACCGGCUACAAAAACAUGGGGGAUGGAUCGAAUAAUUGAAAAUGGCCUCCAGACGUUUGUUCGGCCAUGAAAUCGUGCGUUAUAGGUCGCGGGAGCCCGAAAACGGCCACACCGGCCACCGGGAAUGAAAAUGUGGGGGAUGGACCGAAUAAUUAAAAAUGGCCUCCGGAUGUGUGUUCGGCCAUGAAAACGUAUGUUAUAGGUCACGGGAGCAUGAAAACGGCCGCACUGGCCACUGGGGACGAAACGUGGGGGAUGGACCGAAGACGUGAAAAUGGCCUCCAGACGCAUGUUCGGCCAUGAAAAUGUGUGCUAUAGGUCAUGCAAGGCCAAAAACAGCUGCACCAACAACCGGGGACGAAACCAUGGCUGUCAAACCGAACGCUUGAAAAUCGCCUUCGGACGCGUGUUUGGAUAUGAAAACAUGUGUUGUAGGUCACGCGUGCCCGAAAACGUCCACAACGGACACCGGGUACAAAAACGUGGGGGAUGGAUCGAAUAACUGAAAAUGACCUCCGAACGCGUGUUCGGCCAUGAAAACGUGUGUUAUAGGUUGCGGGAGCCCAAAAAUGGCCACACCGGCCACCGAGGAUCAAAACGUGGGGGAUUGACCGAACAAUUAAAAAUGGCCUCCGAUUGUAUGUUCGGCCAUGAAAACGUGUGUUAUAGGUCAUGGGGGCCCAAAAAUGGCCGCACCAGCCACCAAGGACGAAAAUAUGGGGGAUGGACCAAAGACAUGAAAAUGGCCUCCAGAUGCAUGUUUGGACAAAAGUGUGUGCUAUAUGUCGUGCAAGGCCAAAAACAGCUACACCAGCCACCGGGACGAAAACGUGGGUGUUUGACUAAACAAGUGAAAAUGGCCUCCGGAAGCAUGUACGGCUAUGAAAAUGUGUGCUAUAGGUAAUGGAAGGCUAACAAAAGCUACACCGGCCACCGGGGACAAAAUCAUGGGUGUCAGACUGAACACUUCAAAAUGGCCUCCGGACGCGUGUCCGGCUAUCAAAACGUGUGUUAUAGGUCAUGCGAGCCCGAAAACAACCACACUGAACACCGGGUACAGAAACAUGGGGGAUGGACUGAAUAACUGAAAAUGGCCUCUAGACGCGUGUUCGGUCAUGAAAACAUGUGUUGUAGGAUGCGGGAGCCCGAAAACGGCCACACCGGCCACCAGGGCAUGGACCAAACAAUUGAAAAUGGCCUCCGGAUGUGUGUUCGGCCAUGAAAACGUGUGUUAUAGGUCACGGGAGCCCAAAAAUAGCCGCACCGACCACUGGGGAUGAAAUCGUGGGGGAUGGACCGAAGAUGUGAAAAUGGCCUCUAGAUGCGUGUUCGGCCAUGAAAACGUGCGCUAUAAGUCAUGUAAGGCUAAAAAUUGCUACACCGGGACUAAAGCAUCCCCCAUGAGUUACAAUAAAAGGAUUGUAUCCUCUACUCAGUCGGAUGUACUGUGUAGGUGAGAUGGUAAGGAAGCUAUGCGCGUGGUUUGAGGUUGUGGGUUGAAAUCCUACGCACCGCGCGCACACGCGCAUAUUUUGUGUGAAAAAUCAUGUGACUUGUGAUCGGCCAAGGAGAAGUGGGUGCAGCUGUGGCUUAAGUGGCUGAGGCACGCUGCCAUAGACAUCUCCGAUUUGCUCGAAGACUACCAAGACACUAGCAAUAACAAGAACUACUGCUCUUCCUAGCAGACUCUUCACAACCACUUUAAAGCUGUGCAUUUCUCAAUGCAAUUUCGUAGAAGGCAAUCGAUCCAACCACGCGACUAAAUCAUUUGUUCUUGCUAAUGAUGUACAUCAGGUUUUCUAUAUGAAGGACAUGUCUAGCAAACCUAAGAUUUUAGAAGAAAAAUAAAAAUUAUGGGAGUCAAUAAUAAAUCAGGCCAAUCAGGAGAUUAUAGUAAGCUCGAUGGUAUGCCUCCAUUCGAUGUCGAAGUUGGCCCAAGCAUCAUGUUAGCCAAAGAUCAAAUGUUCGUGCAUUGCUACGGUAAAGAUCAAUUGUGUCUUUUAAACCCAUGGAAUUUUUUAUCUAUGUUUUUAUUACACUUAAUGGAUGUCUACACAUUUGCUAGAAAAUCAAAAUAAUUUUGACUUAAUUAUUUCUUUCAACUCAAAUACUCAUUAAAUUUCUACCUUUUUAUUUAAGCAAGAGAGUUGCUCAAAAAAUGGAUACGUAACCAUGUUGUAUCAUACAAAGCAACCACAUUUCACAUAUAGUCUGGCUUAGCAAACACCAUUGUUGUCUUAACAUAGUGUUCAUGAGUUAGUAGACAUGGAUCUAUUUCUAAUUGCAAGUAGUGCAGCGUACAACCAGCCUGCACCGCCGCAGCUCAAUAUGCGAUAAUUUUUUAUCUUCCCAUGUAAUUUUUCUACUCUAGUACAUAUUGAACUCCACAUAAAUGUCAUGUUCUUUCACGCCACAGACGGUUUCUAAAGUUUGGGAACUAAAUAGAUAGCCAAAAAUUUUAAAAAAAUAUUUAUAUGGAUACAUGUAUGUUCUUUGCAAACUAACAAUAUUGUUUACAAUAUCAAAAGGAAUAUGGCUAUGAUCAUUGCCGCAUAUGGCAGGUGAUGGUAGAUGCCGUAUGGGGUUUCUUUAACUUAAUUGUAUAAUAAGCUGAAAUACAUUUUCUAUUUGCAAAUGAAUCAUAGCUGAAAGUGGUGGGAUUGUAGAACCGCCGUCCAUCGUGUCCUUGUAGGACCGCUGCACGAGCCUGUGAGCCACCAGCCACCAUGCGCCCAAGGGCCAUCACCACGCCACAAGAGGAUGCUGUCUACCCGGUUUCGCGCGCCUGUGCUAGCUGCCUGAACCUGGGCCGCCGCCGGUCGCCUGCCCAGCCGCGCGUUGCGCCAGGGUUUUGCUGGUGACGACCAUGGCCUUCGCGAUCAAAUUAAAAAGUUAUCAACUGCAAAGUAUUAGGCCUCGUUGAGCUCUACAAUUUUGAUAUAAAGUUUCUAUUCAUCUGAGAUCAAAUAAAAAAUUUGAUACUCAAAACAUAAAUCCAUUAAUCUAGUCUUGCUAAUCCUUACCACCAAAUAAAAAACUAGCAUGUGUUGUGUGUUUGUGACCCUAAACGAUCACAAAUGAAUAACUUAUGGACCUUGCUAGCGCCCGGAUGUCCAGGCCGGGGCACUAGCAUCAGACCCACGAGUAGCCGUCCGAUCGGGUUCGACACCACUUCAGGAUCUGGCUUAAAAAGAAGUCCCACCGAAACAUUGUUCCAUGUUGCAUGAAGCAACCCACUACCGUCGCCAGGUCUAGAGCAAGCACCACCUUCAAAUCUGCUGCUCACCCUAGCUAAAUAGGGGCAUUAAAAUAUUUCUCGCAUAUCCUUCUCAAAUUAAACAAAAUCGCAACAUCUGAAAAUUUUUACAGAAAACCAUGAAACAUAUCGAUUAGAUAGAUGUAACAAGAUGGAAUAUGGUAUAUGCAACAUAUAGGUUCCGAAAAGCAGAUGAAAUAUUAUGUAAUGAUUCUUGAAACAGUCGAGAAAAAUAGAUGUAACAUCUAAAAUUAAGAAAAGAAGCUUUAUGCAAAUUGCAAAAAGCUGAAACAAGUGGUUGAAACAUUUCAAAUCACCAAAUGCCACAUUUGAAAUGACCAGAUGAAACAUCACGAAAUCAAUUGCAACAGUUGAAGAUGAAAACAUUCAAAUGCCUUGCCUUUCUCCAAAUUUGACCCUCCAAGCAUGAGUCCAGCCAUUUGCACAUUAGACCCUUGGGAGGAGCUCACCGGAGAACAACAAGACCGUGUUAUCCAACAAUUUUCAGAUCAAAUUGCAACAUAAAGAACAAAGCAUUGCAACAUCUGGCAUCACGAGCUACAACAGCAACCAGUUAGGAUCAGGAGAAAGAGGGCAAACACAAGCCUAACAAUGAGUUAUAUCCGGUUUAAACAAGGAUAAAAAUGAGUGUAUUUUACACUCAUCAUGUUGUCUUUUCGCAGCUGUACCGCCUUUAGCGUGUUGUAUUGUUCCUAACACCAAGUCUCCGAGGCCCGAAAAAAUAAGGAAAGUGGUAGCAGCUCAGAAAUCGACUAAGUUUCUUUCCCCCUUUGGCUUUCCUACUAGGAUUCGGAAUCCUCUUUUGUAUGACAAUCUUAAUGAUCUCCCAUAGUCCAAAACUCACAAAAACAUCAAAAAUCCACCGAGAAUAAAUUAAGUAAAAAAACAUGCACACACAGAUAAUAAUAGUAAUCAUGUUUCAUUAUGAUUGCUAAGGUCAGACACAAUACAUAAACAUAUUAGACUGAGUGACCCACCUCACCUCAGAGUAUGCACCAUGUCUGAGUGACCCACCUCACCUUGCCAGGACACUGGUCCUGCCCUCGUGGUUCACGCGCCCUCGUGGUUCAGCAGUGGUCAGUACACAAAUCUAGCUGCCAGUCGGAUCCAAGGGCAGGCAUUUGCAUUGUGGUUGUGUUUGAACAUGGAGAUGUCAUUAUUAUUGUCAGGCACCAUACAUCCUCUCUCAGUUUCACUCCGCCUCACACACGGAUAGCACACCAGGGACCCGACACCAUGCAUGCCGAUUUCAUAUUAUUAAUAUUUAAUUUUUUUAAUGGUUGUUGAAACUAUAUUGUUGAUAUUUUUAUACAUAAUUUACGACCUAAUUUGGAUAUAUUUUUGAAAUAUUCCGAAAUCUUAAAUUCACACGUCUAGAGAUACAGUUAGUCCAAUCUGAUGUUUCCGAUUAUAAAAAUGAACAUAAAGAGAUAGGAAGCGAGAGACGUGAGGGGGAAAGUGAAAUUAGGGCCUAAGGGGUGAAGUUAGGGUUCCAGGUGAGCUGUCAUCACUACGUGUUUUUAAUCGAAAUUGGAAUGUCAGCAAUCGUCAGAUCUUGAGCCAACAGUUGAGACUGCCUCGGAAUGGUAAUUAGGUCUGCGCGAGCUUGCAUUGUGGCCUUCCUUGAAACCUUGGACAUAGGUGUUAUAUUAUUAUGUUCUUGCCAGCACACAGCAGACGACACAGUUGAGAUGUGCAUCACAUUUUCUAUAUGAAGGAUAUGUUUAGCAAACCUAAGAUUUUAGAAGAAAAAGAAAAAUCAUGGGAACCAAAGCGCCACAUAGUUCUUCCAGGUAAAAAAAAAUCAUCCACUAGACCAACACAUAUAGUAACGAUCCAAAAAGUCCAUAUUAAGAUUUUUUGAUAGCAGAAAAAACAUAAAAUGUCUAAUAUUUGUAGUAUUAAAAGGAAAAAUAAUAUAUUCACUUGACCUUUUUCCCGUAGCAACGCACCCGGUACGUGGUCAGACUUAAUGCACGAUGCCUAAGCAUCCAUUGGGCCUACCCUCGUGUGGAUCACGCGCAACAGGACACGGCUCACAAGCUAUGAUGUGCAGCAGUCGCUCAGAUGGCUGAAAGGUACCCUUAAUUUGAUGGUACCAUAUAUAUAUAUAUAUAUAUAUAUAUAAACAAGACAAACCACCGUUGAUACUACUUUGCACUACUUGAUACAUAUAUCUCCACCAAAAGCGAGGCACGUGGGGAGGAGACGAUAUGUGGUUGAUGGUACGGGUACGUGACGAGCGCACCGUACGAAAAUUUUGCUCGCGUCGGACGACUGAUGUGAAGCAUUACCCAAUCUUAAUUAUCUCGCAUAAUCCAAAACUCACAACAACAUCAAAAAUCCGUCGAGAAUAAAUUAAGUAAACCAUGCACACACAGAUAAUAAAAUUGCUAAUAAGGCCAGAGACAAUACAUAAACAUAUUAAACUGUUCAUGACACAUAUCACGGUGGAUAGUGUCUGUGUCCUUAUUACAAGCAAUGAGAGAUGCUUGUCACCACACACACGCACAGAUGCACGACAUACAUAUAGUUGAGACCAACAGAUGGAUCAACUAGAGGUCACCCCAUAUGGUGAACAAUUUAUUGGAGAUAAACAUUAACAUAACUUGGCCAUAGCUUGAAGCAUAGCAACAUAUGCCUAUGAACGGCGUUCAUGCUAUCAUUUUAGGCUUGUCCGCUUCUUCCAUCUUAGCAAGCACUUCCAUUUCUACCAUCUUAGAAGCAACUGUCAAAUUGAGAUAUGGAAAUCCCAUUAGCGCAUGAGUUAAUUUUACAGUGAAAAUAGAGUACAAGAUGUCUUCAUGAUGUAAGUAACAUGCCUGAAGUUGUGAGAUGGGAAGUGAAGUCAACAAAUUACAUUAACGGAAAUGCAUGGAAGGCCACACAUACGUAUUAGUCCAUGAUAUGCUACAAAGCUUGUAUGUACAUAUAGCAAAUUAAAUGCAUUAAUUGAAUAGAGUGAGUUUAGUGAAUUUACCAGAAUCGUCCAGAAAACAUGGGAAACAGCAAGUGUUCUUGCAGACUGCGUCGGUGCCACCCACAGCAAUACAACCAAAACAACAUGCUUUUGCCCGAGCGGCUGAGCAGCAGCCGCACUCUGCCGCGGUGGCCGAGUUAGCAUUGAGGCUCAAGAUGACCAGGCACAUGAUCACCAUCAAAGCGGUAGUCCUCUUUCCCUCCAUUGCCUCCUCUUGCUGCUACCUUCCUUGGUUACCUAGCUAAGUUUAUUGGUUUUGUGUUGAGAGGUGAUUCUUGCAUUGAAUGGACGUUGCCGCGGCUGCAAUUUAUAGGCAGCUGCGCUAUGUGAUGAUAUGGACAAGGUGCAAAUGGGUGGUCCUGAUAUGGAUAAGGUGCAUGCGAAUGGCUGUCUACUUGUAUAGUGUAGCUCCAAUGUACAUACGUAUGUAUCUUAUGCAUGUAUACAGUUGAUGGAUGUACAUGUUUGUUGCACAAAUUCUGAACCAACUCUUCAUAACAGGUCUUUGUUACCAAGUAAUUUUACUUUUGCACGUUUCAGCCGAGAGGCAGAAGAGAAUAUUUUACAGAGAGGGCAGAGAAGGAGGUUGGCGGAGGCGCCGUGGUAGGGUUCCCCGUGUCGCCAAGAUUUUUGCAUUUUACAUGUGUGCAUUGAUCACUUCGUCGUGCUCGCGGGGCCCAACUCCAGGUUGUACCCCAGCAGACCACGUUCUGUUUCUCUGCCUCCAAUGAGCAUGCAUGCCUCCACAAGGACCACAAGACUUAGUAAAAAAGCUAAACUUUGCAACACGAUGUAUACAGAACGUUUUGAAAUGUACUCUCGUUAGGCAUUCACCUCCUUAACAAUCACUGCGACUGUAAAAUAGGUACAUCGACGCUAGCUAAAUAAACCACUAUAAGAUUUAGCAAGAGAUCAUUUUAUACAAUCCUGUAACGAAACAAUUUGACAAUUAUAGUGUCCAUAUAUUUUGACAAAAAAACGUUUAAAUUAUAUAAGGAGGUGGGCCCGAAAACGGUUGGAUUACAUCGAGAACGUUUUGAAACAGUUGGCGGAGCAGGAUUCUGGCGUGGAGCAUCUACAUUGUCGCGCGCGCGGACUGCCGGAGUAGGCACGCUCGACUUGUCCCAUCGCCAGCUAAAUGAUUUAGUACCGGAUGGUCUCUAGUACCGGUUGGAGCCACCGUCCACCGGGAGCUUUCCUAGUUUGGAACUGGUACUAAUGCUAAUAUUAGUAUCGGGUCAAAAACAAUCGGUACUAAGGCUAGGGAUGACACGUCAUUUUUCUAGUAGUGUGUGCAAUUGGUUUUGUAAUUAGUCUAUAUUUAAUACUUCUAAUUAGUAUCUAAAUAUUUUAUGUGAUAGGGACUGAACUUUAGUCCGUGGAACCAAACACCCCAUAAGUAUGUUUGGUGCUGUAAGGAUUUCCUAAGGUUUUAUUUAAUUUCCUAGGCAUUUAAAUUUCUUUCUAAAAUAAGUUAAUGAAUCAUAGGAUCUCAUUGUUGUAUUCAAGCUGGUGCAUUGAUUUUGCCUAUAAAACCCGCUGUGGUCUUCGCAGCCCCCAUCAAACCCUAGCGCCCUUGCCACAAGCUCAGCACCGCUGCCGCCCGAGCUCGAGCACUAGCACCCACCCAUCGUCGUUGCCUUCCCGUCGAUGGGAUCACCGCCCGGAGCUUCGCAUCGUGGUAAGGAAGCCGCCCGUGAAGAUCCCAUGUGCUCCUAUGCCCUCUACCGUGUCCCCGAGUUCCCGAAGUUGCUAGUCUCCUACUGAGCCGACUCUCCGAGCUUCACGUCACCGGUGCCGCUCCGAAGACCUAGUUCGGUUCGCCGUGCACCUCGCUUCAUCCUGAGCUAAACCCCAUAAUGAAUGGUGGCCGGAUGCUCGCCGCCACGGCGCGUCGUCUUUUUUGUUGCCCGUGCAUUGCCUAUCCCCUUCCAGCCGAUUGCAGCUGUCCAAUCGCAAACCGAUGGCCCUGAUCGGAUACCAAGGUCAAUACCGGUCGAACCGAGCCGUGCACUGCUUUUGCAAGAAGGCUCCUGUUUUUCUCUCUUUUUGCACCUGAGGUCCUACGCAGUUCAAAAGUAAUAAGAUCUAGGUCCUUUUUCUUUUGUUUUAGCCCGUGUUCUUUUAUAAAAUCCCGCCCACUAUUCUGUUUGGUCUUUUGACGCGUUAGACCUUCUGUUUAUAUGUUUAAUUAGGUUUUAGGUCUCGAUUUCUUUAAGUUUAGCCCUUGAAAGUUUAGUUCUCUCGCAGUUAAGCCCCUGAACCUUGUUUAGCUCAUAUCUUAAGCGUUUUAAAUCCGUUUUAACAGAUUCUUGCGCCUAUAAGUUCAUGUUGACGCAUAGAUUAGUUGACUUAUAUGAACCUUGCUGAUUAAGCUCCUUGAUUGUGCCUCAGAUCUCGCUAGGGAAGAAUAAUGGAUGGGCUUUGGUUGAGCUUGUAGAUCGACUUGCAGUUGCAGUGAAUGAGCAGAGGAUUGGCAGUGAAUAAGAGGCCGCUGCCCUGCUUGGUAGGGAAAAUAUCUGCUUGCUACCAAGGCCUGUGACGCAUGGACCCCAUUGAGAGUGCAUUAUUGACAAGGACUUAAAGCCAAGGGCUCCACACCUGUCAUUGAUCAGCUGUCUGCUGGGCGCUGCAAGGAGGUAGUGCAUGUUUGACAUAAAGAAGCAGGUGGCCCAGGAUUUACGAAGAAUAAGGAUCUAUUUGAUACCCUUGCUUAUAUUUAGGGGCUAAAAGUUGCUUAUUUGAAGUUGCUUAUUUUUAAUCCUAGCUGUUUGAUUGCAUGGGCUAAAGAGCAUUGAAUGAGGUGGACAUUGUCAUGUUUGCCUCUAAUGAUUACUUCCCAUCACAUUUCUCCCCCCUCAUUCAACGAGGGAAGGAGGUGUAAAGUGCACCUUUUAGCCUCGAUAAGCAACCCUUGUGUUGUUUACGGGCUGAACAUAAGUAGCUAAAGUUUAGCUCCAAUAAACAAGAGUGUUUGGUAUUUUUGGGGUUAAAAGGGGCUAAACUUUAGCUGCUUAUGCAUAAGCAAGGCCAUCCAAAUAGGCCCUAAGUAUGUUUGGCGUUGUAAGUAGGUUUUAUUUAAUUUCCUAGGCAUUUAAAUUUCUUUCUAAAAUAAGUUAAUGAAUCAUAGGAGUUCAUUGUUGCAUUCACGCUGGUGCAUUGAUUUUGCCUACAAAACCUGCUGCCGUUUCCGCAGCUCCCAUCAAACCCUAGCACCCCCGCCACGAGCUCCAGCGCCGCUGCCGCCCGAGCUUGAGCACUAGCGCACACCCAUCGCCGUCACCUUCCUGUCAAUGGGAUCACCGCCCGGAGCCCGCAUCAUGGUAAAGAAGCCGCCCGUGAAGAUCCCGUCCGCUCUCGUGCCCUCUACCGCGUCCCCGAGUUCACCGGAGUUGCCAGGCCACCACCCAGCCGCCUCUCCGAGCUUCAUGUCGUCGUUGCCACUCUAGCUGCCACUCUGAAGACCUAGAUCGGUUUGCCGUGCACCCCGCUUCAUCCUGAGCUAAACCCCAUCAUGCCACGUCAUAGUAAGGAAGCUGCUCAUGAAGAUCCCGUGCGCUCCCGUGCCCUCUACCGCGUCCCCAAGUUCACUGGAGUUGCUAGUCCGCCACCGAGCUGCCUCUCUGAGCUUCACUUCAUCGUCACUGCUCCAGCCGCCACUCUGAAGACCUAGAUGAGUUCACUGUGCACCCCACUUCAUCCUGAGCUAAACCCCAUGACGAACUGUGGUCGGAUGCUCGUUUUCGAGCGAAUUCCGGCGAGAUGGUCACCCGCCGCCGCCGUCUCCGUCGCCCAUGCACCGCCUGUCCCCUUCCAGCCGAUGUCCGGUUGCAAACCGAUAGCCAAAAUCGGAUCUGGUCACCAGGAUUAAUACCGGUCAAACUGAGCCACGUGCGCCGCUUUUGCAAGAAGGCCCCUAUUUUUCCCUCUUUUUGCACCUGAGGUCCUACGCAGUUCAAAAGUAAUUAGAUCAGGGUCCUUUUUCUUAUGUUUUAGCCCAAUUCUUUUAUAAAAUCCCGGCUGCCAUCCUGUUCGAAAUAGAUACGGUUAUAGAUAUGCAAACAUCUGCAUAUUUCCAACCGUAUCUCUUUUGAAUGGGAGACGCCUAACUAGGUUACGUGACAUACGAACAUCAUACGGAUAGAGAGGGGUAGGAUGCCUCACCUUGCUAUCCUACAAAGUGACGACUCGAGGACGGUAAUGUAGCCUCUCCUGCAAAAAAAGAACAUACUACUAUCAAGUUAAAUUUUCGACAGCACCUCCCCUGCACGUGGAGGUUUCCAUAACCUGCAUCAAAUAAAACGGCACGAUGGCUGACAACCACAUCUACAGCACCAGAAUGGCAUGAUGGCCGACUUCCACAUAAAGUUCUUAUACCUUAGAUUGCCAAGUCAAACAUCCUUUUCUAAUUUCUAAAACAAAAGCCCUACCACCUCUCUAUCUUAUUUCCUAUGGGCUNNNNNNNNNNNNNNNNNNNNNNNNNNNNNNNNNNNNNNNNNNNNNNNNNNNNNNNNNNNNNNNNNNNNNNNNNNNNNNNNNNNNNNNNNNNNNNNNNNNNNNNNNNNNNNNNNNNNNNNNNNNNNNNNNNNNNNNNNNNNNNNNNNNNNNNNNNNNNNNNNNNNNNNNNNNNNNNNNNNNNNNNNNNNNNNNNNNNNNNNNNNNNNNNNNNNNNNNNNNNNNNNNNNNNNNNNNNNNNNNNNNNNNNNNNNNNNNNNNNNNNNNNNNNNNNNNNNNNNNNNNNNNNNNNNNNNNNNNNNNNNNNNNNNNNNNNNNNNNNNNNNNNNNNNNNNNNNNNNNNNNNNNNNNNNNNNNNNNNNNNNNNNNNNNNNNNNNNNNNNNNNNNNNNNNNNNNNNNNNNNNNNNNNNNNNNNNNNNNNNNNNNNNNNNNNNNNNNNNNNNNNNNNNNNNNNNNNNNNNNNNNNNNNNNNNNNNNNNNNNNNNNNNNNNNNNNNNNNNNNNNNNNNNNNNNNNNNNNNNNNNNNNNNNNNNNNNNNNNNNNNNNNNNNNNNNNNNNNNNNNNNNNNNNNNNNNNNNNNNNNNNNNNNNNNNNNNNNNNNNNNNNNNNNNNNNNNNNNNNNNNNNNNNNNNNNNNNNNNNNNNNNNNNNNNNNNNNNNNNNNNNNNNNNNNNNNNNNNNNNNNNNNNNNNNNNNNNNNNNNNNNNNNNNNNNNNNNNNNNNNNNNNNNNNNNNNNNNNNNNNNNNNNNNNNNNNNNNNNNNNNNNNNNNNNNNNNNNNNNNNNNNNNNNNNNNNNNNNNNNNNNNNNNNNNNNNNNNNNNNNNNNNNNNNNNNNNNNNNNNNNNNNNNNNNNNNNNNNNNNNNNNNNNNNNNNNNNNNNNNNNNNNNNNNNNNNNNNNNNNNNNNNNNNNNNNNNNNNNNNNNNNNNNNNNNNNNNNNNNNNNNNNNNNNNNNNNNNNNNNNNNNNNNGACAUUCCCAGGCCCGUCAAGUCCAUCACCGCACGCAGUCGAAUCCCGAAAUUUCCGCCAUCUUUUUCCCCUCCCUUCCCUCUCUUUCCCUUCCUUCCUUCUUUUUCCUCCCCUUUCUUUCCCUUCUCUUUUUCCUUCUCUUUCUUCCUCCUCUCCCUUUUUCCUUUUCUUCUCUCUCUUCUUUUACUUCCCUGCCACCUUCCCACUGGCGCUGCACACCCCCCCACUGCCUGGCACGCGCGUCGGGCCGCGCGCCCGCGCCCGCGCCCGCCGCCGCGUCGCGCCGCCCGUGCCACGCCCGCUCGCGCCUUGGCGUCUAGCGCUUGGCUCGGUGCGUCGCGUCGUGUCGCCGGUCACCGGUCGCCGCCCCUGUGGCCUCGUCGACCACGCCGCCACGCCAUCCACGAGCUCCACCACUCCGGCACGCCACCGGUCAAAAGUCCGGCCACCAUCAUUACCUCGGCCCUCGCCCGCCCGUGCGCCGCCUAUAAAAGGGGGGAGCCGAGCCUUCACCUCCACACCCUCACCACGAGCACCUGGCCUUCCUCCACUCCCACCACCAGAGCGCCGACGACCAUCUUCCUCUCAACCUUCUGUUGCCUCCAGGAAGAAGAAGGGGUAAAUCCCUCUCCUUGCGAUCCAACCCACCAAUUUCCCUGAUUCGCGGACAAGUCCUUCCACCAUUCCAAAAAUAAUUACAGAUAGGCCCCUGCUCUCGCGGUUCAGUCCUAAACCCCGUUUUAAAGCCCAUAAUACUCCUUUAAACCGUCAUUUCAUGCGCCAAAUUUCCUCCAAUCCACCCCAAAUUCGACCACAGCCUCCUCUCAUAUAUUCCCGCCGAGGCUUAUCGAAAUUCCAUGAAAAUACCCUGUCUAUCUAUUUUCCGUUCAUGUUUCCUGUUCGGAGCUCAGCGGGUAAAAUCUUUUUCCUUUGUAUUUAUUGUGUGCUCGUUUGUGUGUGCCGUAGAUUGUGGAGUACCCGAGGAGGAGCGCGAGGAGGAGUUCGACCGCGAGCCCGAGCCCGAGGACCCGUACCGCGAGCAGGAGCUCCCGGAAGGCUUUGAGAACGGCAAGUCCAAUCUCACCCUUUGAUGCAUAUUUAAUACCCAGUUUUUCAGACACAACCUAUUGGCCUGUUUUAUAACAUGCAUAUUGUUUUAUCGCAAGACAUGGUUGGAUAGCCACCCCUUGAUUGUUAUGACUAUUCCUUGAUUGUCCCAUAUUUAUCUCUAAAUAUGAGUUACUCUGUUUAGAUGAUAAAUACUGCUAGAAUGCUUAGGAACUCAUUACCCAAAUUCAAACUUGACUACACCUGUUUACUCGGAAAAUAAUGUGUGAGUAUGUUUAACUGAGGAGUUGGGUUUUCGGGUGUAAAGAGAGGUGGUGGAUGAGAUGGAUGGGUGUUUCUUGUGUGGAACGCCGGGUUGAUAGGCUCGUACCUCAGUGGUUGGGCAGAGUGGGAGAUAUCCAUCUUGUCAUGGCUAAGGACCGAGUUGAUGUGUCAUCCUGCCUAAUUCCAUCAUCGUACAACCACUCGACCGUUGUAUGGGCAACGGCUUAGCAUAAAUCCCACUAGCUAAACUGCUAGGCUUCAGGUGUGCUGGUGAGCAACGGGAGGCCUUGGAAACGGACUAAGCUCUUGGUGACUUAGGUCCCGGUUACGGCCCCGUGGAUGGGUUGCUAACCCCUUGAGCGCUCCUAUGUUGACUAGUCAGUGUUGGCUAAGGUGGGUAAUGGCUUUGAUAGGAUCCGUACCGACACUAAGGUGAUCGCGAUACGGUUCCCUACUUGUGGGAAAAGUGUACAACCUCUGCAGAGUUAAAACCUAUCCGGGUAGCCGUGUCCACGGCAUUGGACGAGUUACGGCUCGGUCACACAACUAGCUUUUGGGGAUGACUGGUAUUUUUUUACCGCGUGUGUGGGUGUGUGGAGUUUUGGAAGUGUCCGGCAGGUGUGCCGUGCGCUACGGCGGACGGGGAGUCCGGUAGCGAUAAAACUUGGAUCCUUUGUGUAGGAUCAACCCCACUUGAUAUGUUGUUUACUAAAAAUGUUUUCCAUUAAACCGCUUUGAAAUGGAACCCCGCAUGUGUCUAAAAAGUCAGCUUUACUGCAAAUAAACCAUAGCUUAUUCCUUGAUUAUUCAUAUGCAUAUUCUUGUUGUAUCCCCCUCCGUGGAUGGGGUUGGACUUGCUGAGUACUUUUGUACUCACCCUUGUGUUGUUACUUCAGAGGAGGAUCCGGACUUCGUCGCCGAGGACUUUGAGUAGGAGGUUGCGUCUGCACCCAACGCUGCCUGUGGUGUUGGCCCUUUUGCAGGAUGCUUCCGCUGACGCUUAGCUCCGAUUGCAGCCCGGAGUCCGACUGGACCGCAACUUGGAUUUGUGUUGUUAUCGCUUUAGUCUUGCUUUGGGUGUGGCUUGCCCGCCCGCUCCUUCGGGAGCUGUACGGUUUCUGAACUAUCUGUUGAAUAAAUGUGUUAUCAGCCUCCUGGGACUGAUAAUUUGGAUCACAUUUAGUCUCUACUUAUGUGGGGACGCUUCACCGUGACAUACUUUGCCAAGUGUGUAGCGAAAACACUCGGCAAAAUAUUAUCUUUACCGAGUGUUUUCACUAGAUACUCGGCAAAGUACACUUAUAUUUCAUGUACACUUUUUCAAUAACGUGUUUUACUAACCUUUUUCUGAUAUACUUGGGAAAAACCUUGUCAAAUUCACUCAACAAUGGAUAUAUGAUUUUUCUAUUGAUAUUAUUCCAUUAUUUCAUUCAGUUAUAGCUCAAAUUGAAUUUAUAUCUAUUAAAAAUCAAUAAUUGCAUUUAAUAAAUAAAAAUACCAAACGGAUCCGAAAAAUUUCCAAAAUUUGACAUGAACCAAUCUAUGUUGUAUGUUGCCUGUACAAAAAGCUUUGAAGUCAAACCCCAAUUCAAGUGUCACUUGGACUCCAAAUCUUAUCGGAUCCUUUCUAACUUCUAUGAAUCCUUUUGGGAGAUGAGUCGGUUUGUAAGCAUCAUAUGUCAGAAAUUGGGCGAAACCUUCUCAAUUUUUUACCACAGCCUCCACAUAUAAUAUCAUGACACCUUGACAAAUCUUAUGAUUUUCAGACUUCGUUUGCUUUUUCUAGAAUUUAACAACCAUUCAACCACAUGUUCGUGAUCGUGUUUUCUAAAAAGAAUGUUCAAAAUUUCUUUUCAUUUCCUGGUUGAGACCUCAAUCCGGAUUGAAUAAUAUGAAUAUGAUUUUUUCACUGAUUUUAAUCCAUUAUUUAAAUCACUUGCAGUUAAAAUUUGACUUAAAUAAACAAAUUCCUAUUAAUGCCAUCAAUUCAUUAAAAAUGGCAAACAGACAAAAAAUAGACCAACUUUUAAGAUGGAUUACCAAAUGUCAUAUAUGGGGAGUAGAAAAAGUGUGGAGAGCAGAGGUGGAAAAAAAAGUUUUGCCUUUGCCAAGUGCCUACACAAACACUCAACAAACUUUGCGGAGUGCCUAUUGAAAACACUCAGCGAACUUCUGAGUUUGCCGAGUGUCUAGAGGGAGCACUCGGCAACCUACUUAUUUGCCGAGUGUCCGCGUCGGACACUCAGCAAAGUACUAACGGCUGGCACACUCCCCUAACGGACGGCGCACGUGCGAGCCAUGUGCUGGAGAUUUAUCGAGUGUCAAAUCGUUGCGAGUGUCGUGUGGAUGUUUGUCGAGUGUCUUAUUUGCGACACUCGGCAAAGCUAUUGUUUGCCGAGUGUAUUAUUUAUGCCGAGUGUCUUCCAGUAUACACUCGGCAAAUGAUGUCUUUGCCGAGUGCCCGACAUAAAGCACUCGGCAAAAAUUUUACACUCGGCAACGUUCCUGUUUCCGGUAGUGAGUGACCCGGGACUAAAGACCCCUCUUGUCUCUAAUUGCUUUAUUCCGGAUGGAUUUUCAGGAGAUUUGCUCCCUACCUAGGCAAGUUUUCUACUUUUCGCAAACCAGUUAGCCCAUUGUUGAUGGGACGCAUCACUAGAAACAGCUCGGGAUCCACUUGUCCAAUAAUCGAGAGGGCCUAUAUGGACCACGUGUGCGGAUCCCUAAUUAGGAAAAAAGAAUAAUGGAGUAGGACAUCUCCAUGCUCACCUAGUAGCCGCUGCUAGCUUGUGCGUGUGGAACACGAGUGCCGGCCCAGUUGGCGCUAAGACAUCGUACGUGCAUUAAGGCUACGAUCUCUUCCUUCUAACUCAUGCUUGUGCUAUUAUACAUUAUUGCAUGAUCAUCAAGAUAAGAUCGUAUAGUGACUGAGUGAGACAUGUGUGUACUAACGUGCAUUUAAGCCUCGAACUGUGUGUUGUUACGUGAGCUGCCUCCUCACCUCGCCUCUGAAUUAUUGAACCGUUUCCAACAGUGUUGGUCUCAAAUAAAUUUGACACCAAACAUAUUUAUGAAGAAGAGAGAAUAAUACUUGGAAUUGGAAAAAGUUUAUCUCUCUUUACAAUGGGGUAGGGCUCCCCUUUUAUAGUGACCCAUGAGCCACUUUACAUUUGGAAAAUAUCCUUCCUCAACCACUACAUUAAUUCCUAGGAUAUGCCGUACAUAAAGGUCAUUUGAGGUAACGUGUACAAAUUGAACUCUUCCACAUGGUCACGUUUCUCAUACCUCCUGUUUUCCAACCUCAGAGACAUCAUCUUCACGCCAAGUUGAUCAUCUAGCCUCAAGGCUCCAUCCACGAUCCGGAAUGAACGUCCAGCCUUGAGGCUCCUUCUUCGUUAAGCUUUGUUGAGAACUCAUAACCUCACAUAGUUCUCCUCACUGGUAGAGAAUUGACCUUUAGUCCCGGUUGGUAGGGUGCAUAUCUCUCGGAUAUCCAUCCGGGAUAAACCAACCGGGACAAAAGGGGGGGUCUUUAGUCCCGGGUCACUCAACCGAGACAAAAGACCCCCUUUUAUCCCGGUUGGUAAUACCAACCGGGAUAAAAGGGGUCACCCACGGCCGGCAGCUGCAAAAAAAAAAAAAUUCCUGAGCUCCCGGGAGGCCCCCCACACGCGCAAGUCACAAGUCACAAGUCACGCAAUUUUUCACGCGAAAUAUGCGCGUGCGCGGUUCGUGGGAUUCGAACCCACAACCUCCAGCCUCGCGCGUAGCUUCCUUGCCAUCCCACCUACACACCACAUCUGACUAUGUAGGGGAUACUAUCCUUUUGUAUUAACUCGUGGGGGACCCUUUUAUCCCGGUUGGAAACACCAACCGGGAUAAAAUGCCUCUCAGAGUCUUUUUUUCCCACUAGCCUUUGCAACCGGGAUAAAAGGUCCCGGUUGGUGAGCCCCCCACCAGUGACCGAGUUUUAGUCCCGGUUGGUGAACCUUUUGUCCCGGGCCAACUUUAAACCGGGACAAAAGGGGGCGGAUGGAAAGUCGUUUCUCUACUAGUGCCUCCGAGUAUUGUUCCCGACUUAGAACACUCGAGGUUUAGCUCAGUUGGAGUUUAGCUAUUACUGUUGCCAGUCACCAGCCUCGAGCCCCUCCAGAAGCAAGGUGAUGCGAGAGUACAAGUUUUACUAUUAAAGGUGUUUCCAUAUAAUGUGCGAGGUUAAAGCACUUGCAGCAAAAGCGUGGAGCUGCUUUCAACCAGAGUGCAAUAAUGCAGCCGUGCCCGUCUUGGUCUUGGUCUCCGCCUGAACUAUAGCAGAUGCUGGCAGCGGUAGCAGGGUGGUCCAUUAUAUCUAUGGAUGGCAAUGGUCAGAUUCGGAUGGAAUCAAAUUCGAAUAGCACUUUUUACCACGUACUAAUUCAAAUCCGAAUUCGGAUUCGGAUGUUCUCGAAUGCGAAUACAAAAUGGAUGGUUCGAAUUCGAAUACUUAGCGGAUUUUUGCAUAAUAUUAAUCGAAUAGAAUUCAUUAAAUUUAGCUAAGAAAUUAAAUUUUCCAAAUUCAAAUACUUUGCGGAUUUUCGAAUACAAAUUUUUUCAUACGAUCUCGGUGAAUACAAACUUUAUAACUAAGUUGCAUAUUUAGAUUGUAUCUAACACUUUGUACUUGACAUCCUUUUCAUUUAAAAUUGUUUAAUAGCUCAAAACAUUAUUCUAAGCUCUCUAAUUUCAAAAUCUUGAAUUUUAAAUUUUUCAAACGACCUCGGAUGCAAACAAACUCUAUAUCAAAGUGGUAGUGCUUAAUGAGAUAUAAAUUUUGUAGUUGAUAAGUUUUUCAGUUGAAAUCAUAUAGUUACCGCAAACAUACAAGUUCUUCAUUUGAUGUUAAGGAUUGGAAGGGUUAAGUUUGAAGAAUAUAUUUUUUUACCACAAACUUUUUCAUAUGAUCUUGGAUGAAUAUGAACUUUAUUUUAAAGUUACAGAUUUAGAUUAGAUCAAAACCAUUAUAGUUUACAAAUUUUUCAUUCAAAAUUAUUAGUAGCUCAAAAUGUUAUUAUAAGCUCUCUAAUUUCAAAAUCUUGAAUUUUAAAAUUUUCAAACGACCUCAGAUGCAAACAAGCUCAAUAUCGAAGUGGUAGUGCUUAACGAGAUAUAAAAUUUUGUAGUUUCAUCUGAGAUCAUUUAGCAGUCACAAACAUACAAGUUUUUCAUUUGAUGCUAAGGAUUAGAGAGAUUAAAUUUGAAGGUUGUAUUUUUUAAUACAAACUUUUGCAUACGAUCUCGGAUAAAUACAAACUUUAUAUCAAAAUUGUAGACCUCCAUGAGAUUUUAAACUUUGCAGUUUACAUAUUUUUCAUUCGAGAAUGUUUAGUGGUCCAAAAAUGUAUUAUAAGUUCAGAGAAGAAACACACGUCUAGGCACAUCAUCAAUCCACAACUUUCAAACCCAGCAUUCCUAUUGACUCACACCCUUCCCUUUCAACUUGUCAAGCUUAUCUCCUCCCACUCCUCCAUGGUUCACUCCACCUACCCCUCCCUCCCUUCGCCCCAGCGGCGGCCUAACUCCCAGGACGGUGGCGUGCGGGGCCCGAGCAUCCCUGGCCUCUAGUGGCGUGGCGGGGCGGCAUCCAGCAGCAGCGGCGGGGCUCGGCCUCCGGUGGCGCGCGGCCAGCCCGACCUACCCGGUCAGAGGUGGCGCAGCGGUGCGCGGGCCUCCCCGACCAGAGCCGGUGGGGAGCGGUGCGCGGGGAGGACCUCCCCAGCCGGAGGUAGCAGGGCGCGACCUCCCCUUCCGGAGGUGGCUCCCUGUGGGGGCGCGGCCGUGACAGCUAGCGAGGCAAUAAUUGCUUCCGUACGCAGCAAUAAUUGCUCGUGCGACACCGUGGUACAGUACUCCCUCCGUUGCAGUACACUGGUCCAGGCGUCAGGACACUGGUCCUGCCCUCGUGGUUCACGCGCAUCAGGCCAGCAGACAAGCUAUGAUGUUGCCCUCGUGGUUCACGUGCAUCAGGCCAGCAGACAAGCUAUGAUGUUGCCAACAGUGGUCAGUACACAGAUCUCGCUAUCAGUCGGAUCCAAGGGCGCAGGCAUUUGCAUUGUGGUUGUGUUUCUUGGAACAUGGAGAUGUCAUUGUGAUUGUCAGGGACCAUGCAUGCCGAUUUCAUAUUAUUAAUAUUUAUUUUUUCAAUGGUUGUUGAAACUAUAUAGUUACUCCAAUAUCACGUUUCCGAUUAUAAAAGUUAACAUAAAGAGAUCGGAAGGGAGAGCCGGCAUAAUGAAGCCGACGCGUAUAAUAAGCACUACAGCCGGCAUUUAUACAAACGGGUACGCAUAGUAAAAACUAGAAUUUAUAAAUAAAUGAAGAUAUUCAAAUAUCUGCCUUACUUUUUUCAUUAAUUUUGCAUGAAUAAGGGAUGAUUCAUUAAUCAUUAUUGAACAAAUUGGCACACAUGCUUCGUGCCCGCGUUGGGAGCAUUAUGCGAUGCCACCGAGCUGCACCACCACGGUAGAGGGCCUGUUUGGGAAGGGGUGUUAAAGUUUAACACCCCCCAUUUAACACAUUUUUAACAAAAUGGCUGCCAAACACUUGUGUUAAAAGAGUAGUGUUAAAAUUUAACACCUCUCUUUUCAUAAACACAUGGAGGGGGUGUUAAAAUUUGCUAAAUGUGUUAAAAGUGGUCCCCUCCCCACUUAUUCCUUGGUUGCCCCCCCCUCUCUCCUCCUCUCUCUCCUACCCGCCGCAUUUAAGAGCAUUAUUGAGGGGUAAUGCAGUCCUUUUCCAACAAAAGUGUUAAACUUUAACAACCCAUCCAAACAUCCCACAUGUGUUAAAGUUUAACACCUCAUUUGAGGGUGUUAAAGUUUAACACCCUGUUAAACUUUAACACCCCUUCCCAACUUAACACCCCUUCCCAAACAGGCCACAAGCAACACCACCGGCUGACUGUGCUAGCGGGGAGCACCCUCACCGCCUGCCCGUGGGGACUUCUUCUGCCGGCCAUCGUGUCUUUGUAGGACCGCCGCGCGAGCCUGUGAGCCACCGGUGGCCGUGCGCCCAAGGGCCAUCACCAUGCCACCUGAGGAUGCUGUCUACCCGGUGCCGCGUGCCUCUGCUAGCUGCCUGCACCUGGGCCGCCGCUGGUCGCCUGCACAGCCACGCGUUAUAGCCGCCCCCCUGUGCUGGGCCACCCCAUUUCGUGUUGGAAGAACUGCCACAGUCUCGCGCACUGGGGUUUUGCUAGUGACGACCAUAGCCUCCAAGAUCAAAUGAAAAAGUUGGCACUCAAAAUAUACAUCCAUUAAUCUAGUCGUGCUAAUCCUUACCACCAAAUAAAAACUAGCAAGUGUUGUGUGUUUGUGACCCUAAACGAUCACAAAUGAAUAACUUAUGGGCGUUGCUAGCCUAUAAGUUAUGGGCGUUUGUGACCCUAGUCGCGCCGGGGUCUUGCUGGUGACGACCAUGGUCUUCGCGAUAAAGUAUUAAGUCUCAUCGAGCUCUACAAUUUUGAUAUAAAAUUUCUAUUCAUCCGAGAUGAAAUGAAAAACAAAUGAAAAAAUCCGAAGUAUUAGGCUUCAUCGAGCUCUACAAUUUUGAUAUAAAAUUUCUAUUCAUCCGAGAUCAAAUGAAAAAAUCCGAGAUCAAAUGAAAAGUUGGAACUCAAAACAUACAUCCAUUAAUCUUGAUAUAAAAUUUCUAUUCAUCCGACAUCAAAUGAAAAAGUUGGCACUCAAAAUAUACAUCCAUUAAUCUAGUCGUGCUAAUCCUUACCACCAAAUAAAAAAACUAGCAUGUGUUGUGUGUUUCUGACCGUAAACGAUCACAAAUGAAUAACUUAUGGGUGUUGCUAGCAUCCCGGACGCUAGCAUCGGACGCAUGAGCAGCCGUCCGAUCGGGUCCGACACCACUUCACGAUCUGUCUUAAAAAAAAGUUCCACCGAAACAUUUUUCCAUGUUGCAUGAAAUACCCCACUAUCCAUCGCCAGGUCUACAGGAAGCACCACCUUCCAAUCUGCUGCUCACCCAAGUAAAUAGGGGCAUUAAAAUUGCAGAAAUAUGUCACAUAUCCUUGUCAAAUUAAACUAAAUCGCAACAUCCAAAAAUUUCUUACACAAAACCAUGAAACAUAUCGAUUAGAUAGGUGUAACAAGAUGGAAUAUGGUAUGCAACAUAUAGAUUCCGAAAAACGGAUGAAACAUUAUGUAACGAUUGUUGAAACAGUCGAGAAAAAUAGAUGUAACGAUUAAAAUUUAGAAAAGAAGCUUUAUGCAAAUUGCAAAAAGCUGAAAUAAGUGGUUGAAACAUUUCGAAUCACCAAAUGCCACAUUUGAAAUGGCUACAUGAAACAUCACGAAAUCAAUUGCAACAGUUGAAGAUGAAAACAUUCAAAUGCCUUGCCUUUCUCCAGAUUUGACCCUCCAAGCAUGAGUCCAGCCAUUUGCACAUUAGAACCUUGGGAGGAGCUCACCAGAGAACAACAAGACCGUGUUCUCCAACAAUUUUCUGAUCAAACUGCAACAUACAAAACAAAGCAUUGCAACAUCUGGCAUCACGAGCUACAACAUCAACAAGUUAGGAUCAGGAGAAAGAGGGAAAACACAAGCCUAACAACCCCAAGACGAAACUGAUGUACUCAUCAUACAUCACGGCUUGCCGUGCACAGAGAUGAAGGCCGCCAAGCUCAAUCGAAACAGAGACGACGUGAUAGUGCUCCAGAUCGACGGUCCCCAUCAAUUGUUGCGUACACUGCCAAAAGCAAUGGAAGAAGAAGGGUCGUCCCUGCUCGACCUCCGUAGAUGAGCGCAGAUUGGGGGAAACUGUAUAGAGUGCCGCUGACAGCACAGGCGAGGGGGCUCAGGCUUGAUUCAGGGUGAGGGUAGCGGGUAGCAUGAGGAGACAGUCAGGUUUCAUAGGAGAGAGGUGGAGGAGAGAGCUCUGGUGACUCGGUGAGGAGGGUGCGGCACGGAGAAAGGUGUGUAGCUGAAGGAGCUACAUGGUUGGGGGGAGGCGAGCGUAGAGACCAGAGAGGGAAAAAAAGCAUGGGGAGGAGACGAUAUGUGGUUGAUGGUGCGGGCACGUGGCGAGCGCACCGUACGAAAAUUUUGCUCGCGUCGGAUGACUGAUGUGAAGCAUUACCCAAUCUUAAUUAUCUCCCAUAAUCCAAAACUCACAAAAACAUCAAAAAUCCGCUGAGAAUAAAUUAAGUAAACCAUGCACACACAGAUAAUAAAAUUGCUAAUAAGGCCAGAGACAAUACAUAAACAUAUUGGACUGUUCAUGACACAUAUCACGGUGGAUAGUGUCUGUGUCCUUAUUACAAGCAAUGAGAGAUGCUUGUCACCACACACGUGCGCACAGAUGCACGACAUACAUAUAGUUGAGACCAACAGAUGGAUCAACUAGAGGUCACCCCAUAUGGUGAACAAUUUAUUGGAGAUAAACAUUAACAUAACUUGGCCAUAGCUUGAAGCAUAGCAACAUAUGCCUAUGAAUGGCGUUCAUGCUAUCGUUUUAGGCUUGUCCAGCUUCUUUCAUCUUAGCAAGCACUUCCAUUUCUACCAUCUUAGCAGCAACUGUCAAAUUGAGAUAUGGAAAUCCCAUUAGCGCACGAGUUAAUUUUGUAGUUGAAAUAGAGUGCAAGAUGUCUUCAUGAUGUAAAUAACAUGCCUGAAGUUGUGAGAUGGGAAGUGAAGUCAACAAAUUACAUUAACGGAAAUGCAUGGAAGGCCACACAUACGUAUUAGUCCAUAAUACGCUACAAAGCUUGUAUGUACAUAUAGCAAAUUAAAUGCAUUAAUUGAAUAGAGUGAGUUUAGUGAAUUUACCAGAAUCGUCCAGAAAACAUGGGAAACAGCAAGUGUGCUUGCAGACUGUGUCGGAGCCACCCACACGAAUACAAAGCUGACAACAUGCUUGUGCCUCGUGGGAUACGCAGCAGCCGCACUGUGCCGCGGUGGCCGAGUUAACAUUGAGGCACAAGAUGACCAGGCACAUGAUCACCAUCAAAGUGGUAGUCCUCUUUCCCUCCAUUGCCUCCUGUCGCUGCUACGUUCCUUGGUUACUAGUAAGUUUAUUGGUUUUGU